Molecule: long non-coding RNA, 92562 nt
Filed under: Coffea arabica (coffee)
Lineage: Eukaryota; Viridiplantae; Streptophyta; Magnoliopsida; Gentianales; Rubiaceae
Description: long non-coding RNA (CARA_LNC002155)
Source: RNAcentral
UGUUACCUUGUUUAGGUGUUCUUAUCAUUUGCCCUUGAGAUAUAAAUACUGUGUGCCAAAGUCACUAGCAUACGUACCUGAGCAAUUGCGCUACCGGAAUCAGGUAUAAGGUAGCAUCACAAACGACCUCUUCUGAGUUCAUGGACGUCAAAACUCUCGCAAAAAUUUUCUUUCUCGUCUUACUUUCAACUUCAUCCAUCUCAUCUGCAACAUCAAGAACAAUUUCCGGGACAACAAGUGAGUUGUGUAGUUCACAAAUACCUUAAAUGACAAUUGAUAGUUUAGUUUAUCGUUCAUGUUUGUGGUACUUUGGUUUUAUGCAGACGAAUUUAGGGGCAACGAUACCCAUGUUUCAGAGGUAAAGGUACACCCAAGUCCCAUCUGGUCACCAAGAUCAAACGCAAUGGAUGUUCCUUCUCCAAUCGGCUUUUGAUGUUGAUAAUCCAAAAUCAGACGAAACUUCAGGAUUUGGAUUGGGAGUUGCUUCUUUUUAUUGUAUUUUCUUUGGGCUGAGAGGUUGCUUCUUUUUGUGUUUAUUUAAUUUUUUUUGUUUUGUAAGUACUUUUUUAUUGUUGUUGAUAAGCCAAUAUACAAUUGGGUAUGUCUUGUAUCAAAAUAAUGUGAAAUCCAAGAAAUUUGUUCCCAUAUGUCCUAGUUUAAUUUACCCUUUUUUAAAAAAAAAAAAUUUAUGUAGUAGGAAGAGUAUGGGAUUUAAGUAGCGGGAAGGAAGAAAGGAGUUUUUUUUUUUUUUUUUUUGGAGAAAGGAGAUUUGAAUCCAAGACUUUUAAGCCUUGGUGUUUCAAUUUUAAUCAUUACAUUAAGCUCUCCUCAACUAGUUUAAUUUACCUUAGGAAAGUCAAGUUUCAAUAUUUUGUUGCUUGUUUUGUGGUUCAUCUGGAAAGUGCUAGAUCUGUUGAUGGUUGGUAUUUCACAAUCAUCUAUAAUGCAUACAAGAUAGUGUACUCACAAGAUAGGUAAUUGAAUUUACAUGAAAGUGAUGCCUAUCUUGAUUAGUAUUUGUGAUAACCACCUUUCUGGUUCCGUUGCGUGAGGAGAUUGGCAAGUUGACAAUGUUGGUUGUGAUGGAAAUGGAUAAAAAUCAAUUCUCUGGUAAUAUACCGAAACAUCUUCGCCAAAAUGGAACACUCAACAACAGCCUCAUACUCCGAUUCCUAUUAAACCUGAAAACUGCUCAAGCUUAUUCAGAGUCGGAUUUGAUGGAAACCCGCUAACUAGGAACCUGUCACAGAUGUCUGAUAUCCAUCCAAACUUGAAUUUGAUCGAUCUUAGCAACAAUUAAUUCUACGGCAGACUUUCUGGCAAAAGGGCCAGAUGCCCAAACUUGGAAGCACUUUUGCUUGCAGACAAUUCUCAGAGCUAGAGAACGUGUCUUAACUUCAUAGUCUUGAUCAUUCUUCCAAUGACUUGACUGGGGAAAUUCCAAAGCAAGUUAUGAAGCUGGCUUCUCUGCUAAAAUACCUGAAGAAUUUAGGUUUGUAAAAAAUCUGCUUUAUCUAAACCUGUCAGAAGACAUCUUGCGUGAAUCUAUCCUAGAAAUUUUAAAAGAUUGCCAACAAUUGUUUUACUUGAACUUGAGCAACAACAAUCUAAGUCAAAUGAUUCCACCCCAGCUAGGUGAGUUAACUCACCUUUCUAUCUUGGAUCUGAGUCAUAAUUACAUCAGCGGAGAAAUACCACCUGAGUUUGAUCAGAAGUUUUCAGAGUCUAGAGAUAUAUUGGAAAUUAUCUUUCCCAUGAUAACCCCUCAGGUUUCCUUUCAGAAGCUAUGGCUGAACUGCCUGGUUCUUUGCAUUUUGACAUAUCAUUCAAUUACAUUAGAAGGUCCAUUUCCUUGUGUUAGAGCCUUUAAAAAUAUCACCACAGAACAACUGAGAGGAAAGUAGGGUUUGUGCGGCAAUAAUACAGGUUUACAAGCUUGUGAAAGUCAUCAAUCAAUUAGAAAGCACGUAAAGGAUUGUUACAGGGUUGAUCUUGUUCUCAUAAUUGCACUCCCUCUUCUAGGACCACUCGUACUUAUUCAUGCAAUAUACAAAGAAAUAUUAAAAGCAACAGAAGAGUUGGUUAUGGAAAUGUGUACAAACCACUCGUACUUCUUUUUAGAUCCUGUACAGAAACAUCAUCUGUUGCCUGAGAAGGCGUACUUUAACAGUUUCUUGAAUGAGAUAAGAGGCUUGACAAAUAUCGAGCACAGAAACAUUGCGAAACUCCACGGCUUCUGCUCAAGUUCCAAACACACCUUUUUGGUCUACGAGUACCUUGAGCAAGGUAGCUUGGCCAAAAUCUUCAGCAUAGAAGAAGAAAAUAAGGAGCUAGACUGGGAAAACGGGGUGAACAUCAUCAAAGGUGUCGCUCACACGCUAUCUUACAUGCAUCAUGAUUGUUCACCUUCAAUAGUUCAGCAAGAAGUUUCGAGCAACAAUGUUUUGCUUGAUUUAGAAUACGAGGCUCGUGUUUCAGACUUUGGUACUGCUAAAUUUCUGCAGAAGGGCUCAUGCAAUUGGACUCCUCUUGCUGGCACAUUGGGAUAUGUUGCAGCAGGUAAUUAACAGGGUUAUAAUUUCUCUUUAUUUUCAGGUAUUAAGUGUAUAGGUUUCACUGAUAACAUGAUUUUCCAUGCAGAGCUUGCCUAUACAAUGAGAUUCACUGAAAAAUGUGAUGUUUAUAGCUUUGGGGUCCUGACAUUGGAAAUAAUCAAGGGGAAGCACCCUGGUGAAUUUGCUGCCCAUCUGAUGUCUUCAACAACAACUGGAGACAUAGAAUUGAAAGACUUGUUGGACCAGAGACUUUCGCAUCCCACACAAGAAAUUGAAAAGAUCCUGGUAUUCGUCCUCAAAAUAGCAGAGGCAUGUUUACAUGUGAAUCCAGAAUCUAGGCCAACUAUGCAUAUGAUUUCUAGUUCGUUCCAAACCUAUAAAAUUGUAUCCUUAAUGCAUCUGACAACCAAAUUGAGCCGAUUUAAAAAUUGUCCAAGUCAUGCUUCAGAACAUUUUAUUGCAGCAUAAUUCGAGAUAAACAAUUGUUCUUUGUAUUUUUUUUUUUUUGGAAAUUUAUCCAAAAUAGUAUUGUCAGUCAAAUGAAAAAAAUUCACACCAAUGAGUUUUGAAGUAUCAAACGUACAGAUAAUUAGCCCAUAUAGACAUGGAUCCCAAUCAGCAAAAGCAAAAAAUUCCCAAACUGACUUUAAAAGCAAUUUAUCAGUCAUCUUUAUGGGUAGAUGAAAUAGAUUUAGACCCAAAUCAGCAUAGAAAAGCCUGUUAGGUCCGGUCCCAGGAAAUUGACAAAAGGAUUUUUGGCAAUCCCAAAAGACAAAUAACAAAGCAGAAAUAAGUAAAACAAAAACACAAGAAUUUACGUGGUUUGGUCUAAUUGACCUACGUCCACGGGCAAAGGGAUAGCAGAUUUACUAUAACAGAAAGAGAGUACAAAAGUGGGAGUAUAAAAUCCUAAGAAAUAAUUCCUAGGUCCAAAAGCAGUUAAAACUGAAAACACAAAAGAGCCUAAAUAGCACUAAAUGCUUAAUGACCCAAAGGCUCAUGACUUGCUCUUUUGGUUUAAUGUCAAACCAAAACUCCUCUCAGACUGGGGCGCGGGCCUCCUAAAACUCUCUUGGACUGGUGCACAUGGCACUUGGGCUAGUGCCCUUAGCACAAUUAAACUCACUUAACUCCACUAUAUUUAUAACCACUUAAAGGAGAUAUUUUUUUAUAAAAGUUCCGAUGUGGGAUACAAAAACACAUUCAACAAAGCCCAAAAAAAUUGAACAAUUUCUCCAUUUGUGCCCGCCAUUCUGGGACUGGGCCUUGCUAAUCUUCUCUAUAUGAUACCACUUUCAUUGGGUGUCGCCGGAGGACACUAAAGCCUUUAGGCCGAUCCAAUUUGGUGUUCACAACUGAUGUGGGAACUCAGCAGCAAUCGGACGGAUUUUAAACGUUUGUCAUCAAACCUGGCCCAAAGCAUUUAGCAUUGAACUAUUGGAUACAUAUGCUUUUUGCCAAUUUUCCAUCCACAAAAGUAGAGCCAACUUCAUCCGAAUUUAAUCAUCGGAUCUGGCCUACUAUUAAGCCGAAAUAUGAGAAGAAUUGAUCUCAAGAAUAGAAUGUACAUUGGCCUGGUUAUAUUGCUAAAUAAGAGUCUCUAUUUCUUUUAAAAAUUUUUUAGUCAAAAAAGGGUGGGAUUUAAGAAGUGGGAAGGGAAAGGGGGAUUUGAACUUAAGAUCUUUAUCUUUAGGUUAAAAAAAAAAACUCAAAUUAAGUCUCUAUAUUUCAUGUUUGUAUCUAUAAUGAAAAUAAAAUUGUAUUUUGUACAUUUCAAAAUUAUUUUAAAAAAUACUCAUACUUCUAACUAUUUAUAUAAUAUUUCUGAUAAACUUGUCUCACGUUUUGCUUCAUAAGCAAUACUUCAAUUUAUGAGAAAAUGUUUAAAAUUUGUUAAGGAUGAUAUCCUUUUUUUUUUUUCUGUUAUAAAGAACAUAGUUACGAUACAUAACAAAACUUCGAUAAGUUUAUGCAUGUAAAAUCCAAAAGAAAUGAAAACUUAAAACACUUUUAUGUCUCAUACACAAGGAUAAUAGUUAAAGUUGAAAUUGUUCGUACUUAAAAAAAGAAAGAGAAGGAGAAGUUGUUCUUACUAUUCACAUACACAUUUAUAUGCACUAUUUCGUUCUACUCAUAUCUUGGUGUCGAAUUUGUUUUAUCAUACUUUAAAAAAAAUUUAUGAUAAACUUAUGUAAAAUAAUUAAUAUUACGAUUAUUCUGUAUUUUACUAACCAUGUUUCUCACAAACAAACACAGAUAAAUUCAAGUAAAAGGAACACCAAGUAGGACAGAAAGAGUAUUGCUGCUAGUGUGUAAAUCAGGCCCAAGCAUCAUUGACCAAUAUCCAUAAUCCAUUUUGGUGUCUCUUCCAUUCCAGAUAGAGAUUUUGGAAAAUUUCCCCUUCACCGCUGCCCUACUACUCUUCGAAAUAACGCCAACAGGGAAUAUCCUCUCCCACACCACAACAAAACAUGGACUAAUUCAGAAAGGAUAAGUAGCAUUAGCAACACAUGUACAAAGUAGUGCGUGCAUUUUCUUGAAUCAAAUUUGAUCCCGCUAUCCCCAGACACAGCAGCAUGUUCCUGAUGUGACACCAGCUUAGUUUUGUGCAUGUAAAAUUCGUCUCACUCCCAAGAACAAAAGCAGAUUGCAAGUAGCACAUUAUACUCUCUGUUUUGGGCUUUAUUCAUUUUAAACACUUUCUCGAGUAUCUCUUCUACUAAAAGGUUACUCCACCUAAAACAAGAAAACGCUUCCAAGAGAAGAUAAUUCAAAAUAAAGUGCUCUUGUAGGAGCAUAAACUUCAGGUGGCUGAGGCAUUCAUAAGGCAUGCCUUAGUUGUCUAUAGGUUAAAGGGCAAAUUAUACUUUACCCACAUGUGGUUUAGUUUUUUUUUUUUUUUUUUUUUUACAUAAUCCCUCUAUGAUUUCAAAAGCUAUACAUAACUCCUUCAUGACUUGAAUUAAAGUGUCAAAAUGAAGGAAUUUGCAAUCCAUAACAGAGUCAACUAAAAUAUCAAAAAUACCCCUAUAUAAAGUUGAAAAUUAUUUAUUAACCACAGGGGGUUAUAUAUAUAUAUUGAAAAUCAUAAGGGGAUUAUAUGGUAAAACACUAAACUAUAAGAGAGUUAUAUGGUAAAAUAUAAAAUCAUACUAGAUUAGAGUGUUAUACAUAUUAUGUUUAUAUAUUUUAGUCACUUCAGUCAUUUUAGUUUUUAAACAAGGGUAAUUUCAACAUUUUUUUAGGUUCCAUCAUGGAUGAUCAUUUUCGUCACUUUGACACUUUAAUCCAAAUUAUAAGAAAAUUAUACAUAGUUUCUAAAUCUAGAGAGGGUUAUGUGGAAAUUAGCUAUACCACAUGGCGGUAAACUAUAAUUUACCUUAGGUUAAAUAUGGGCUUGUAGGAAGUUGAUUGACGAAUCCAUGCAAACGCAUAUGGUCAAUCAUAGUGAUAAAUUACUUGGAGUAUUUCAGGGUAGAAUCUACAAGGACAAUUUAAUUCUCUACUCUAAUUAUUCUAACAAAAAUAAUAAAACUUAAAUUCAAAGAGUUGUAAUUACUAACUAAGCAAUAAAGUAAUAAUCAAGUCAAGUCAAGUACUAUAGAGAAAACAAUAGAUGCAAAUUUAGGGUUUCAAGUUUUAAUCCAGAAUUUGAGUCAAUUAUCUAGUUAAUUUCUUAACAAACCAUGAAUGCAUCAUACAAUUAUAUUUUAGAUUAUCUCUCGAUACAUUUAAAGUAUGCCUAAUUAAAUCCUACGUCUCUCUUGAGUUUGCAAGUAUUUAUUAAAUCCUUUAAGAACUUUGGUGAUAUAAGUGCAUUUAUAAAUCCCAACUUACACUCGUGAUUAACCUAAAUAUGUUUAUCUAUCUAGUGCACGACUGAAUCUUGCUUCUCAAUUUGAUACAAACCCAAAAAUCAUGUCUAUCGUGAUCAAGCACAAACACGUAAUUAAAAUCAAGAUAGAUAAAUUAUAGCAAAAGAUAAGAAAUUAAACUAGAAAAAUGAAUCAAAUUUCUUCAUAAAAAUCCGAACCCUAGAAGUAAAUUUAGUUUAGUUCAGCAUAAUUGGAAAAUUAAAACCACGAAUCCAAAGAGUUGCUACAAAGAUAAGAAAAAGAGUAAGAAAACUUCUCAGUUGCUCACUCUAGUCCUCUCGUUGUGUGCUCCUUGAUUCGCUCACGUUUGAUCUUGAUUUUUUAAGAAUAAACUAUGAAAAAAUGUUAGAACUAAACUAGGCUAAUGUUUUCUAAUCCUUUAAAAAUGACCUAGAACACCCUAUUUAUAGUUUCUUAAAGUAGUAUCCCAAACGGGGUAGGAUUAGGCUUAUUGGAACUAAAAAACAACGUUUCCAUGCAUUUUUUUCAACGAAGACAGGCUCAAAAUCUAGUGCCAGUCAUUGGGACUAGAGAAACUCCAGUGUGAAGACCAAACUGAUAAUUAGUACCGGUUAUAACUGAUCCACAUACAGAUCACUAGGGAUCCAUGAUAUGGAUCCUCUUUGAAGCCAAAAACUCUAUCAACAAGGCCAAAUCUGUGACAGCCCCACCUCCCCCUAAGGCGAACCAAAGGGUUUGGCGGAUCGCCUGCCCAGCUCUCGCCGGGACUUAGUCAGUCACUUCAAGAAAAAAAGAUAAAACCCACAAGAACAAUCGUAAUAACAAUUCCAAACUUAAAACGUAAACUUAUAUACAUUACUAUCUCAAAAGGAAUACAACUCAAAACACAAAAGUUCUCAAAUCUUAAUACAUCUAGCCCUUGCCAAGUGCUAGCGCGAGAACCAUUACAAACAAAAAUUCAAAAGAACUAGACUACGCUAGUCUCUACAGCUCUCUCGUCCUUGCUCGCAUCCCCUGUUAAUGAAAACAAAACUAACGAAAUGAGCUAAAAACUCAGUGGGGUUCCAAACACAUAAUCAAACAAUAAACUCAAUGCAUUAACCAUAGAUAACCAAUAAUUCAAGAAACAUUUACAAUAUAAAGCGAUAAUAACACAUUCAUUAAAAGGAUACGUGCUCACGAGAAGUCAUUCAUUCAUUCAUUCAUUCUCCUUUCAUUUCCUUAUUCCUCCAAUCAUUUGAAAAUGUAUUUUUGAUAAGUAAAACCCCUCAUUUCCAUUGCCACUCGUUCAUUCAUUUCAUUCCACCCCCUUCCAGACGUUGGCCGGACUCCACCAGAUUUCAAGGUAAUACUCGAGUAUACCAAACAGUCACCCAAGGUCACCAAAUCGCCCGACCGAAUCCGUUUCUGGCUCGAGUCGAUCGGUAAUGAAGGGCAAGGCCCAGUUCAGCCAAAAGGCUUACAUUCAUGCACAAGUAAUAUUUCAAUCAUUGAAUCACUGAAAAUUUCACAUUCAUUUAGGUCGAGUGCGAUAAAGUACACACUCGCCUAAAAAACUCAUUUUGGCAAUCAUUGAGAGCACUUAACACAUUAUCAAACAUCCACAACAAGUCAUAUAGUCAAUGGAAAUAUAACAAAUAAGGAACACUCACCUAUUUACGCAAAAGAACGACCAAAGUAACCUUCUGGUAAUACCCUCAAUCACCAAAGAAACCUAGGUUUAAACAAAAGAGAAUAUUACAAUCCAUCUAGCAAAAGUUAGGUAAAUCAAAGAAAUCCAAAGUACCAGGUAUACGUAUAACUUUUGGGAUAAAAGUUUACAUUUAAACCAAGGGAUAUGGGAAACUAAAAGUUUUCCAAAUCAAGUACAAAACCAACUAGAAGGGUUUAGAAAAUUGGCAUGAAAUAAGUAAACAUUUGAAGUUCCAAACUGAAGAGGUAUCAUGUUUUAAAAUGAUUAAAACGGUCAUGAUAUUUACUAAGCAAAAAUAUGUAAGUUCAAAUAGAAAUGUAACUCCUCGAACACCCUUCGAGAGAGCCGAUGUAGUUCUAAUCGAAAUAAGUCCAACUCGGUACAAAAUCGCAUUCCCAAAAGUCAUUUUUACUCAAUUUACAAGAAAAUAAACGGACAGCAUUUCCCCUGCACCACUUCACUUUCACCCAACAAUCAAGCACCAAAUUUCACAAUAAACAACCACAAUGGCACAUUUACAUCAUAGACGAUUAAAUACUCUUCAUUAGGGUCACAAUACCCCCUUUAAUCUUAACCAAUUAAGGCCUCAAUAACCAACUAUAAGAAAGCCCCAAAUUAAAACCUUAAAACUGAAAUUAACCCCACAAGCGGAAAUUUUCCGUAGGAAAUCACAACUAGUUCAAAUAAACUUCACCUUACACCUAACCAAGCUAUCAUUCCAUGGCCAAACAACAAUUAUCAUAUAAAAUCAGAAAAAUCACCAAUAAAUCAAAAAUUGAUCAAACUCUAUUUAAAAUCAUGAAAUCAUCCACAAAAUAGCAUGUCUAACUUCUACAAACCACUAAUUGACCAUUAUUGAAGCAAAGAAAGAACUUCCUUAUCCAACUUACCUCAAACUCAAGAAAGCUAGCAACUUAAAGCUUCGCUUUCAAAAAUCACUCCAUCAAAAGCUUCAACCCUCCUAAGAACACACUUGUACGGAGUAGUUUGCGAUUUCACCGAUUAAAACUCAAGAUUUGAGCAACACUUGAAACUAGAAAAUGAAGAACUUUCUUGGUUUUUCUCUCAAGACAGCCGGUCAAGCAAGGAGCAAAAAUGAAGAUAUUUUGGCCAAAAACAGGAUAAGAAUGAAAGAAAAACAGUCGGUCAAACCAAGCUACCGGACCGCCACGUCACAAUCCGGCCGGAUUCAAGGCAGUGGCGGAUCAAAUUUUUUUUCAAAUCACUCAAGCAAUCCGGCCAAUAUGGCUGGAUUUCCGGCCGGAUUGGAUCCAAAACCUUUCCACCAAAAAUUUUUUCUUUCCAAGCUCAAACGUUGCGCUCAUCCGCUCUUCCAACAAAGAUAUAUAUAAUCUCACACAAUUACACUUGAUAUACACAAUCACACGUUCAUAUAUGUGCAAUGAAAAAACCCUUCUUAGAAAUGGAUAGAAAUUUUUGUUUCAUUUUCAAAUGGAAAGUGAGAUAAAACAAAACGCUGGGAAAAGGUGAAAAUUUUAGGGUUCUCACACUCUCUCCCCCUUAAGAAAUUUCGUCCUCGAAAUUUUACCUUCAGUUGUUUCAGACGAGUCCGGAACUUGUCGGUUGUCUAAAGCAUAAACCUUUGCCGGUACAUUUGUUCGAUCCCCUCUUUCUUUCACGGGUUUUGAUUUGAUUCCAUCCGGUGAUUGAGUACUACUCUCUCGUGACUAUUUUCUCGGGCAGUUACUAACCUGAUGAUCACCACUUUCACAGAUCAAACACUUCCGCCCUUUCCUCCAACAAUCACUCUCGGUGUGAUUUGCCUUUCCACAAUAUCCACAGACCAAGUAAGAAGCCACCUUUUGACUUUCUUGAGAAAUCUCCCCAUGUCCUAUUUGACUUCCUUUUGUAGACCUUUCAUCUACUGCCCCUAAUGUCCAUGGUGGGCGGGGUAAAGGGUUCACUUUUUGCAGUUUAGAAGGUGCUAUCGUUUCACUAACUUCCUUAGAUAUACUACCAGAUGCACCCCUUUUUCGGAUUUGGGAGGCUUUUACCUGUGCCUUUGCAUCUUCAAUUCUUUGAGCUUUCUCAAGAGCCUCCAUAAAGGUAUUAACUUGCACCGCUGCUAAUGCUUCAUGGAUUUCCAAAUUCAAUUCCUGUAUGAACCGUCUUACUCUUCGCCGUUCCGUGGCUACCAAUUCAGAAGCAAACUUGGAUAGUUUCGUGAAUUUCGUUUCAUAUUCGACCAUACUUUGAGUUCCUUGACGUAAUCCAAUAAACUUCUCCUCUUUCCUUUCUUGAACUAAAGGUGGGAGGUAUUUCUCGUUAAAUUCUCUUAUAAAAUUCGCCAUGUCCAUGCAGUCUGUUCUCUUUUCCACUUUGCUUUAAUAACAUUCCACCACGCACGGGCCGGUCCUUCAAAUUAAAACACCGCAAAGUUCACUUGUCUUUGUUCAGUGUAGUUCAAAGCUGUGAAAAUAUUAGUCAUGGCCUCUAACCACUGUUCAGCUAUGUCCGGAUCAGGCCCUCUAUGAAAUUUCGGAGGUACAAAUUUUUGAAACCUCUCAAGAGCCCUAUCCUCGCCUAUAUCGGGAUUUCGGGGUUGGUUUAUUGGCAUUUGACCUUGUUGAUCUACCAGUCGUGCUAAGAUAUUCGUCAUUUGUUGCAUCGCCGUCGCCAUUUGAUCUCCGGUCUCAACCCUCGGUCCAUGUUCUUGCUCGGCAGACGUUUUCCUUUCUUCUCUUGGUUCUGGGGCUCGCUUAGUUCCACGGCUACGACCACGUCCACGACUACGUCUCCCCUCCAUACUUUUUUUUUCCUCUCUCUUUUCUUUUCUUUUCCAAAAGGUAAUUUAAUAAAUAAGCGAAAUAAAUUGACUAAAAUAACAAGAUCUAGCACAACAAAUACACAAAGAGACAUAUACAUGACAUAACACACCAUAUACGCAAAGAGGCAUAUCAAGUUAGACAGGUAAUCAAAAGUAGUCAAUAUUACACACGCAGGUAUUAACAUACCACAAACAAAAGUCAUGUAGUAACAAUACAAGGGCAAAUCAAAAGAUAGGUGGUAUAUCGUCCCAGUCUCAGUUAAAAUAACCCCGUCCGGUCUCUCACGUCACUUUCUAUCCAAACUAGACGUCCGUUGACCUCUUGUAUUCAUUCUAACCAAACAAAGCCUGUUCAUGUUCCCAAAAUGCAAGUCUCAAGUACUUAGGAUCGCCUCAACUCUGGAGUACUCGGGCACGAGAAUCCGAAAUAAGAUAAUUCACAUCUCGAGUUGGGCAGUCCCAAGAGUAAACUAUCUACAAUCAAGAUUCCUGCCUGACGUACCUAUCUAUGGUUCUUAGAUACCAUGAGAAAGAUUUAAGGCCUAUAACACUUCAUGAUUCAUAGCUUAUGCUCGAACGAGCACUUAGUCCUUCAUAUUUAUUCACCACUUAGCCCAAGUUCAUUCCGUGCAGAGACCACGCAAAGCAGGCUCUGAUACCAACUGUGACAGCCCCACCUUCCCUUAAGGCGAACCAAAGGGUUCGGCGGACCACCUACCCAACUCUCGCCGGGACUCAGUCAGUCACUUCAAGAAAAGAAGAUAAAACCCACAAGAACAAUCGUAAUAACAAUUCCAAACUUAAAACGUAAACUUAUAUACAUUUCUAUCUCAAAAGGAAUACAACUCAAAACACAAAAGUUCUCAAAUCUUCAUACAUCCAACCCUUGCCAAGGACUAGGGCAAGAACCAUUACAAACAAAAAUUCAAAAGAACUAGACUACGCUAGUCUCUACAGCUCUCUCGUCCUUGCUUGCAUCCCCUGUUAAGGAAAAUAAAACUAACGGAAUGAGCUAAAAGCUCAGUGAGGUUCCAAACACAUAAUUAAACAAUAAACUCAACGCAUUAACCAUAGAUAACCAAUAAUUUAAGAAACAUUUAUAAUAUAAAGCGAUAAUAACACAUUCAUUAAAAGGAUACGUGCUCACGAGGAGCCAUUCAUUCAUUCAUUCAUUCUCCUUUCAUUUCCUUAUUCCUCCAAUCAUUUGAAAAUGCAUUUUUGAUAAGUAAAACCCCUCAUUUCCAUUGCCACUCGUUCAUUUAUUUUAUUUCACCCCCUUCCGGACGUUAGCCGGACUCCACCAGACUUCAAGGUAAUACUCGAGUAUACCAAACAGUCACCCAGAGUCACCAAAUCGCCCGACCGAGUCCGUUUCUGGCUCGAGUCGAUCGAUAACUAAAGGCAGGGCCCAGUUCAGCCAAAAGGCUUACAUUUAUGCAUAAGUAACAUUUCAAUCAUUGAAUCAUUGAAAAUUUCACAUUCAUUUAGGUCGAGUGCGAUAAAGUACACACUCGUCUAGAAAACUCGUUUUGGCAAUCAUUGAGAGCACUUAACACAUUAUCUAACACAUUAUCAAACAUCCACAACAAGCCAUAUAGUCAAUGGAAAUAUAAUAAGUAACGAACACUCACCUAUUUACGCAAAAGAAUGACCAAAGUAACCUUCUGGUAAUACCCUCAAUCACCAAAGAAACCUAGGUUUAAACAAAAGAGAAUAUUACAAUCCAUCUAGAAAAAGUUAGGUAAAUCAAAGAAAUCCAAAGUACCAAGUAUACGCAUAACUUUUGGGAUAAAAGUAUACAUUUAAACCAAGGGAUAUGGGAAACUAAAAGUUUUCCAAAUCAAGUACAAAACCAACUAGAAGGGUUUAGAAAAUUGGUAAGAAAUAAGUAAACAUUCGAAGUUCCAAACUGAAGAGGUAUCAUAUUUUAAAAUGGUUAAAAUGGUCAUGAUAUUUACCAAGCGAAAAUAUAUAAGUUCAAAUAGAAAUGUAGCUCCUCGAACACCCUUCGAGAGAGCCGAUGUAGUUCUAAUCGAAAUAAGGCCAACUCGGUACAAAAUCGCAUUCCCAAAAGUCAUUUUUACUCACUCAAUUUACAAGAAAAUAAACGGACAGCAUUUCCCCUGCACCACUUCACUUUCACCCUACAAUCAAGCACCAAAUUUCAGAAUAAACAACCACAAUGGCACAUUUACAUCAUAGACGAUUAGAUACUCUUCAUUAGGAUCACAAUACCCCCUUUAAUCUUAACCAAUUAAGGCCUCAAUAACCAAUCAUAAGAAAGUCCCAAAUUAAAACCCUAAAACUGAAAUUAACCCCACAAGCGGAAAUUUUCCGUAGGAAAUCACAACUAGUUCAAAUAAACUUCACCUUACACCUAACCAAGCUAUCAUUCCAUGGCCAAACAAUAAUUAUCAUAUAAAAUCAGAAAAAUCACCAAUAAAUCAAAAAUUGAUCAAACUCUACUUAAAAUCAUGAAAUCAUCCACAAAAUAGCAUGUCUAACUUCUACAAACCACUAAUUGAUCAUUAUUGAAGCAAGGAAAGAACUUCCUUAUCCAACUUACCUCAAACUCAAGAAAGCUAGCAACUUAAAGCUUCGCUUUCAAAAAUCACUCCAUCAAAAGCUUCAACCCUCCUAAGAACACACUUGUACGGAGUAGUUUGCGAUUUCACCAGUUAAAACUCAAGAUUUGAGCAAAACUUGAAACUAGAAAAUGAAGAACUUUCUUGGUUUUUCUCUCAAGACAGCCGGUCAAGCAAGGAGCAAAAAUGAAGAUAUUUUGGCCAAAAACAGGAUAAGAAUAAAAAAAAAAAACAGCCGGUCAAACCCGGCUGCCGGACCGCCACGUCACAAUCCGGCCAGUUUCUGGCGGGAUUCCAUGUUGGAUUCAAGGCAGUGGCGGAUCAAAUUUUUUUUCAAAUCACUCAAGCAAUUCGGCCAAGAACUGGCCGGAUUGGAUCCAAAACCUUUUCACCAAAAAUUUUUCUUUCCAAACUCAAACGUUGCGCUCAUCCGCUCUUCCAACAAAGAUAUAUAUAGAUAUAUAUAAUCUCACACAAUUACAUUAGAUAUACACAAUCACAUGUUCAUAUAUAUGCAAUGAAAACCCUCCUUAGAAAUGGAUAGAAAUUUUUGUUUCAUUUUCAAAAGGAAAGUGAGAUUAAACAAAACGCUGGGAAAAGGUGAAAAUUUUAGGGUUCUCACAAAAUCAGUUCUUAGUCGAAAUAUACAAUUUGUAGCUCUAUGAAUUAACUUUCUAAUGCCAUCAGAAUCAAGUCAUUUGGAAGUUUGAACGUUGAGAUAUGUCCAAAAUACUGAGAAUUGGUCAGAAGAUCAUCAAAGCAAAACUAUACUUCAAUAAUUUGAACUUUUGACUAUGAAAACGUGAGAACCAAACUUUAAUAUUUUCAUAAUAAUUAUAGAGCAUUCUCUUAGUUUCAAAAGGAAUCAAGAAUCAUCUCAAUCCAAUUUUUGUAGUUCAAGUUAUUGCCAAAAUACUUAAAAAAGUCAAUUUUGCCAAACCCCUUCCUCUUCGCUUUUCUUUUUCCACUGCUUUUUCGCACUACAUUUUUGGUCUGUUUUCUCCCCAAUUAAGUCCUUCACCUAUUAGAACAAUAUGAGAACAAAACUAGGUAGUUUCUAUUAAAAAUAAAGUUCAAAUAAACUAAUUAGCUAGUAACUUAUGCAUAUAAAUGCACUACAAUCUACGUCCUAUCAAAAGUACAUUCAUCAGGAAGCCAAGUAAAAAGAUUCAGGAGAAGAAGAAGCUCCCUGGGACUUGGAAACUUUGAUUGAUGAUAGUAUUAUGUUCCAAAGGAGCAAAAGCGAUUUAUCUUAGUAAAUUACGAUCUUGAAAUUUUUUAUAUUUUUCAGAGCUGCUCAUAAUUUUUUAGAACUAUUGAAUCUAUUAAAUUGCAAAUUUAUUAUUGCUAGUGCAUGUUUAACACCACAUUAGAAUAGUGAUGUAAAUCAAAUCGUGCUGAAUGAUUUUCAGCAAUCUUUUAGUGAAUUUUACCUUUUAUUUAAAAAAGAAUUAAGUUCCAAAGGAAACUGCUGGAGAAACUUUGGUGAAUUGGGAAUAGUACAAGACAUGUACUAAUAGCUUAGCUAGAAUACAAAAUCUCAUCAAAUAGUUGUAGGGAUUAAUGAGUGAACGGAUUCCUAGCCUCAAAUAAUUUAAUUGAUUAAAGACCAUAUAUUUGGCAAACAAAUUUGAUCAUCAAAAUCUAAAGUGUAAAGGGACAAAAAUAUGAUCCCCUUUAACGUAAAAUAGUGAUAAUAGUAAGCAUGACCAAUCAUCAAGCAAAAUGUAAUUGACCCUUGGACAUGGUCAGGUCAAUUGUUACUUACAGUGUGUAAUGCAAAUUGUACCUUUCAGACGACCCGCUGACUCCAACGACUCAAAAAGUCUAUUCUUGUCUAGUGCCUCAUUAACUGCUUCAUUGGAAAUCAUGGCAGCUCAAAUUGCCUGAAAUCUUUCAGCAACCUUCCUGAAAGUUCAUGGAGGAGAUUUGGCUUGAAAAAAAAAAUGUAAGAUCCAGACUGUACCUUGUAUAUAUGUAGGGCUCACACCAUAUAUAGCCCUGCAUCGUUUUUUCAUAUCAUGUGUAGGGUUUACAAAAUUUUGUUAUAUAAUUAUACGUUGUUGAAAGUGAAGCCCCGUUUGUGAAUUUUUUAGAUAUUUGUCUAAAAUUUUACUGUAGUUUACUGUGGAUAUUGUAUGAAAAAUUUUUGAAGUAUGUAAAUUUUUAGAUAUUUUAAAAUAUAUAAUUUAAAAACUUUGAGAAGUUUUUUGAAGUUACUGUAGUUAAAAUUGUUAAAAAACUUGUAGUAAACAAAUUUGACCAAAAACUUACUUGCCAAACAACCCUGAGUUACACCAUGUACAAAGUGAAUUACAUCUUGUGUAUUUUGUACAAAACCAGCCCGAACUAUUUUCCUAACAACCGUUCGGGCCCGAGUUCCUUAGAAACCAGUGCGAAGAAGACCUUUAAUAUUUCUAACCAUGCAUGUACAGAUUAUUUAGAAGCAAACUCCUCUAAACCAUCUUGAGGGUAAAGAAAUCAUGAGUUCUUUGGCAGUAGAAAAGAAUAUUUUCACUUUCAUUUGGCAUAGGUUUUUUUUCUUUUUUUUUGUUUUUCUAUGUUCUUUUUGGCUAUGACAAACAAAAUUUUGUCAUAGAAUUACAAUCAUUAACUAUUUAAGAAUAAAUUAUAUGAACAGUAUUUAUUUUUUCUUUAGACUCAUUAAGUAUUUAAGAAUAAAUUAUAUGAACAGUAUUUAUUUUUUCUUUAGACUCAUUUUUUAAAGCAAUUUUCAUUAUAUAUAAAACCUAAUUGUUUGCAUUUGUUUUGUGACAAUCAAGCUACACUUCAUAUUGCUGCUAAUCCUGUUUUUCAUGAGCGUACCAAACACAUUGAGAUUGAUUGUCACUUUGUUAGCGAACGGAUUCAGUCCAAUGAGCUUUGUACCCAUUUCAUUCGUUCAGAGUAUCAACCUGCUGACUUGUUCACCAAAGCACUUGGUUUUAAUCCUUUUCAACAAUUGUUACGCAAGCUUGGUGUUUUGUUCCUCCAUACUCUAGCUUGAGGGGGCCUGUUAGCGUACCUCACCCUUAUUCCUUAUCUUGUUAUCUCUUGUAACAACUAUACGAUUAAGAUAGAAUUAGUUUUUGUAUUCUUAUAUGAUAAAGAUAAAAUUAGUUGUAUGAUAAUGAUAGAGUUAGCGUAGUAUUCCAGUACGUACGUUAGGCUAGAAAUCUGCUAUUUAAUUUUCUAUAAAUUCUCAGUUGUACACAGCACUUAUAAAUAGAUGAAUAAAAUCACCACCUUUUGUCAUAAAUGUAGAGAUCAUACUUGUCUCACAAUAUAUUCGAGUUUUGAGACUAAUUCAUUCUUACCCAAACUCACUUGUUAUUCCUUAAUUUCCUUAAGAUAAUCGAUAUAACCAUGAAGUGGUAAAGCUAUUUUGAAAUCUACAACAUUAAAACUACACAUAAACCAAUACUAAUUACUAAUUAUACAUUAAAUACUUCCAAAUAAUACAUUUACCGGCCCGACUCCUCCUUAUUGUCAGCCUUACUUUGACUAGCCUUUAUGAGGGUAUAGCGCAUAUAUUUAAGGUUGAAAGAGAGUUAACUGUGACUAUCUCCUAAAUUCAGGAGGGCAAAGUGUUAUUAACCUUGUUAAAUAUUUUUUUUUUUUAGGUUCUCACAUUACCUGUAGGUGCUAUAUGAGUAAAUGGAUUAGAGUUUCCGGGUAUGUUUUAGAUGAAUAAAUAUCUUGGAAAACGUCUAAGGGAAACGUGUCAAUCACAAUAGACCAUUAAUAUCUUGGAAAACGUCUAAGGGAUUUAACUAUUUGAAUAGUGUCAAUGUAUAAAUAAACAGGUAAUGAUGAUGACAACUUACUGGGCCGUGAUGGGGUUGAAGUCUGCAACAAGAACACGAUAACAACGCGGCACAAUAUUCACACCACGCCGCCAACGGCCAUUGACUGUUGAUUUGUUAAAUCUGUGCUCAGUUUGUGAUGAACACAACAUCUGACCAUUCGAAGUCAAUAUUCGAUAACUGGUAUUUUGAAAUUCAUAAAACGUGUAUAGAAAAAGAAAGAAUAAAGGUGAGACAGGAAGACAAAUUGUAGGGCUUGAAUUAAAGUCAUUUUGCUUUCGUUUCAAUACCGGAAGGAGAAAUGGACUGCUUUUUAUCUGCAUUGAAAAAAAAAAGGCUAACUAUAUAUCAGGUGAAGAGAAUAUACGGGACUAAGGGUGGUCCAAAAUUAACUAUGGAAUUACUUUCAAUGUGUAGUUUAAAGAGUAGAAAGAAAGCCCUCCAGAGCCUUGUAUUCAAAUAGAGGAUCGGAUGCGGAAGAUCAAGAGCCUUAAGUUACUUUUGCACUCACAAGAAAAUUUGGUAAAAAGAAAUUAAAGAUUUUUGAUUAAUAAUGAGAGUAGUUUGAAAAAUAAAGUCCUAACAAGACCUAAUCUACUAUAUAUAUUUAUAUACUUACUCUAUUUAAUCUUACAUACUAUUCUUUGUAUUUAUUUCCUUUCCCUAACUAAUCUUGUAUUUUAAAAAAAGCUUAAAAGCUUAAAAAGAGAAGCAUCUCUUUGACUAUUUUUGGCUUUUCGAUUCUAGUAUACUCUUUCAUACAGACAAACAUACCUUUCAAACUUUUUAACAUAAUUGCUGAGGCCGGGAAAAAUAUUACUGCCAUACACAUCUCUGUCAUUUAUUACUAUUUGUACCCCACUUCUAAAUUCGCCUUUGUCUCCAUUCAUCUUCUUCUUUUCCAAUAUUUAGUCUUUACAAGAAAAACAAUUAAUUACAUAAAAAAAUACCAUUUAAUUAGUACAAAUGUCACUUUUGUAGCACAUAAGGGCAACUUGAUCAUCUUUUUGUCAAAACCAAUUUACAACACUUUUCGUGAACACCCAUGCAUUUAUUAAAAUAAUUUUUUCCACUAUAAAGGAGAACACUAGUUAUUCUAAAAAUCUAAUUUGAAUACAAGAAAAAAAUUACUAUCGUAUCCUUAUUCACUUUAUACACUUGUUGCUAAUUUGAAUACAAGCAAACCCAGGGUAAAAAUUUUUUUUUUUUUCUCUUUUAGAUGAAAGGAGAUAGCGAGUCAAAAAAUUUCUCUUUUACCUCCCACCACAUUACCAAAUCCCUAAAUCCUUAAAUAUGAAUUCUCAAAUCUUACACCUAAUUUUCCAAACUUCAAAGCUGUGAAAUCUGGAUUGGUUUGUGGUUGAGAGAUGAAGUGGGGUGGAUGCACUUACAAUGCGGCUGAACGUGAAGGUUUCGAUUGAUACUUACAAUAGGGAAACAGUAUGACGGGCAUGGGCAUACCCUAUGUUAUUGUUAAUACUUAAUAUACUUAAUUCCUAUUUUCUUUUAUACCUUUUUCUAUCUUUUCAAUUUUUCUUUUUCUUUUUCUUUCUCUUCAUCAAUUGCAUUUCGCGCGUGUGAGUGUAUGUAUAUGUAUAUGUAUCUAUAUACACAUAUAAUAAUGACAAUAAUAAUAAUAAUAAUUCCCUGUUCAAUUCCCAUUUUAGUAGGUUGUUGAAUUGACUACUUUCAUUUUUUUUUUCAUGUGGCCAUAUUUAGUUUUUUUUGAAGUUGAAUAGAUUUUGAGUAUUUUAUUUUUUUGUAACAAUCAAUUCCAUCCAUUUAUUUUCACCCACUUAUUGCCCUUUUCUUUUUCACCUACUUAACCGUCUCAACUUUCAAUCCAUUUAUUUAAUUCCUACCUUACGUACCAAAAUUUUCCAAAUUGUGCAAAAUGGAACUUGUGAGGCCUAUUCUGGUGAAAUCUACAUGGCGCUUUUCGCAUUCCAUGUAGUAAACGAUUGAACAGUAGGUGAUUAUCUUUUUUUUUUUUUUAAAUAAAUUUAGCUACAUGUAGUUAAGUUUUGUGGUGACUAUAUUCCCAUAUAUGUUAUGGAAAGCUGUAUAUUCAGUUUCCUGUUGUUUGUUUUGUGGUUCAUUUGUACAGUGCUUGAUUUAUUCAUGGUUGGUAAAUAUCUAAACAAUUGAUGCCUUUGCUAAGUUGAUGGAUUCGAAUAGCUUAUCAUGUCGUCUAUAUAAAUCUAAGAAUUUUUCUAAUGGGUGUCCCAUAAACAGUCGUUAGCAUUCACCUAAUCUACUAUAUAUAUAUAUACACACACACACAUACUAACAAUUAUUACCCUCUAUUAUAUUUAUAUACCUUUUUUCUAUUUAAUUUUACCUAUCAUUUCUUAUAUUUAUUUCCUUUACCUAAUUAAUUUUACAUUUUAAAAAAUAUGACACAUGAAAUAUAUAUUAAUGAGUGCUAUAGUAGACAAACCCUAAAUCUAAUUAUUAAAAAAAAACCCAAAGUCUAUGGAAGAUAGUUUGACUUGACCAACCCAAUCUCGAUCAAUGAUGGCUUCUAAUCUACGAGCGCAAGCAGAUCAGAUAUGUGAGCCUCACAUGAUUAUUCCGCGUAUAGGAUAGGAUGAGUCUAUUCUCAACUAAUUUUUGAAACUUGGUUCUAACUUUUGAUCUUCGAAGAGUUAAUUUUUAUGCUCUCAGCUAACUUUUGAAAACCUGAUGAUUAUUCUGUGUAUAGGAGAGAAUGGGUUUGUUUUCAAUUGAUUUUGAAAACUUGAUUUAACUUCUGAUUUUCGAAAAGCUAUUUUUUUGUUGUUUUUGGUCUAAAAAAGCUUAAAAUUUGAAGCAUCUCUUGAGCUAAUAUUGGCUUUUCGAUUCUAGCAUACUUUUUCAUACUGACAAACAUACCUUUCAAACUUUAACAUAAUUACUGAGGUUGGGAAAAAUUUUUCUGCCCACACAUCUCUGUCAUUUACUACUAUUUGUACCCCACUUCUAAAUUCGUCUUUGUCUCCAUUCAUCUUCUUCUUUUCCAAUAUUUAAUCUUUACAAGAAAAACAAUUAAUUACAUAAAAAAAUACAUUUUUGUUUGGAUAGUGUAUUAUUUGAAAUAUUAUUUGGAAUAAUUACUAUAGUACUUUUUAUGAUGUGAUGUAUGUGAAAUAAAAAGGUGAUUGAGAAUAUAAAAAAGUAGGUUGGAAAAUGUGUCUAUGAUGCAAGCAAAAUAUUAUUUGAGAUAAUUUGGGUAUCCAAACAUUUAAUUAGUACAAAUGUCACUUUUGUAGGACAUAAGGGCAAUUUGGUCAUCAUAAUGUCAAAACCAAAUUUUAACUCUUUUUGUGAACACCCAUGCAUUUAUUAAAAUAAUUUUUUUCAUCUAUAACUGAGAGCACUAGUUAUUCUUUAAAAAUCGAAUUUUCAAAAACCAAUUCUACAAAAUCAGAAUUAGUUAAAAACCUGCCUAUUUGCUUGAAUAGAUAUCCGGUUUUAAUGUAUUGGGUUCCGCGGAUAUCUGAACUAAAGAAUCUUAUAUGUUUUGCCAACUAGAUUUAAAAACAAAAUUUAUCUUGCAUUAUCAUUAAUUCACUCGAACAAGUAUCCACUGAAGAAUGAAGAAUGAUAUAGGGUUUCUCUAUGAAUUAUGCCCAUCCAUUGAUGAUAUACAAAUAUCUUCGACGAGCUUGAAUGUCUUAACAAUAUUAGAUUCCUAGGCCAAUAGAGUUACACAAGUUAGCGAAUUUUGUGAAAUAGUCACAUCUCCAUUUCCUAUAGAAUAGCCCCCUUGAUUUUGUAAAUCAGGCCAACGAUUUCUAGCAUUCUUAGUAAUAAAAAACUUCUCCCUUUAUCAAAUGCACUUGAAUAAAAACUUCGAGUCUUGGAUACACAUGCAUUCAGAUGGGGAUCCCUAUUUUCUUCUUCUACUGUAUCUUCUUUGCUUUCAUUUUCUUUACUUGUCGCACUCUCAUCUUCAUCCUUACUACUUCCUUCACUGUUCGAGUAGACUGCAUGCUUUUUUUGACACCUAAAUAACCAUCGUCACCACUAGAAACUCUUCAAAAAUUUGUUAACUUCAUUAGACUAGUUAACUCUCCAAAGGUAAAUCGCAUGUUCUCUUUUUGUGGGUAAAGAUGCGUCAGAUACUUUGUAGUUUGGGAUGGGUUUUUACUUGAUUUAUAGUGAAAGACUUGAGUGGGCGAGGGGGCAUGAAGGUGCCUAGGGAUAGGCAAUCGAAACUAGUUGGAAGAGAAAAUUGCUAUCCAAGAGGGGAUAUGUGGAUCCAAUCAACUAUCUGAAUCAUGAAACUUGUGUAAAAAUCUAAUGCUCAUAACCUUGGGAAUUCGUUUAGAGCUGUAGUGGCUUAUUAAAAAAAAUAUUUAUAUUAGUUGAGUUUUUGGUCAAAGUAUUUUUGAAUUAAUCAUAUUGUAUGGAUACAUACUUGUAUAGGAUUUUUUCUAUUUCAUAACGUACAAUUUUAAAUUUCUAAAACAUGUUUACAUCUUCAUUUAGUUGAAAAUUUAUAAUAAAUUGUAAAAGUUAAACUUUAAUUUUUUUUGAAAAAACAGUUUCUCUAUAAACAAAUUUUGAGCUUGUACUAAAGGUGUUUCAAUGGCUAAAAACUCUACUCCUAAAUUUGACUAAGGAAAAAUUGUAAUUUUAGAACUCAAUAUUUAGUACCUAUAUGGUCCUUAAAAGUGUUUUUAUCCUCUAAAAGUAUUUUUUAAUAAAGUACCACAACCCCAAAACGGAUCGAAGAUUUGGAUUUGGUGACACAUUGGAUAUCCACUAAAGUCAGAUCAAUCGGAUUGGAUUUCUCAGGUUUAUUAAUUUUUUUUAUUAUUUGACACCCCUACCUCUUUCCACCCACAGUAGAGAUUUGAGAGGUCUGAUUUUUUUUUUUUCAUUUCCCUUUUUCGGUUCUUUGGCUGGCUGGAACCAAAUGACUUCAAAUAUUGGACCUGUUUGGCCUCUCAUCUUAUGUAGAGUUGUAAACGAGUCGAAUCGAAUCGAGUAUUUUAUGUUUGAACUCUGUUUAUUAAGCGAUUCGAACAAAGUUCGUGUUCGUUCGUUAACGUUCGAACUCCAAACCUAUAUUCGUGUUCAACUCGUUAAGUAAAGUUCAUGUUCAAAUUCGAGUUCGUGUUUAGCUCGUUUAACAUAAACAAGCCGUUCGCGAACAUACUUGAAAAGUUCAAAUCCAUAUUAUUUUGAACCUUAAAUAUGCCAUACAAAUCAUUAAUCAUCCAAAAAAAUAAUUAAAACACUAAGUGACUAAAUUCUAUUAUUCAUUAACUAUAUAACUAACAUUAACAUAAAACAACAAAUAAAACAUAGCAAUUUGCCCUCUAAAUAUAAAAUUCCAGCCAUAAAAUUAACCUUAAAAUUUAUCAAAUGACAAUUAUGUCCAGGUUUCUGAACGUUCGUCAAAACUCGCGAACAUGCUUGUGUUCAUUCGAUUAUUAAUCGAACAAAAAAUUCGUUUGAACUCGAUUCGUUUUUAAGUUUCGAGUGAACCUUUCGCGAAUACAAAUGAGUCGAAACAAACCGAGCUACCGAAUAAUUCGGUUCGUUUAACAGCUCUACUCUUAUGUAAUUAUACCAAACAGUAGGCAUUCACAUACCAGAAUUUUACCACAAAUUGAUUAUCGGAAGUGUCAGCUACAACUGAGAACACUAUGCAUGCGAUAAAACACGCAUUAAAUUUCUACUAAAUUACUGUCGUAUCCUUAUUCACUUAAUAUUCUUGUUGCUAAUUUGAAUACAAGGAAACCCAGGGAAAAAAAAGGUUUCUCUUUUAGAUGAAACGAGAUAGGGAAUCAGAAAAUUUCUCUUUUACCUCCCACCAUAGUACCAAAUCCCUAAAUCCUCAAAUAUGAAUUCUCAAAUCUUACACCUAAUUCUCCAAACUCCAAAGCUGUGAAAUCUGGAUUGGUUUGUGGUUGAGAGAUGAAGUGGUGUGGAUGCACUUACAAUGUGGCUGAACGUGAAGGUGUCGGACAUUGGAACAAAAUGUUUGGAUUGAUGUUUUUCCAAAAAAAAACUUGUACUUUUUCCGUGAUUACAUUUUUCAAUCGUCAUUUUACUUCAUAUACAUUAAAUUGUUACAAUAUUUCUAAAAAAAAUUCCAGAAAAUAGCAAUCCGAACCGGAGUAAAAAUUGUGAUAUAAUACACAAAGCUAUUGUGGUAAUACGGAGGAUCCGAAAAAAUAAGUAUGGGAAAUAGUAUGACGGGCAUGUGCAUACCCUAUGUUAUUGUUAAUACUUAAUAUUCUUAAUUCCUAUUUUCUUUUAUACCUAUUUCUAUCUUUAUAAUAUUUCUUUUUCUUUCUCUUCAUCAAUUGCAUUUCAUGUGUGUGUGUAUGUAUAUGUAUCUAUAUACACAUUUAUAUAAUUAUAUAUAAUAAUAAUAAUAACCCACUGUUCAAUUCCCAUUUUAGUAGGUUGUUGAAUUGACUACUUUCAUUUUCUACUGAGUGGAAGCUCAAUAUUUUUGUCAUGCGGCCAUAUUUAGUUUUUUUGAAUUUGAAUAGAUUUUGUGUAUUUUAUUUUUUUGUAACAAUCAAUUCCAUCCAUUUAUUUUCACCCACUUAUUCCCCUUUCUUUUUCACUUUCUUAACUGUCUCAACUUUCAAUCCAUUUAUUUAAUUCUUACUUUACGUACCAAAAUUUACCAAAUUGUGCAAAAUGGCACUUGUGAGGCCUGUUCUCGUGAAAUAUAUGUGGCGCUUUUGGCAUUCCAUGUAGCAAACGAUUGAACAGUUGGUGAUUAUCUUUUUUUUUUUUCAAAUAAAUUUAGCUACAUGUAGUUAAGUUUUGUGGUGAUUAUAUUCACAUAUAUGUGGCGAAGAUAAGAGCAAGAAGAGAUGAUUUUCUCUCACAUUAUUAGAAAUCCGCCUAUUUGAUCAAUAAAUUUGAUUACCAAGAAAACCAUUUAAAUGUUGUGUUCGAUGCUAUAGUAAUUGUUAGGUAUGUCAAAAAAUAGUGUAAAUCUUAAAAUACACAUUAUGCUCCUUCAAUUUUAUAGGACAUUAUCCAAAUUUGUGAGGAGAAUCCACCCUUUGAGAAUCUUGUAUAGGAAAUGAGAUUAGUCUAGUGACAGUACUUGCCUAGGAAAUCGCAAAUAGCGUACUGUAAUCUAAGCCUGCAAUUUCUUUUCCUUUUUCUUCCCGUUUUGGAAACGUUUAACAAAUUCCAAAAGUCAAUAAUUGAACGUUGCAUUAUCAUAUUCUCAUAUUUGGAACAUAACUAACGGAGGACUUUGAAAAGUCGGUCAAAAUGGCUCUUAAAUACACAACUGCCUUAAACCAUUUGACACGUUAAUUUGAGCGGAUAUUUAGUAGUAAUAUUUAAGUUCAAAACUUGGGUAGACCUAGUGUUCAAAAACCUAAUGGUCCACAUUAUUUGUUGAAAUGAUUUGAACGAUUUGGAUUAUUGAAUUUUUGAAUACCGGAUCUAUCUAAACAUAAGCCAAUAUUUAAUCAUUGUAGUGAGCAUUUAAUGUGAUUAACAUCCUAGGUACCAUUUCCAUACAUACUUUGUUUUAUAUAUUGAAGACUUUGUAUCAUAUAAAGACGUUGAUAACUCUUUUAACAACAUGGCUAUGCUUUGGCUCCUAAGAUGCUUAUUGAUUAGUCAUUAGUGAUGUUCCCAAUAAUAGAUUCAUGUCCUAUUUAAUUUAAUUUUUUAUGUGAGAGGGACCUGACUUGAUUGCACAAGACUUUAGAAAGGAUGUGUUACACUAGUUUAAUAUAUUUUGUUCUCACAUUAAAUUUGAAUUCAACAACGUGCUAAACAGAUUGGAAGGGUUUCUUGGGUUUAAUAUGUUUUGUUGUUGUUGUGUCUUGAAUUCUUGUUUUUAAUUAUGAUUAUGAUGAACUAAAUUAUAUCAAGGGGUAGGAUUUUGUGAAGGAGUUUGAUUGUUUAUAUUAAUUAAAUGUUCAACUUUUGUCUUGAUUUAUUUAUCUUGAUUUAAUUAUAUGUUUAUAUUUGGCUACCAUAGACAUGCUUUUAGGAUUUGUAUUGAACUAAAAAAGGAUAUACAAUCAUGCACUAGAUAAAUAAGCAUACUUCUCCUAAUCACUAAAGUAGGUUAGGAUUUGUAUGAUAUAAAUAUAUCACCUAAGAUUUUAAAGGGUUUAAUUAAAUACUUUUGAUCUCAAAAUGUACGUGAGAUUUAAUUAAUCACAACUUAGAUGUAUUUAGAGAUAAUCUAAGGUACUUGCAUGGAAUACAUUCUUGGCAUGUUAAGAAAUUAACUAGAUAUUCAACUCAAACUCUAGAUUAAAAUAUGAAAUCCUAGUCUUUUGCCAAUUGUUUUCUCACCUAUAUCUUAUUUGAUUUGAGUGUUUAUUUAAUUUCUCAAGCAGUGAUUAAAAUACCCAUUGAGGUUAAUUUUUGUUAUUUUUGUUAUCGUUCUUGUGGGUUCGACCAUGGAAUAUUUCAGAUAAUUUAUUAUUACGAUCGACCCUAUGCACUUGAAACAAUUCGUUGAUCACUACCUACCCUAAAUUUGUGGAUUAAAAGAAAUUUCAUGUUACUUUUGCACUCACAAGAAAAUUUGGUAAAAAAAUCAAAGAUAUUUGAUUAAUAUUAAGAGUAAGUCCUCACAAGACCUAUUUAUACCCCCAAUGUGCCCGAAACUAAAAGGGAAACAAAAAUUGAAACUCUUGCCAGUAACAAAAUUGGUAAAUAAGUCGCAACAGCGCUUGUUUUGAGCUUUAAUAAAAGGAUUUUUUUUUAUUUAUAAAAUUUGGACAAAAUACUGGCCAAAAUAUGAGGCAUAACAUUGAAAGCUUGGCGGCAAAGUUUUAUUACCAUUAAAAGACGAAAAUUGUAGCAAUGUAGGAAUCUUAGUUGAGAAGAAGGAAAACAGAACCGGGUUUACUUUAAAAAAAUGUGUUCAGCAAGCUUUUCAGGGCUUUGUGGUAAUUCCGAAUGCCAUAAUACAUUUUGCAUAAAGUGAGUAGUUACUCAUUUUUCUUUCACAAAUUCACCCAAAUUAUAUACUUCUUAUGAAUUUCAAACCUUUCACCAUUUCCUAAAACUUCCUAUAUAUAGUUGAGCAAUUGCACCAACCUUUCGAAUAGGUGGUAGCUUCCGAAAUUUACCGGUUUCUGUAGAAUUCAUGGCCGCCAACGCUCUCACCACACUUUUCUUUCUCGUCUUACUUUCAACUUCAUCCAUCUUACCUGCGGCAUCAAGAACAGUUUCCGGGACAAGAAGUAAGUCUCGUGGUCCAAUACCUUGAAUAACCUAUGAUAACUUGGUUUAUCGUUUUAUGUGUGUUGUACUCUGGUCUCAUGCAGAUGGAUUUCGGGGUAAAGGUGCCAAUCUUCCAGAGGUAAAGAUAAGCCCAGGUGUCUAUCAUACACCACCUUCAGCAGGCACGAGUCGUCCUCCCCAGGCAGCCUAAGAUGAUUGAUAUCCCCAGUCGGACGACACUACACGAUUUGGACUGGGAUGUUACUUCCUUUUAUAGUUGUUUGUAAGCCUAGAUACGAAUGUGCAUCUCAAGUAUCAAAAUAAUCUGUUUUUAUAUGUCCUCGUUUUGCUUAUGGAAAGCUGUAUAUUCAGAUUCCUCUUGUUUGUUUUGUGGUUCAUUUGGACGGUGUCUGAACAAUCAUCCCAUGACUGAUGCAUAACAUAGCCGGUUCUAUCCAUAUAAAUUGAUGCCUUUGCUAAGUUGAUGGAUUCGAAUCGCUUAUCAUGUUGUCCAUAUAAAUUUAAGAGUUUUUUUAAUGGGUGUCCUAUAGACACUUGUUAUCAUUCACUUAUUCCAUUGUAUAUAUAUAUACUAACAAUUACAACUUUUUAUUAUGUUUAUAUACUUUCUCUAUUUAAUUUUUACCUACCAUUCUUUGUAUGUAUUUCCUUUCCUUAAUUAAUCUUGUAUUUUCAAAAAAUGACACAUGAAAUAUAUCUUAACAAGUGCUAUAGUAGACAAACCUAUGGUUAAAAACAAAGGGUUAAAAGCAAAAAAGCUCCUGUGAUAUAUCUAAUAUAUAGAAAAUCCCCCCAUGAUUUCAAAAUAUACAAAACGAUACCUCAUAUUUUGAACUAAAUUGUAAAUUAACAAAAUUCGUUAAAUUUAACUGAAUUCGGUAAAUUAACGGAAAACUUAACGGAAUCGGAUAAACUUAACGGUAAAUUUAACGGAAUCCAAUAAAUUUAACAACCGAAACCGUUAUUUUCGUUAAAUUUAACGAAUUCUAUUAGUUUACAAUUUAGUUCAAAACAUAAAAUAUCGUUUUAUAUGUUUUGAAACUAUAUGAGGGUUUUUUGUAUAUUAGGUAUAUUACAGGAGACUUUUUGUUUUUAAACCACCAAAUUAUUACCCAAAAAAAAAAAACCAAAGUCUAUGGAAGACUGUUUGACUCGACCAACCCAAUCUCGAUCAAUGAUGGCUCCUAAUCUACGGGUGCAAACAGAUCAAAUAUGUGAGCCUCGCAUGAUUAUUUCGUGUAUAGAAUAGGAUGGGCUUAUUUUCAAGUAAAAUUUGAAACUUCGUUCUAACUUUUGAUCUUCUAAAAGUUAAUUUCUAUGCUCUCUCAGCUAAAUUUUGAAAACCCGAUGAUUAUUUCGUGUAUAGAAGAGAAUGGAUAUGUUUUAAAUUGAUUUUGAAAACUUGAUUUAACUUCUGAUUUUCGAAAAGCUAUUUUUGUGCUAUCAACUGAUUUUAAAAAUUUUGAUUUUUUUUUUUGUAUAACAAAGCUUAAAAUCAGAAGCAUCUCUUGAGCUACUUUUGGCUUUUCCAUUCUAGCGUGUACUUUUGUCAUACAGACAAACAUACCUUUCAAAAAAAAAAAAACUUUAACAUAAUUCUGAGGCCAGGAAAAUUUUUACUACCAUACACAUCUUUGUCAUUUAUUACUAUUUGUACCUCAUUUCUAAAUUUGCCUUUGUCUCCAUUCAUCUUCUUCUUUUCCAAUAUUUAGUCUUUACAAGAAAAACAAUUAAUUACAUAAAAAAUACUAUUUAAUUAGCACAAAUGUCACUUUUGUACGGGCAAUUUAAUCAUCUUUUUGUCAAAAACAAUUUUCAACUCUUUUUGUGAACACCCAUGCAUUUAUUAAAAUAAUUUUUUACAAUUAUAAACGAGAACACUAGUUAUUCUAAAAAUCUAAUUUGAACACAAGCAAAAAAUUACUACGAUAUCCUUAUUCAGUUUAAUACACUUGUUGCUAAUUUGAAUACAAGCAAACCUAGGGAAAAAAAAGUUUCGCUUUUAGAUGAAACGAGAUAGGGAGUCAACAAAUUUCUCUUUUACCUCCCACCACAUUACCAAAUCCCUAAAUCCUUAAAUAUGAAUUCUCAAAUCUUACACCGAAUUUUCCAAUCUCCAAAGCCAUGAAAUCUGAAUUGGUUUGUGAUUGAGAGAUGAAGUGGGGUGGAUGCACUUACAAUGCGGCUCAACGUGUAGGUGUCGGGCAUUGGAACAAAAUGUUUGGAUUGAUUUUUUCCAAAAAAAUUUUUAUUUCAUGAUCACAUUUUUUAAUCACCAUUUUAUUUUACACACAUUAAAUUGUUACAAUAAUUUUUCUCACAAAAAUUCAAGAAAAAUAACAAUUCAAAUAGGGAGUAAAAACUGUGAUAUAAUACACAAAGCUAUCGUGGUAAUAUGGAGGAUCUGAAAAAAUAAGUAUGGGAAACAGUAUGACAGGCAUGUGCAUACCAUAUGUGUGUUUAUGUAUAUGUAUAUGUAUCUAUAAUAAUAAUAAUAAUCCACUGUUCAAUUCCCAUUUUAGUAGGUUGUUGAAUUGACUACUUUCAUUUUCUACUGAGUGGAAGCUCAAUAUUUUUGUCAUGUGGCCAUAUUUAGUUUUCUUUUUAAAAAUUUUGAAUAGAUUUUGAGUAUUUUAUUUUUUUUGUAACAAUCAAUUCCAUCCAUUUAUUUUCACCCACUUAUUCCCCUUUUCUUUUUCACUUUCUUAACUAUCUCAAUCCAUUUAAUUCUUACCUUACGUACCAAAAUUUACCAAAUUGUGCAAAAUGGCACUUGUGAGGCCUGUUCUCGUGAUAUCUACAUGGCGCUUUUGGCAUUCCACGUAGUAAACGAUUGAACAGUAGGUGAUUAUCUUUAAAAAAAAAUUAGCUACAUGUAGUUAAGUUUUGUGGUGACUAUAUUCCCAUAUAUGUGGCGAAAAUAAGAUCAAGAAGAGAUGAUUUUCUCUCACAAUAUUAGAAAUCCGCAUAUUAGCAGGCAUUACUCUAGCAUUUGAUCAAUAAAUUUGAUUAGCAAGAAAACCAUCUAAAUGUUGUGCUUGAUGCUAUAGUAAUUGUUAGGUAUGUCAAAAAAUAGUGUAAACCUUAAAAUACAUAUUAUGCUCCUUUAAUUUUAUAGGACAUUAUCUAAAUUUGUGUGGAGAAUCCAUCCUUUGAGAAUCUUGUAUAGGAAAUGAGAUUAGUCUAGUGACAGUACUUGCCUAGGAAAACAUAAGUAGCUGGUAUCCAAAUUUUCUUUCUAGUUGCUUUUUCUUCCCCAUUCUUCUCUCUUUAAACCUACACAUAAUGAUCAUUACUUUGCAAUUAUUGAGCCCUUAUAUCGUCUUGGCCUGAUAGGUAGCUUGCCGUUUUUAAUACAAGUAAAGGCAAUCCAUUUCUCCUUCCGGUGCCCACCCCUCCCCCCCCCCCCCCCCCCUUCAAAAAAAAAAAAAAAAAGCGUACUAUAAUCUAAGCCUGCAAUUUCGUUUCCAUUUUCUUCCCGUUUUGGAAACGUUUAACAAAUUCCAAAAGUCAAUAAUUGAACGUUGCAUUAUCACAUUGUCACAUUUGGAACACAACUAACCCAGGACUUUGAAAUGUCGGUCAAAAUGGCUCUUAAAUACACAACUGCCUUAAACCAUUUGACACGUUAAUUUGAGCGGAUAUUUAGGAGUAAUAUUUAAGUUCAAAACUUGGAUAGAUUUGGUGUUCAAAAACCUAAUUGUUCAUACUAUGCCACACUAUUUGGUGAAAUGGUUUGAACAAUUUGAAUGAUUGGAUUUUUGAGCAUCUGAUCUAUCUAAACUUAAGCCAAACUGGUUGGAAGGGUUUCUCGUGUUUAUUGUAAGUUAACAGGUUAAAUGAGUCGUAUCUUGUGAACACAUGGAAAAUCAAGUAUUGUUUAGUCUUUUUGACAACACAUACAAUAAUGGUACAAUAUGACACCCUAAAUUCUACUUGACUACCCUAAUUAGAUAGUGAUGCUUCACAACUCCCUAAUGCCUACCCUAAAUUCUACUUGACUUUAGAGGCAGCGACUAUUGAUUGUCAAAAGCUGCGGUCGGUUUGUAGUACAAAUGCCAUGGUGAUUGACUUCGCAAACUCUUUACUUGAUAAUUGUAUUAUUAAAAAAGAAUUCACAAAGGUUAGAAAGGAAAAAAAAAACACAUUUUUCUUGAUGAUUAAUCAUGCUUAUUUUUUUAUUACUGCUUAACAUUAAAAGGAAUUAUUUUUUGUCCUUUUAUACUUCAUUUUUUUGAUGGUCAAUUUUGUUUCUCAAAUAUGUGGUCUUCGAUCAAUCAAAUCCUUGGUGCCCUUCCUGGGUAGCUCGGCCGGUGACCACAUGCGGUAGUAUCCCGUAGGUCACCGGUUCGAGUCCCAGUAACGAAAAUGGGGUAACCCAACAACCCGAAUAAGGGUUGGGGCCUGAAGUGGGGUCAGGUCCUUUUUUUUUGACAAAAAAACAAAAAAAAAAAAAUCAAUCAAAUCCUUGGAGGACCUGAAAUGGUCCAUUUUGACCAUUCUGCCUAAUAAAUGCCUAUGGAAUUUUGGAAGGGUUUCUUGGGUCGUCUCUUGUGAACACAUGAACACUGUAGUCAUGAGACAAAUAACACGUGCUGGUUGUAUUUGGUUCAUUCUUUUUCAACUUGACUUUAUAGGCAGUGACCUUUGACUGGUGAUUGACUUUGAAAGUUUUCGUUCGAUGAUUGAAGUGUGAAUUCAUUAAAUGUGUUUAGAAAAAAAGAAUUCACAACGGGAAGGAGAAAUUGACUGCUUUUAUCUGUAUUAAAAUUGGCAAACUAUCUAUCAGGUCAAGAGUAUAUAAGGGUCCAAUUAACGGCAAAGUAUUAAGUUUCGACUUUUAUGCAUAUACAGAAAAAGAAAAAGAAUGUUCAAAAAAAUAAAAAUAAAAAUAAAAAGAAGACUUUUGAAGUCUUGUCCAUAAAGGGAGGAUCCGUCAUGCCUCAUUUUGUAGUUCAUGCAAAUAAACAAAGUAACCAAUAUGUCCAGCCUCACCUGAGCUAGACCAAAAGAAAUCAUGCUUCCAAAUUUCAUUACAGAGGUUUUCGUUUUUAUGUUUAUUUUAGUGCUACAUACACUAGCCCCAUCAUUUCCUCCCAAAGUUUGUGCAUCAGAUUUUGCUGAAGAGGCCGCUUCACUCUUCAAAUGGAAAUCCAAUUUUGCAAACAAGGAUAGUUCCCUCUUCAUUUCGUGGAAUGUACCGCCAACCAAAGCCAAGAAUUCUUCCAGCCCCUGCACUUGGGCUGGUGUUUCAUGCAAUGUUGAUGGAAGUGUCAACAGAUUGAACCUCACAAAUUCCAGUGUCAACUCUACACUCUAUGACUUCCCAUUUUCAUCCUUGCCAAAUCUUGAAUAUGUUGAUCUGUCGAUGAAUGAGCUUUUUGGCAGCAUACCAGCCCAGAUUGGCAAUCUCUCCAAGCUCAUUUAUCUCGAUUUCUCGUUCAAUCAGCUGUCACGAGAAAUCCCACCCGAAAUUGGGUUGUUACGAAAUCUUCAAGUCCUCCAUCUGAGACAAAAUCACUUGUCUGGUCCAAUUCCUGAGGAAUUAAGCCAUUUAGUCUAUCUUACUGAGGUUGAUUUGAAUACCAAUAAUAUCAAUGGCACAAUUCCAUCUUCCUUGGCAAAUUUGGUUAACUUGACAUACUUGUCUUUGUAUGGAAACCUAUUAUCUGGUUCCAUUCCUCCAGAAAUAGGAAACUUAUCCAAUCUUGUCACUGCUUUUUUGAGCUCUAACCUUCUAACAGGUUCAAUUCCACCUGAUCUAGGUAACCUCAAUAAGUUGGAGACCUUGUUCCUUUUCCAAAACAAUCUGUCCGGUUCCAUUCCAGUUGAGUUAGGGCAGUUGAAACCACUUCAAAUUUUGAGCUUGUUCGGAAAUAAUCUCAUUGGCACAAUUCCAACAUCACUGGGUAAUCUGACAAAUUUGACUGUCCUCCAUCUCUAUGAUAACCAACUCUCAGGCUCAAUUCCUGAAGAGUUGGGCAACCUAGAGCUACUUACAGAUUUGGAACUAGACAGGAAUGAACUGAGGGGUUCUAUUCCUAAAUCAUUUGGUGAUCUGAGCAACCUGGAAUCUCUGUUUCUGCGUGAAAACCAACUUUCUGGUUCCAUUCCAGAGGAGCUUGGGAAGUUGGCAAAGUUGGCUGUGAUGGAAAUGGAUACAAAUCAAUUCUCUGGUCAUCUGCCGGAACAUCUUUGCCAAAAUGGAACACUUCAAAACUUCACGGUAAGCAACAACAGGCUGACCGGUCCAAUCCCUAUAAGCUUGAAAAAUUGCUCGAGUUUAUUUAGAGCUCGAUUUCAGGGAAACCAGCUGACUGGGAACCUGUCAGAGAUGUUUGGUAUCUACCCCAACUUGAAUUUCAUGGAUCUUAGCAACAAUGAAUUCUAUGGCGGAAUUUCUGGCAACUGGGGUAGAUGCCCAAACUUGGCAGCACUUUUUCUCGCCGACAAUCACAUCACAGGUUGGAUCCCUUCAGAGCUGGGAAAUGCAUCUCAACUUCAUGUACUUGAUUUGUCUUCCAAUGACUUUACUGGGGAAAUUCCAAAGCAAGUUAUGAUGCUGGCUUCUAUGCUCAAACUAAAUCUACAAAAUAACCAACUUUUUGGCAAUAUACCUGAAGAAGUAGGUCAGCUCAAAAAUCUGCUUUAUCUUGACCUGUCAGGAAAUUUCUUGCAUGGAUCUAUCCCAGAAAAUUUUGGAGAUUUCCAGCAAUUGUUUUACCUGAAUUUGAGCAACAACAACUUGAGUCAACAGAUUCCACCUCAGAUGGGUGAGUUAACUCGACUUUCUAUCUUGGAUCUGAGUCAUAAUUACAUCACAGGAGAAAUACCAUCUGAGUUCGGAAGUUUACAGAGUCUAGAGAUAUUGGAUCUUUCCCAUAAUUACCUCUCGGGUUUCCUUCCAAAGGCUUUGGCAGAGCUGCCUGGUUCUUUGCAUAUUAACAUAUCUUUCAAUAACUUUGAGGGUCCAAUUCCUUACGGCAAAGCCUUUAAAAAUAUCACCAUAGAAGAACUGAGGGGAAACAAAGGUUUGUGUGGCAAUAUUACUGGUUUACAAGUAUGUGAAAGUCCUCGAUUGAGUAGAAAGCAUGUAAAGGGUAAGGGGUUCAAACUUGUUCUUGUAAUUGUGCUCCCUCUUCUAGGAUCACUCUUACUUCUUUGUGCAUUCUUUGGAGCUCUUAAAGUUUGUCGACAAAGAAAAAGAAAGACCACAGAGAAUGUCGAGGAUGCUGAUUUGUUUUCCAUAACCACCUAUGAUGGCAAAGCAAUGUACCGAGAAAUUAUAAAAGCAACAGAAGAGUUUAGCGAAAUAUUCUGCAUAGGGGAGGGAGGUUUUGGAAGUGUGUACAAAUCAAUUCUUCCGCCUUCUAACUUAGUAGCUGUAAAGAGACUUCAUCUGUUGCCCGAGAAGGUGUACUUCAACAGUUUCUUGAACGAGAUAAGAGCCUUGACAAACAUCAAGCAUAGAAACAUUGUGAAACUCUAUGGUUUCUGCUCAACUUCCAAACACUCCUUUUUGGUCUCCGAGUACCUUGAGCGAGGUAGCUUGGCCAAAAUUUUUAGCGCGGAUGAAGAAGCCAAGGAACUAGACUGGGAAAAGAGGGUGAACAUCAUCAAAGGCGUGGCUCAUGCCCUAUCUUACAUGCAUCAUGAUUGCACGCCUUCAAUAGUUCAUCGAGACAUAUCAAGUAACAAUGUUUUGCUUGAUUCAGAAUAUGAGGCUCGUCUUUCAGACUUCGGCACUGCUAAAUUUCUCAGGAAGGACUCAUCCAAUUGGACUACUCUUGCUGGCACACUUGGAUAUGUUGCACCAGGUAAUUCGUAGUGUUAUAAUUUCUCUCUGUUUUCAGGUAUUCAAGUGAUAACAUGAUUUUCCUUGCAGAGCUUGCCUAUACAAUGAGAGUCACUGAAAAAUGUGAUGUCUAUAGCUUUGGAAUCUUGACAUUGGAAACAAUCAAAGGGACGCACCCUGGUGACAUAGUUGCCAAUCUAAUGUCUUCAACACCUGGAAACAUAGAACUCAAGGACUUGUUGGAUCAGAGACUUCCGCAUCCCACGGAAGAAACUGAAAAGAUUCUGAUACCCACCAUCAAACUAGCAAAGGCGUGUUUACAUGUGAAUCCAGAAUCUAGGCCUACUAUGCAUAUGAUUUCUAGUUUGUUAUCUGUUGGUGCACCAUGUCGCCAACAAGCAGGUAAGUAUUAGGUAACAAAUAGCCCCAGUAAGGAUUUUCUUUUUUUUUUUGGUAACAAAUAAAUUAAGGUGUAAUUUCAUUGUGCCUUAAAUCUUGCCUCCCUUUCACUCAAUAUCUCAUGUUUAUUACUUUGUCGGUGAUGGGACGGUGAGCAAAGCAGAUGAGCACUUUAAUUGCUAGCCCAGAUGGGUGCUAUUCAAGUAUUUUUCCUAGCAGUAUAAGACGUCACGUUUACCAUUGAAAAAUCAAGUCUCUAUAAUAUACGUUUUACAUAUGCACUUUUUUCCCUAAUCACUUCAAUUCAUCACAUGAAUUGCCAAACAUAAAAGAUAUUCAACAUCUGAGAGCCAAAAUGUGCCCAAGUAAAAAUUACCUAAGCCAAGAUUCAGAACAUGUUAUUGCAAUAUUAUUCUAGUCAAACAAUUAUUCUUUGUCUAUUACUCUUGUUCUUUUUGUAAUUUAAUCCAAGGCACUAUUGUUAAUUAAAUAAAACAAAUCGGCCCAGUGAGUUAAACUAAAUCAUGAUCAACCCGGAAUCAGUGCUUCAUAGAUUUAUCCCAGAUAGACUCGGCAAUCGGCACAGAAAAGCCCAAAUUCUAACAUCAUUGUAUAAGUCGUCUUUAGAUUUAGACCCAAACAAGCAUAGAUGAACCCAAAAGAAUUCGGACCACUUCUCAAUUUGUGCGUGUGAUCCUUGCACAAGGGCCAUGCUUCAGAACAUUUUUUUGCAACAGUAUUUGAGAUAAACAAUUAUUCUUUUGUCUAUUAUUCUUUUUCUUUUUGGGGAAUUUAUCUAAAAUAGUAUUGUCAAUCAAAUUAAAAAAAAAAAAAAAAUCACCCCAUGAGUUAAACAAGGCAUCAGAUGCAUGCAUAUUUAGCCCAAAUAGAAAUGGACCCUAAUCAACAAAAAAAAAUAAAAAUAAAAAAAUGCGCAAAAUGAGUUUGUGAACUAUCUACCGGCCAUGUUUAUAUGUAGAGGAAAUAGAUUUAGACCCAAAUCAGUAUAGAAAAGCCCAAAACAAUUUGAACAACUUUUCGAUUUGUGAGGUCAUUCUUGCACUGGGCCUUGCUAAUCUUCUCUGUAUAGUGCCAAUUUCAUUGGGUGUCACUAAAGCCUGUAGGCCGAUCCAUUUUGGUGUUCGCAACUGAUGCGGUAACUGAGCAGCAAUUGGAAGGACUUUAGGCGUCAUUAUUGUCAUCAAACCUGGCCCAAAACAUUUAACAUUGAGCUGUUGAUACAUAUGCUUUUUGCCAAUUUUCCAUCCACAAAAGUAGAACUCAACUUCAUCCGAAUUUAAUCAUCAGAUCUAGUCUACUAUUAAGCUAAAAUACGAGAAGAAUUGAUCUCAAGAGAACAAUAUUGACUGGCUAAAUAAAAGUCCCUAUUUUUUUUUUAAUGAUUUUACUACUAGGAAAGGGAUAGAAUUUAAGAAGUAGGAAGAAAGAAAGGGGAUUUCAAGUCAUGAUCUCUAUCGUAUAUGUAUAUGUAUAUGUCAUGUUUGUAACUAUAAUGAAAAAAAUUCUGUAUUUUGUAAAUUUCAAGAAAUACUCAUGCUUUUUAACUAUAAUGAUAAAGUUUGUGUAUAUGUCAUGUUAUAAAUCUAACGUAUAAAGUCCAAAAGAGGAUGAAACGUAAAAAAUACUUUUAUGUCUCAUACACAAGGAUAAUAGUUAAAAUUGACAUUAAAGAAGCAUACUUUUUCAAAUUCAUACUAAAUUGGUGUCGAAUAAACGCAUACAUUUAAAAAAUUUUAUGAUAAACGCAUGUAGAAUAACUAAUAUUAUGAUGGUUCUGUAUUUUACUAACUUUGUCUCUCACAAACAAACACAAAUGUACAAACAUAUAGAUAAAUUCAAAAUACAAGGAACGCCAAGUAGAACAGAAAGUAUUGCUGCCAGUAUGUAAAUCAGAUUGCAAAAUACCACAUUAUACUUUCUGUACCUUGUUCAUUUUAAACACUUUCCCGUGUAUCUGUUCUAUGAAAAGGUCAGUUCGCCUAAAACAAGAAAAGGCACAUAAAUUUCAGGUGGCUGGGACAGUGAUUAGCUAGGCAUAUGCCUUACUUGUCUAUAGGUUGAAUAUGGAUUUGCAGAAAGUAGAUUCAUCACGAAGCCAGUGAGAAGAUUGAGAGGAGAAGAUUGAGAGGAGAAGAAGGAGCUCAUUGGGACUCAGAAACUUUAAUUGAUGAUAGUAUCAAGUUCCUAAGGAAACUGUUGGAGGACUUCUGGUGAAUUAGAAACAGUACAAGACACGUACUAAUAGCUUAGCUAGAUUCUCAUCAAAUAGUUGUAGGGACUGAUGAGUGAAUGGAUUCGUAGCCUCGAAUGAUUUAAUUGAUUAAAGACCACAUAUUUGGCAAACAAAUUUUACCAUCAAAAUCUAUAGGGACAAAAAUAUGAUUCCUUUUUAAUGUAAAGUAGUAAUAAUAGUAAGCAUGACUAAUCAUCAAGCAAAAUGUAAUUUACCCCUUGCAGAUGGUCAGGUCAAUUGCUACUUUUGUAUCUUUCAGACGACCCGCUGAGUGGAAGACUCAGAAGUCUAUUCUUGUCUGGUUUCUCUGUAACUUCUUCAUUGGAAAUUACGGUAGCUCAAAUUGACUGAAUUCUUGUAUUGUCAAAUCCAUACAACUUAGAGACAAAGGCGAAGAAGGCUUUUAAUUUCUAGCCAUAGACGUACAGAUUAUUUAAAACAAGCUCUUCUAACUUCUAAGCCAUCUUGAGGGUAAAAAAAUCAUGAGUUCUUUGGCAGUUGAAAAGAAUAUUUUCAGUUUCAUUUUGGUCCUACUUUUGUACUUGUUAUUUUCUCUUCUUCAAGAAAAUGGUGGUGCUUGUGCUUCAGCUGAUGAAGCUGCUGCACUUUUCAAUUGGAAAACCAGCUUUCAAACCCAAAACACCUCCCUGCUAACUUCAUGGAAUCUUCGGCCGAUGAAUCACAAGAAUGCUUCGGGGCUUCCACAGCAAUGCACUUGGUUUGGCAUUACAUGCAUAAAUGGAAGUACCAACAGAUUGAACCUCACAAAUGCAAGUGUUAAGGGUACACUCUACAACUUCCCAUUCUCAUCCCUCCCAAAUCUUGAAUAUCUUGAUCUAAGCUGCAAUGAACUUUUUGGAACCAUGCCCCCUCAGAUAGGUAACCUUUCCAAGCUUAUUUAUCUGAAUUUGUCAGCUAAUCAAUUUUCACAAGAAAUUCCACCUGAAAUAGGCUAUUUAACCAAUCUUCUGGUCCUCCACUUAAGGGAAAAUCAGUUAAAUGGCUCAAUUCCUGCUUCUUUGGGAAAUUUGAAAAAUCUGAGUUAUUUGUCUCUCUAUAACAAUUCACUUUCAGGUGUCAUUCCUCCUGAAAUAGGAAAUAUAUCUAAGCUACUUUAUUUAAGAAUGAGCAUCAAUAAUUUAUCAGGUCCCAUUCCCCCAGAGAUAGGGAAGUUGGCAUCCCUUCAGAGUUUGGGUUUGUCCAAAACUAACCUUACAGGUUCAAUCCCAAAAGAGUUAGGUAAUUUGACUAACUUGACUAUUCUUUAUCUCUUUGGGAAUAAACUUUCUGGUUCAAUUCCUAGGGAAUUGGGGAAUUUGAAGUCUAUUAUGACCAUGGAAUUGCAGAAAAAUCAACUUACUGGUUCAAUUCCCACUUCUUUUGGGAAUUUGAGUAAAUUGAAAACUCUGUUUCUGAACCACAAUCGACUUACUGGUUCCAUCCCACAAGAACUUGGGAAAUUGACAAAGUUGGUUGUCAUGGCAAUGGACCAUAAUCAGUUCUCUGGUCAUUUGCCACAAAAUCUCUGCCCAAAUGGAACACUUACGUACUUCGCUGUACACAACAACUUGCUUACCGGUCAGAUCCCAAGAAACUUGAAAAACUGCUCAAGUUUAGUCAGGGCUCGUUUCAGUGGGAACCAGCUCACAGGAAACUUAUCAGAAAUGUUCGGCAUAUAUCCACACUUGCACUUCAUGGAUCUUAGUAACAACAGUUUCUAUGGUGAACUUGCUAGCAGCUGGGGAAGGUGUACAAACCUGACUACUCUAUUGAUUGCCAAGAACAAAAUUACAGGUUCCAUACCACCAGAAUUUGGAAAUUUGACUCUGCUGCAUGUACUUGAUCUUUCAUCAAAUAACUUAUCUGGUGAGAUUCCAAUCGAGUUGGGAAAUUUAAUUUUUAUGCUAAAGCUCGAUUUACAUGAAAACCUGUUUCAUGGUGGUGUGCCCCAAGUAUUAGGAUUGCUGACAAAACUGCUUUACCUUGACCUGUCUAUUAACUCCUUGAAUGGUCCCUUACCAGGAAAUUUGGGAUAUUUUCAGGAAUUGUAUCUAUUGAAUUUCAGUUACAACAAUUUAAGCCAAAAGAUUCCUAUCCAGAUAGGUAGGUUAACUCAGGUUUGUUUGUUGGAUCUGAGUCAUAAUUCCUUCAGAGGAGAAAUACCGUCUGAAUUUGGAAAUUUGCAGAAUCUAGAAGCUUUGAAUCUCUCCCAUAAUAGCCUCUCAGGUUUGAUUCCCAAGAACAUUGCCCAACUGCCUGGCCUAUUGAAAAUUGAUGUAUCUUUCAACAACCUCGAGGGGCCUGUUCCAUAUGGGAAAGCUUUUCAAAAUGUCACCAUACAACAGUUGCAGGGGAACAGAGAUUUGUGUGGCAAUAUUACAGGGUUGCAACCUUGUGGAAGCUUGUCUGAAAAACCUGUCAGGAAAAAAGGCCAUAAACUAAUUCUCCUAAUUGUGCUUCCUGUUUUGGGAGCAGUGCUGCUUAGUUAUGUAGUCGCAGGAGUUAUCAUCUCAUCCGCACGUAGAAAAAGAUGCAGAAGAGCUAAAGACGGAAAUGUGAAAGAUGAUGAUCUGUUUUCCAGAUGCAUUUUUGAUGGCAAGGCAAUGUACAGAGAAAUUUUAGAAGCCACGGAAGCCUUCAAUUCAUUUUUUUGCAUUGGGGAAGGAGGUUAUGGACGUGUAUACAGGGCAGAACUUGAGUCCAAAAAGAUAGUAGCUGUAAAGAGACUUCAUCACUUGUCUGAGACAGCAGACCGUAAAGCUUUCUUGAAUGAAGUAAAUGCUUUGACAGAAAUCAAGCAUCGAAAUAUUGUGAAACUUCAUGGUUUCUGCUCAACUGCUCAACACUCCAUUUUGGUUUAUGACUACCUUGAAAGAGGAAGCUUGGCCAAAGUAUUUCACAUCGAUGAAGAAGCUAAGAAACUGGAUUGGAAAAAGAGGGUGAAUAUCAUCAAAGGCGUAGCUCAUGCGCUGUCUUACAUGCAUCACGAUUGUUCACCACCAGUAGUUCAUCGCGACAUCACAAGCAACAAUAUUUUGCUUGAUUGUGACUAUGAGGCUCAUGUUUCAGAUUUUGGCACUGCUAAGCUUCUCAAAAAAGACUCAGCGAAUUGGAGUGCUCUUGCAGGCACAUAUGGAUAUGUUGCACCAGGUAAACAAGGUUUAAUUCCUCCGCGUUUUUGGUAUUACUUCGAGUAACUAAAACCGUCAUCACAGGCCAUCAUAAAUUGAUAUUCCUUGCAGAGUUUGCCUACACAAUGAAAGUAACUGAAAAGUGUGAUGUAUAUAGCUUCGGAGUCCUGAUCAUGGAAGUGUUUAAAGGGAAACACCCUCGUGAUUUAAUCCCUCGUCUACAGUCUUCAGCACCUGGAGAUAUAGAGCUGGAAGACUUGUUGGACCAAAGACUUCAGUAUCCUGCUCAAAAGAUUCUAGAGAUUCUGAUGCCCAUCAUCAGAAUUGCUAGGUCAUGUUUACAUGUUGAUCCACAAUCCAGACCAACUAUGCACUUCAUUUCCAGAUCGUUAUCAGUUGCUACACCAUUUCCAGGUGAUCUUGGUAAAUAAACAAGGCCAUUGAAUUAAAUAAUUGACAAUUUAUAGAAUUUGGUCGAUGCUCUUUUCUUUUGGUUUUUAUAUAUCUUCCCUUCCUUCGAACUCACAAUCAAAUACUUCUUCUUUCUGCAUUAGACAAGUAAGCAGUACCUGCAAGAGAUUGAGAUGAUGAACAAUGCAGAAGAUUUGUAAGGCCUGGUAACAUAUGAUCACAUGCAUUUCCCAUGAAAUUCAGCAUACGUUUUUCAGUCAGUUUGGAGGCAUUUUUUUUAUCCUCCCUCCAUGAUCAGUACUUUACAAUUGUAAGACAGAAAUUGAGAAUGUUUUGAGUCAUUAUGGGGAGGUAUUAAGCAUUUUGCUACAGUGAUGCGCGUGUACGAGUAUCAAUCAAAGGGUGUAGUCCGCUAAAGAUUUCUGCAAGUUCAAAGGUCACAUAAUUUGUAUAUUAUGUUUUAGAAAAGAUUCGUAUCGAAUCAGUGGUUGUACAUAUGAUUUUGUUGUUAAUGUCUACUUGCAUUGUCGAGUUCAUAUCCAUCGCAGUAACAGGCAAAUGCAAUACCUGCUCCAAUAAAGAAUUACUAGCAAUUAUAUAAGGCUUAUUAAACUAGUGCAGUAUUUUUAAAUAAUUUGGUUUCGGAGACAUGAAAUAGUUGGCCCUCAUGAAGGUUUGCCAAUUAUUCUUAGUGGACCUAACCAUUCCGAUCAUCUCCUAUUCUUUUUUUUUUUUUCAAUUCCAAUAUAUUUCUUUCAUUUUAUGGCUAAAACUUUCUAGUUUUAAUUGCAAAGCCAAAUGUAGUUAUAUUCCAUAAAAGAAUACAGCUCUCAAGGGAGGGCUCUUAGAAUUCUCCUAUUAUUAGAUUAACGGUUCGAAUCUCGAGUUUGACAGUUGAAAGUGGGAAGAGCUAUGGAUGAAAGGGUGGAAGGUAAAGAAAAAAAAAGAAUAAAGCUCUUAGCGAAUUGGGAAAAGAAAUUUAGAAUAUUCAAAUUAUUUGACACUCUUCACGAGGCAUUCUAAUGGUACGUCUUUCUUUAUCCUUGUUCACAUAUCAAUGUCCCAUAUAAAUUAUUUACAAGAUUGGAAAAGUACCCAAUUGCACAAUGUGGUUCCUAUUAGUAGAAUUGGGAACUUUCGUAGAUAUUGAUACCCCUCAAAUAUAAGAAACUCCAUGGAAGAACAUUGACAAAUAAAGCAUCCAAAACCUCAAUUGAGUAAAUAUAUCAUCAACAUUAUAAUCUUAUAAUAAAAAAAUGUAAUCAGCUAAAGAUAAGAUAUGUGUAUACACGAGUUUCAAUAGUUUUAAUGAUGUUGAUGUGUUAGUUAAACAUUGUAGAAAUCUUAUAAGGACAAUUGAAUUAGCUAAGUUAUUAGCCUAAAAAAAUUCAAUUAUCUAGCUAGGUUAACUCACCAAGAUGCCAGAUUCUUUCCACCAAUUAUUACAUAGUAUGAACUUAAGACAGGGAUGGAAAGUGAAGCCAUGGUAACAUAUAGUAAUAUUACAGGACACAUUCAUUUUAAAUUUGUCAAUACUGCUUUGAUUCUUGAGACUUGCUGCUCUAAUUGCUCUGGCAUGAAAAUUCUUCAAUUCAAGACACCAAAAUAGGAGAUUCUCACUCUUAAUCCUCUAAAGCAAAGAGAAAAACAGUUUAAAAAUGAAAGGCUACAAACGAGAAUAAAUGACCAUAAAUGAUUAGUACUAUAAAGGACAUAAAAUAAUAUUUUUAUACUCUUGAUUGGUUGAAGAUCCACAAUAAAAUAAUUUCUAGUUAGAGUGUUGAGAUAGCAUAUAAUUAGUACUAUAAAGAAACAAAAUCAAAAUAGUAAUAUUUUUAUACUCUUGAUCGGUUGAAACUGCAAAAUAAAAUAAAGUCUAGUUACAGUGUUGAGAUAACAUAUUGGGUACUGCUUUGACCUUAAAAACGUGGCACCUACCGCUGCUCCUCUUACUCCUGAAGGGCUGGCCUUUUCCGGGGAAGAACUUUCCCCUAAAGGCAAUAAUCCCCCAAAGAAGUAUGUCUUGAUGGAUGGUAAUGGCAUCAAUUUUUCCACUCUCCCAUACCUGGAAGUUCCAACCAGUGACAUCGGUCUUCUUGGUUCCUCCUCUUCUUUAUUUCUAGUUGAAGAGGAAUUCAAGAAACUCCGGUCUGCUCUUAGUUCAUUUGGCUACAUUCAGGUUUAAUCCAAUUUUCAUUUCGGUCAUUUUCUUUCUUUUAAUUCGAGUAUGCAUUGAAUCUUGCAGGUUGUCACUAAAUCAAGACGUUCUCGACAUUGUUUGCAAGAAAAUGACAAUUUAACUGCCGCUUGCCUAGAUUUCACUUGCAAUUUUUGUUUAGCACCAUCAUAGGAAUAUAGCAACUCGGCUAAUGGAUAAAAUUCCUUUAAUUAUGGAUACAAAAGUAGAUGUCACUUCCCAUGCACGUCCACCAUGUCAUAGGUUUUUUUUUCUUUCGCAAAACUAAAAGUUUUGCAAGCAUCCAAUAAAAAAAAAAAUUCUCAGAACUAAUAUAAUAGAACGUUUGUAAUUUUGCUAUCAUCAAAUAUCUCUACAAGAAGUAUAAAUUGUUUAAAGUAAAGCUUGAGGACACGUGCAACAUCACAAGGGCCUAAGCGGUAUUAAUCCUUUACAAAUUUUUUUUUCUGGAUUUUACUUGCUUUGUUUUGAAUAAAAUACAACGCAAUGAUUUCUUUAGAUUUUGGUGUUAAAUCCAUAUUAAGGAUUUUUGAAAUAUGAUUUUUGGUGUUUCAGGCAGUUAAUCAUGGAAUGAGUAUAUCAUUCCUUGAUGUCGAAAAAAAAAAAAAGAAGUCCUUGAUGUCACAAGAAAAUUCUUCAAGCUUCCAUUGGACGAGAAAAAGAAAUAUUCCAGAGAAGAAAACGAGAUUGAUGGUUAUGGAAAUAAUAUAAUCUACACAGAGAAUCAAACCCUUGAUUGGAAUGACCGGCUUUUAUCUUCAUUUGCUCCCUGGGAGCAUGAGGAAGCUCGAAAAAUGGCCUCAAACUCCCAGUAAUUUUAGGUAAAUAUGCAAUAUCUUUUGCAGCAUUAAAAUUUAUAAACCUUAAGGAUCCCUUGAAUCUUGAUAGUUCACAUGAAUGUCCACGUUUCGACAAACAAUUUUACGAGGGUUCACAUGCAGCCACAUAAUUAAUAUUUUGUGUGAUAUGCAAAUAUUUGUAUCACUAUUUGUUUAAUAUCUGAGGGUGGGGGAAUUCGAAUCCUAUAUCUAUGCUAUCCAGAAAAAUAAAUAUCCUCACUAAUGCAAUUGAGAUGGCUCCAUAAUCCAUAUACAAUGGCAUCAUAAACAAAAUUUGAUAUGGGUCACUUAGUAAAGAAAAGGGUAUAUUACUGGUAAACUCCUAUGGUUUCAUCUAUUAUCACAUAAUCACUCUGACGUUUUAAAAUAUCCACUUCAACACUAUAGUUCCAUGUUAACUAUAAAUUUAAUGAAAAAUAAUCUUUGUGACGUCAUUAGUUGAAAUACUAGUAGUGCUCUUAUUAAAUGCUAAAUGAACAUCAACUUAGUCACCUAUACAAAAUCAUAGGAGGGAUAUCUGGAUAAUACAAAAACCAAAAUGGGGUAAAGUGAGAAUUUAUACAAACUAUAAGGGGGCUCAGUGGAUAUCAUAAUUUCAUCACGUGCACUUUAAGAGCGCUUGCAGUCUAAUCGCUAUAAUUGAUUUUACAUUUCAUCCAUUUUUCGCUUUACAUAAAAUCACAAGAGAAUUAUGUAACUAUUUUGAAAUUUAAGGGGAGUCAUUUGACAUUAUACAAAACUAUAGAGCAUUAUAUGUAAUUUAAUCUAAGUAAAAAGAAUAUGAUUCGUAAUGAAACGCAAUUUGGUUGGUAAGACAUUGUACCUCAUAGGUGAUGGAUUUAAGUCAUUAAUACAAUAGAUGGGGAGCUGAUCCUCAAUUAAAAAAAUAAAAAGAUAAAAAGAAUAUGACAAGGUUCUUAUCACGAAAAAGGGGAAAAAGGGAAUAUGAUAAGAUUGAAAAGAAAGAUUGGUAUAUAGAAUAAAACCCGUAAAUGAAAUUUUUCAUUAUAAGAUGUAUAGUCUCCCCUUGAUUUGCAGGGAAACCUUCCUCGAAUUUACAUCGAAACUACAGCUUAUGAAUGAAAUUAUUGUUAAAGCCAUGGCAAAGUCACUGAAAUUGGAGAAGCAUAGCUUUCUUGAUCAAUUUGGAAAGAACCCAAUUUCUCUUACGAGGUUAAAGUUUUGUCCUCCUUGUCCGUGGCUUGACUGUGUUCUUGCGGCAAAGCCACAUGGAGAUGCAUCAGGAACCACUUAUCUCUUGCAAGACAAAGAAGUGGAAGGCCUUCAAGUCCCGAAAGAUGAUCAGUGGUAUCGAGUUCCACUUACUCCGGAUGCCAUUGUCUUCAAUUGUGGUGAUCAACUUGAGGUAAUUAAAAAUUCUGAGAUAACUAUUUAGUUUACCAAUUCUAAACGAAUGAAAAGAUAUGAAUUAAGACUAGAUAAUUACCAAUUUUCUGGUCACCUAAUCAUUUGGGCCAUGUAUCAAUAUGGUCUUUCAAGAAAGUUUUUAUUUUUAAUUUUUUUUCUCUUUUGAAUUACUUUAGUUCCUUCCUCGAGCAUAAUUUGGUGCCUCAAGUUUUUCAAAACCACCAAUUGCUGAACCAUUUUGUUGAAUUAAUUAAGUUGAGAAUGCUUCACAAAUCUUGUAAUCAAUUUGGUGGCCGGAUUCUUCUCAAAGUGCCUUCAGUUGGUAGAAAUUAAUUCACGUGCUGCUAUAACAAAUCGGUUUUGCUGGAAAGAUGAGGAACCAUAACAAUGCACCUUCAGCUCAACAAGAUCUACAAUGGCAGUAAUAUUGAACUGUGUCUGUACGAACAACUCAAAGUAGAACCAUUCUUGUGUUCAUGAUUUCUCUCCAAUAUGUAUAUAUAUCAUUCUUAACUUUUAGUUGGGUUUUUUUGUCUGACACAUGCAGAUAAUGACAAAUGGGAUAUUCAAGAGCCCAAUACAUAGAGUAGUAACAAACAAGGAAAAGGAGAGGACUGUGGCUUUGUUCUUUUCUCCUGAGCUUACAAUUAAAUUUGAAUCUGAAUUUGAAUUUCAAAUUUUACAUAUAUAUCAUAGAUCCAAUUAUGAAAAUAUAUAUUAUCAAUAUAUAUAAGAUUUAAUUCAAAAUUUUCGCCGCUUCAUGUCGACGAAAUAUGCAGCAGUAUCGAAUGAUGCUGGAAUUAAAAUUCCCACGUCUACUAAUUCCAGAAAACUUAAUUCCUCUUAAUCCACACAUGAGCCAAAUGGGAAGUAUUACAUAAUUAUUGAUACUUUGUCAAAUGAGUGCAAACUUCUAUGGUUGUGAAAUUACUUUACUCCCUGCUUAAUUACAUGUCAACUCAACAUCAACCAGCCAGUAAUUGUGUCCUUCAUUAUUGAGACACAGUGAUAACCCUGCGAUCGGAAAAGAUCAUAACAGAUCCUUUUCACUAAUGCAUCAAAAUCCAUGAGAACUGAUCCAUGCAAAUUAACAUACAUGAGAGAUCUGCAUUAGAAACAAUACUUUUUUUCUUUUGGGUUAACGACAAUGCAAGAGCAUGAAUCUCUUUUGCCAAAGCAAUUUUAAUCUUAAAGUAAAAAUAAUUAAAGCCCGUCCUAGUCAAAUCCCACUGGUGUCAACAAAUUCAUCAGUGGAAGCUCAGCCGCUGAACUCAAGAUAUGUUUAUUAGGUAACAAUUGUAACUUUGCUGUUUGUAACUUGCAAUUAACUACACUUAUUCGAUUUUCUUUUUGUAAUAGAACCCCAUCACGUUUAACAUCCCAAAUGAUUCUUACGUAUUGAUAUCCAUGGGAAAAAGAGAGAUGUUUUAUGUUCCAAUGAAGAAUCGAUUGCUGCGCUGUCCCUAUUCUUUCAGAGCACCUUACUAUUCCCAAGCAAACUGUGUAGGUUUAUAAUGUUACUUUAUCUGUGUUGGUAAUUUUGGCUGUGAUGAUAGGUAAUUUAUAAAUAUUACUUUUUCAAAUUUAUUGCUGAUACUAAAUAGCAAUAAAAAAAUUAGUAUUCAUUUUUCUCCUAUAAGUGAUAUAUCAUUCUGAAAACAUGUAUUGUUAGCACAACAAAUCACACAGCGAGUGGAAGGAAUUUUGACAUAUAUAAAAAUACGUAGGAAGAGGAGAAGAAUAAACACACAAAGAAAUACUUAACUAUUUAUUAACUCAUAACUCAACAGUAACAAAUAUCAAAUCGUAAUCUUUCGCUCACGAUAACGUACAUUUCUCAAUUAUGAAACUUUCUCUCAAACCUAUUUUUAGGACUUAACUCAACUCUUCAAGUAAUAAUUUACUAGACUAAUAGUAUUUAUAGAUUCCAAAGCUUCUUAAAACAAUUACAAUCAUAAACUGAAACUUAUUUAGACAUUGACUUGAGAUUUUCUACACUAAUAUGAAAACUAAAUAAACAGGAUACCAAAACAAGAAUCUAAAAGAAUUAGAAAACUAAAUACUAAGAUAGUUUGGUUUAAUUUCCUUCAUUACCUCAUUUAAACCAAAUUCUUCAUAUGGUCACCUCCAAUGCCAUUAAGAGUUUAAAUCUCCAUAAACAAAUUUAGUCGCUGUAUAGAUGAUGUGGAACUUCAACUUGCAAUGGAUCUUUAAUUUCAUCUUCACCUGCGGUAGUGGAUGAAACUUGUAUUUUUCAAACAAUUUUUUCGCUUGAUCACUCUUGUGAAGAAAAAAUUCAAACAUUUUUACCCAUUCUUCAUCCAAUUUUCCAUAAUUUAAUUCAUCUACAUCACCAAGAAAAUUUGGAUAUUAUAAUAUCAUCACACGCAUCUUUAGAUGUCUGAGUUGCUCGCAUAAUUGAGGUGCUUUCUGUCUAAUUUUCACUUCACGUAAUAUUAUAAGAAAGUUAUGUGGAUAUUUUUAAAUAUUACGGGAGUCAUGCGGGAACAUGAAAUUAUUAGUAAUGACCCUGUUCAUUAAGAUUCUAUAGCGUAGAAGAAAGAAAAUAACACUAAGGAAAACUAUGUAGAAUCAAUUAUCCAAAGAAUCACAACAAUCACUAAAUCUAUUAGGACCAUCGAUCCCCAAACCAAUUUGUUCUUCUAUAUUUACCAACUCAUUUACAAAAGUAGUGCUUGGUAUUUCAGGCAAUUAACCAUGGAAUGAGCGCUUCAUUUCUGGAUGAAGUGCUUGAAGUCACUGGAAAACUUUUCAAACUUCCAUUGGAUGAGAAAAGGACAUAUUCCAGGGAUGAAAACGGGAUUGACGGCUAUGGGAAUGAUGUAAUCUAUUCAGAUCGUCAAACCCUUGAUUGGAAUGAUCGGCUGUAUCUUCAUGUGCUCCCGAAGAGUAUCAGAAAAUUUGAAAAAUGGCCUCGCCCUCCUCAAAAUUUAAGGUAACCUGCCACACCUACCCCCCCCCCCCCCCAAAAAAAAAAAAAUGCACUCCGCCAACUUUGACAUAAGGUUUUUACUCAUCCGUGCAGAAUAGUCAAACAAAAUAGAGAGAGUGAGUCCACUAUAAAUUUCAAAAAUUAUCAUUCGCCUCUAAAAAUGAAGAAAUUUUAGAGAAGAAAAUUCAAACGUUUGCAGAUAACUAAAUACCGCCCUAACUCUUAUUGUUUACCUGUCUUAGUGCACGGAAUAAAAAAACUCUUGACAUACUAGUGCUCUUAUACACAGGGAAUUAUUAUUGAGUAGAUGUCCUACUUUGAUUUUAACACUGAGCCACAAAAUUACGAAUUUGGCACACCAUCAACCUAUAUGCUCGAACAAUUAACGUAAUUGGACUCUAACUAAUUGCGUCGAGAACACAUAAGAAUAUGUCCUAUUUUCCAGUACACCAGUGCUAACUAGGAAAUAAGCAGGUAUGCAUACAUAUUUUCUCUGCUUAAUUGUGUUAGCAGCUUCUGAAAUUGGAUUUAUCUGGCUACAAUUAGUGAUUUCAAGGUGUUAAAUGAAAGAAAAAAAUGGGCUAACUUAUUACCUGUUAGUCUCUUAAAAGAUGGGACAAAAAUAUACAAGUUGCAAAAAAAAAAAAAAAGGUAGACGUAAAACUUUUUAGGUUAAUUUCUUGAAAAUGUAAUACUUCUUUCUUGACUUGCCAGGGAAAUCUUACUUGAAUUCACAGAAAGAUUGCGGGUGAUGAAUGAAAUCAUUGUUAAGGCCAUGGAAAAGUCACUUGACUUGGAAGAAAAUCGUUUUCUUGAUCAAUUUGGUGAAAGUCCCAUAGUCCUUGCAAGGUUUAACUUCUACCCUCCAUGUCCAUGGCCUGAUCGCAUACUUGCAGCCAAGCCGCAAGGAGAUGCGUCAGGAGCCACUUAUCUCUUGCUAGACAAAGAAGUGGAAGGCCUUCAAGUCUUGAAAGAUGAUCAGUGGUAUCUAGUUCCACUUACUCCCAACGCCAUUGCCUUUAAUGUUGGUGAUCAAGUUGAGGUACCUUUUACCAAAAGCACCGCAAUCCUAAACGGGCCUAAAUCCCGACCAUAGAGUAUUAUAUAUAUAAUAUAAUACUAUAUAUAUUGUAUACAUAGAUGUAUUAGAUACAUAAUAAUGUAUAUUGUCUAUAAUUAUACAUAUUAUAGUGUAAAAAAUUAAUAAUCUAUUCCAGUCAUCUGGUAAUAUAUAAACCUCAAACAUAAAUUAUGCAUAAGUAUGCAUAAUGAGUCGAGCAUGGGCCCACAAAAUGAGUCCAAACUCCGAAGAACGAAAGCUCAAAUGGUGUCCUUUUGGCGAGCUAAUUUUGGCUUGUCAAGAUCUAACUUAAAAAGUCCAAUUGAUUUCUCUAGUUAUAUCGAAGCAAAUGACUAAACAGCCAAAAGGAAAAAAAAAAAAGAAAAAGAAAACAGGAUGCCGUGUAUUCGAUGUAUUAUACUUAAUUUUUGGGGGACUACAAUACUUAUCAAUUGGUGAGAGGAGUAAAUUUGAAAGAAAACCUUAUCAUUUAUGAGAAUUCUUUAUAUUGUCCUGUUUUAUUUUAGUUUCUUAGAUUGAUAUCCUAAAUACUUGUAGAAUCUCUAGUUGGAGGGAGUGUUAGGUUAGAUGGUAAGAUGGGAGAUAGUAAGUAAGAAGUCCUAGACUCAAAACUUUUUAUUUAUCAAAAAAAAAAAAAAAAAAGUCGUACAAAAACUAGUAGAACUUCCAAUUCUUACGAUAUUCUAAACUAAAAUCUCAAUUUGUGGCUAAGUUUGCAUCUAAUAGCAAGGUGAUCAAAAAGGCCAUGCCAACGUAUUUACACGAGUGAACUAUGACAUUUUUUUGACUCAAAAUGCCAUAAUAUUGACUACGGUGCCAUUUUCUAGAAUAUUGGUUGGAAUCUUGAUUGCUCUUACCUUCAGCACUACAUUUUCUUGACUAUUUCUACUAAGAAUUGUGAUCAUUACACUGACUUGCCUUCAAAUUAUUCCAAUCACAAGCACUCAAAUGAGUUUUAGUGGUAUGAUCAACUAGGUGACGUUUAUAGAUGAGUGGAAUACAAAAUGAUACUCGUCAUGCUUAUGGUAUAAAUAUUACUGUAUAUUGCUUUCCUUGAAUAUCUACAUUCUUGUUUGCUAAGUUGGCUUGUACAAUUGUGCAGAUAAUGACUAACGGGAUCUAUAAGAGCCCCAUACAUAGAGUAGCAACAAACAGAACAAGAGAGAGAGAGACUCUGGCUUUGUUCUUUGCUCCUGAACCAACAAGGGAAAUCAAACCGGUUGAAGGUCUAAUCAGCAAUAAAAACCCGAGGAUGUACAAAAAUGUCACAGAUUAUUCACGAAACUAUUUUGAGUAUGUUCAGCAGGGAAGAAUGCCAAUUGAUGCAAUGAAACUUUGACACAGACAACGAGAAGAAUUUAUUUUAGUUGUCAGGUAGUUUUAGAUUCCCCUUUUAUCUUCGGUUCAAUAUGCAUUCAAUAUUCAUCAGAUAUAAUAGUUGAAAAAUGUAAUUGCCUAUACUAUUUUACUUGUCGUCGUUAUGAGAUUGAUUAUUAUUUACAGAUUAAAUUCAUCUAAGAAAAUUCAGCAGUUCCAUGCAUAUAACAUCUUUGUAUGUCAAUCAUCUGCGAAUUACUUUGAAAACAUGAUUUUCUUUUUAGUAGUGAUAUAAAGUUGAUUUUACUUUAUUAAACAAUAAGGAUGGAUUUAGUUCCUUUUUUUGCAAAAAAAUUGUAACGGGCUUAUUGCCGAGUGAAUGAAUAGUUUUUUUUUUUUUUUAAAAGAAGCAUCAUUUUAUUACAAAUAUUACUGGAAAUGGUCCAGCAAGAAUUGCUUGACAAAGUCAAGUGUAAAAUUCCACAGAAAUUCCCACGCCAACACGCCAACUGAUGAGCAAUUCUAUAAGAAUCUCUAGGAGCCUGGUGAUGUAAUGAUCAGGUUCAAAGAUUCAACGAUCGAACAUUGACUGAUACCUAAGAAAGAAUUUAACUCAUAAAACAAAGGAUUUACCCCUAUUAUAUAUGUGGGGUGCCUUAUAAAAUGACAACCAUGAAAUCCAAUGGAUCAAAAUGAAUAGCGCUUCAAAAAAAGAUUCAAGCAUUAAUACAGUGGCAAUGUCUUCGGAACCCUCACACCGCGCACAAGACCUCUUCCUCUGCUAGGAGCCUUAUGGUGAUUGUGAAAAAGAGGGUUAAAGAUCACACGUUAAUUGAUAGCUAAGAAAAAAUCUAGUUCAUAAGAUCUAAUGUUGGGUUAUGGACUCAAUAAUGAUGUAAGGAGGAGGGCCGAAGAUCUCACAUUAAUUGAUAGUAAGAAACAGUCUAAGAUCCAAAGUACAUCGAUUGAUAACUAAGGUCCUGUUUUAUAAUUCAACACUUAAAAUUAAUGAAUUCAGAUCUUAACAUGUUCAAACGUAUUUUAUAAUAAAAAAUUGAAUAUCUGAAUUAAUUAAGUAACAUUAGAUUUUUUAUGUAAAACUUGACCCAAAAAAUAAGUGAUAAACUAUUAAUUUAUCACUGAAUGUGAUAUAUACUUAAAUAUAUUAAAUUUAGUACUUGAUAAUUAAAUUAAUUUAAUGAAUUCAGACCUCAUAUUUCAAUUUUUAAUUUUUAUUUUUUAUCAAACGCACCCUAAGAAAGUGUCUAAUUUAUAAGGUAGUGGCGCGGUUCCUACGGUGAUAUAAAGAGGAUGACCAAAAAUUCUACGUCACUUGACAGUCAAGGAAGAAUUUGCCUCACACGAUAAGUAUUCACUUCUUCCAUGUGAGGGUGUGUGCGAUCCAGUGGACCAAAACUUAUUUGUAUUUUAGAGUAUUACUGUAAAUAGUAUUUUAAACAGACUUAUUUUUUCAAAAAAAAAAAAAAAAGGCCCAAAAUAGGCGACCACUUUGUAAUUGGUAGUGAAAGGCUAGAAUGAAGGCACAAACUCAAAAUCUAGUGGGCUUUUCCUCUAAGUGGGUCGACACAAUAAGAAUUUUAAAGUAGUGAUAAUUUCGGGCAUAGUCCAUGAUGGUUUAGCAAAAUGCUUGAACAAAGGAAAGAAUGAUUUGCAGUAUAUAACGCUAUUUGACUUGCACCUUUUUUUUUUUUGGUAAAAAUUUGACUUGCACGUAAAACGUUUAAAUAAAUGGGAGGGUUGGGUUGGAUUAGAGGUGUCAAAAUGGGUGACUUGGGUGGCUUUGGGUUGGAUAAAAUGGGUAAUGGGUAUAAGUGAGUCAACCCAUUUAUACCCAUUUAAUUAGAUGGGUAUAAAUGGGUAAGUCAAAAAAUGAAUGAGUAACUCAAUUACCCAUUUAUAACCCAUUUAUUUUAACUUUUUUAUAAACUCAUUUAAAUUCAUUUUUACAAACUAAAUUAUCAAUUACAUCGCUCUUUGUACCCAUCAUUGGUUUUAAAUGUUUACUUAUAAUGCUCAAUAAGCCUAAUUACUAAUUUUUUUUCCAUUUAUACUCUAUAUCACAAAAUUACAUAUUAUUUAAUAAUUGAAUGAUAAGAAUAUAAAAAAUUGAACUAAGUACUAUAAAGGUUAAUAUAAAAAUUUAAUCCAAAAAUUUUGAACCUCUAACAUUUUUUUCAUAUAUAAAAUAUAAAAUUUCAUUUUAGAAAGAUAAGAAAAGAGGCUAAAACUUAUCAUAAAUUGGUAAUGCUGAAAAAUGAAUAAGCUAACAAACUAAGAGAAAAUAAAAUAAUAAGAUCAAACGAACAAAUCAUAAUAAUAAUAAUAAUGAAACAAAAGUAGUUAAUAUCAUGACAAAAUAAAAAAUUUGAAAAAAAAAGGGGUGGGGGAAGAGAAGAGACUUGAGAGAAGAGAAUUUUAAAUAGAUUAAUUGGAUUUGAUGGGUUACCUAAUAAUGCCAAAUUAAUAAAUGGGUAUUACUGGGUAAUCCAUUUAUACCCAUAUAUAAAAAUUUAAGAUACCCACCCAUCUAUUCAUGAGCGAAUUUGGGUAAAUUUAGUUAAGUGGGUUGGUUUGCCACUUAUAGGUUGGAUGAUAAGAGAAAGGGAGUAUAACUAGAAGAUUUUAGAUUCAAAAUUUUUCACUUAUAAAAAAAGUUGUUUAAAUAAAAGAAGAGAGAGAGAGAGAGUCUUGUAACCGAAAUGUUAACAAUAUUGCUAUGCCAUUGUAAUGUUAACAAUAUUGCUAUGCCAUUGUAAUGUAUGAAAUGUUUCUUUAAUAGCUCACUCCGAUGUCUAGAAUUUAGGUAUAUUUACUCUAUAUAUUUUUUCUUAACCUAUAGUAGUAAUUUUUCAUUCUUUUGGCUAAAGUCACAAUUCAAGUUCUCAAAUAUUGGACUUUGUGUCACAAAUAAUAGUGCACUUAUUUCGCUUUUUAGCUAAACGCUUAAAGCAAAACUAAUACUGGUAUGAUUAUGGGUAUUUCCUUUUGGAGUUUGAUUCACCGAUCUAACUUUUGUUUGUAUGACGUAUUUCUCAAUGGAAAAUAGUACUGUACACACGACUCUACAUGAUAGCUACAAAGUUAAAAAUGAUUCACAAUUUUUUAUUUUGGAGAUGUCUACACUUAUCUUUAUCUUUAUCGCUGUUUUUUUAAAUAAAUUCCAUCUCAAAAUACAAUAAACUUAUAACAACCAUAUAUAUUUUAAUUUCUUUGAGACUAGAUAUAUUUGAACCACUAGUAUAUGUGGCAAAAUUUCAAUCAUCUGUGGACCGAAAAUUUCCUUCAGUUUGAUGUUCUUUUCUUGUUUGGACCUUAUUGCUGGUGAUAUAAAGGUCUGUCGCAACUAUAAAUUAAUUGAACUAUUGAAGUAUCUUAGAAAAAAGAAAUAACAACUUCCGAGUUUUGUCCGCUUCGAAGACAGUCACCGACAGGGCUUCAAAUUCUCUGUCCCCAAAGUAGUCUCUGUCCCUUAUUUGUACAACUGCCACGUAUUUCUAACCUUUUGUUAACCCAAACUUAAAUAAAUCGAUAAUAAUCGGUUUACAAGUUUACUUAAAAUCAAUUAAAAUAGAUAAAUCAAAACUUUUUUUUGUUUUCUUUUUAACAAAAAAGAGUCUCGUUGAUCAUAAACAUAGAAAUCAACUAAAAUUCUUCUUUAUUUUCUAUCCCAAAUCAUCUUUUUCUUAAACCCUUACAAGUACUUUGAUUCACUCAUUAUAUCUUUAAUCUUGUAGCAAAAACGCUCAAAGGAUCAAGUAGCAAGAUUCAAUAUCAUCUUCAUCCAGGUAAAACAAAUCAAUAGACACUACAAGAAAUAUAUUUUUCAGUGACAAAAAUUUAUGUGACAACAAAAAUCUUGUCACAGAUAACCUAAUUCAGUGACGACAUUAGGUGUCAUCACUGAUGAGUACAGCACAAGCAUAAUCAGUGACAACAUUGGAAGUUGUCAUUCUCAACUCGUCACGAAAUAGUUGGCGCGCAUCUCAUUUGAUGCCGCGGGAAAUGAUUUUAUGACAACUCAAGUAAAGUCGUCACAAAUGCUCUCUCUACAGUGACAACAUAACUUGUUGUCAUUGAAGGUCUACCCGAUUCCAAUUUUGUGACAACUUUUUGCAUCACUGUAUACUACAGUAUUUUCAUCAACUUUCACUAAUUCUACUAUGACACCCUAAUUUUAUUUUUUAGCCUCCAAUUCUUUUAUAUUAGCAAAAGCACCGAAGAUAUGACACCCUAAUUUUAUAAUUUAGCCCCUAUUCAUUACGUAUUAGCAAAAUGCAAAUGAUAUAAUAACAAACUAUUUUUAGAUAUUUGUAAUUUUUGCUAAGUUGACAUAAUAGACAUGUCUGAGCAUAAAAAUUUUUUCACAAAUUUUUUAUUAUUCCUUAUAACAACCCCCAAAAAUCAAUAACUGAAAUAAUUUGAAAAAGUGUAAUUGAAUAUAAUUUGUAGUCUAAUGUUAGCACUGUGAAAGAUUAGUAUAACGUGUAAUACAUCAUAAGUAAUAAUUAUUUUCAUAUGGAAUGGGUAUAUACGAAAUUAAAAUUAUUCAGUAAAAUAUCUGUCGUGCAAUAAGAUUGAGAGUUGUAACACAUUUAACAGAAUAUUUGAUUACAUGUUUCUUUUAAUUUAUUAUAAAAACUAAGUAAUAGACAAAGGGUAGGAUAAGCAUGAGUAAGAAGUGCUAUACUGUAUAUAAGCAAUUCUAUAGUAUUUUCAUCAAAUUUCACUAAUUCUACUAUGGCACCCUAAUUUUAUUAUUUAGCCCCCAAUUCUUUUAUAUGAGCAAAAGCACUGAAGAUAUGACACCCUAAUUUUAUAAUUUAGCCCCUAUUCAUUACGUAUUAGCAAAAUGCAAAUGAUAUAAUAACAAACUAUUUUUAGAUAUUUGUAAUUUUUGCUAAAUUGACAUAAUAGACAUGUCUGAGCAUAAAAAUUUUUUCACAAAUUUUUUAUUAUUCCUUAUAACAACCCCCAAAAAUCAAUAACUGAAAUAAUUUGAAAAAGUGUAAUUGAAUAUAAUUUGUAGUCUAAUGUUAGCACUGUGAAAGAUUAGUAUAACGUGUAAUACAUCAUAAGUAAUAAUUAUUUUCAUAUGGAAUGGGUAUAUACGAAAUUAAAAUUAUUCAGUAAAAUAUCUGUUGUGCAAUAAGAUUGAGAGUUGCCACACAAUUAACAGAAUAUUUGAUUACAUGUUUCUUUUAAUUUAUUAUAAAAACUAAGUAAUAGACAAAGAGUAGUAUAAGCAUGAGUAAGAAGUGCUAUACUGUAUAUAAGCGAUUCUAUGCAUGUUAAAUUUUUGAAACAUGUUUUAUUGUGUAAGUUUUAUUGUAAGAUAAUUUCUUAAAUAAUUUGUAUAUUGAGUUGUCCAAACCCAAAAAGAUGUAUAUAGACACAAACAAGCACACAUAUAUAUACAUGCACAAAAAAGAAACCAAUAUCAAAUAAUUUAUUUGAUAUUUAUAGAUGAGAUUAAGGAAAAAAAAAAGAGAUUAAGUAUGAAAAAAGAAACCUGAAAAAAAAAAUGGCUAAAAAAAAAGAAAAAAGAUGUAUGAAACAAAAGGCGUGAAUCCUGGAAUCUCAAAGACGUGCUUAGAUGCCAAAAAAAAAAGAGCGCCAGUCUGAAAUCUGAAAGAGGCGCGAGGCGGGUGGCUGAAAUCUCUACAAAACGACGUCGUUUUGGUUGUUCACACACAAACAAAAGUCUCGCCGCUUCUCUCUUCCAACACUUAGACAAAUUUAGGCUAGGUUUUAGAGGAGAAAAAGAGAAACAGAAGAGCAGAGAAGCGGCUAGGGUUCUUGGAAGGGAGGCCUUAAGCGUGAAAAGAAAAAAAAUAGAGUGAAGGAAGAGUGGCGGCUGACAGGAAGAUCAGGAGAGAAAGACGCGGCAACGGACAGAGGAGGAAGAACCAGGUCACCACCAGUCCGCGUCCGCUCUGCUGCUGUCUGCCAUCGCCAACACCGCGCACAACCUCCUGGGCUGCUGCCGUUCUCUGUAACACUAGAUGAACGCUCUCGGACGAAGUCAGACCUAGUCAUCUUCCAAUUCCAACUCACCGUCUUCGGCUUCGUCAUAAUCGCCGUCGCCACCGCUCAAGUAAGAGCACUAUAAGUCGCCCCUUUUUCUUUGAAUUUCAGUUCCUUCCCAAGUCCUCUAAGCAUGUCUGCCAUGGCUUCGUUUAUUGCAAUUGCCCCGUUGAUUGUUCAAAUUUUAGCAUGCGCAUGUUAUAUCAUGAUUGAAUUUCAAAUCCCUUGUACUUCUGAUGAUUUUGGGGCCAACCGUGGCUUCAUUUGAGCAAAGAAUUGCUGGAAUUUUUCAUGUUCGUUUACUGUUUGUUGAAAUGCCCAAGUGGUCUAACAGCAGAAUUGAUCCUUAGAAAUUCCUUUACUGAAGGGAAUCAAUAUGUUGGGCUAAACGUUGGCAGGUAUGGUUGGUGGUGGACAGAAGUCCUGGAAUCCCCCAGCACACCAAGCAAAUUGGCAGGUAGCAAACUUUUCAAGACUUGAAACUUGUUUUCUUUCAAGCUAAUAAUAAUUUGCCUUAAAAACUUAAUAAUUAGUUUACAAAUCCCAAAGUUCACUUGCUGUUUAACGUGAACAAAGAGUGGUAUUAGAGCUGAUCACGGGUGUUAAUAUGCAAAACCUUUGUCAGCAAUUUUAAAGUUUUCAAACCUAUAUUUGGUCAGCAAUUUUAACAUUUAGUUUCCUUUGAACAUUCACGGAGGUUCACUUUUAUUUGAUGUGACAUGAUUAAACUUUCUCUUUGAAUGGUAGGACUGAUCACAUAUUUGCUGCAUUAUUUGUGCUGCUCUUGGUUUUGUUGGUUAGUGUCUCAGAACUUUUUUGUUCAGGAUCGUCCUAAUUUGCUGCUAGUUGUAGAGUGGUACAUGGGAGGAUAAUUGUUUAGCAUGAAACAGUUAUUCCCUUGGUAUGAUGCUGGAUGCUUUCACUAGAAUCUCAUUGGGUUACAGAUUUUUCAGUUUUAAAUUUAAGUGCUUGUUUAUGCAUUUCAAUCCUUCCAGAUAUUGUCAGCUCAUGUAGCUAAAAUUAAGUCUCUGUAAAAAUUAGUUGACACUUGUACUCUUUUGAGCUAGCCAAAAUUCUACAAAAUUUGACAGUUAAUAUGCUUCCAUUAAAUUUGAUAUCCAUGUUACCCCUAGUUUCUAUAACUGCUUGGACUGUAUAUUAGUGUUAAAACAAACUUAAAAGAUUCUUAAAGCCUUCUGAAAAUGCCUAAUACGAAUGCAUUUGACCUAAUUAACGGCAUCAAAGUUGUAUUUUCCCUUUUUCCUCAUUAUGUGCCAAGUCAUUUUUUCUGACAGCUUGUGUUCCCUUCUUUUGAAACUUUUACGAGUUUGUUAUGUUGUGUCUUGAACAAUUUGCAUCUUUGACUAUUAUUUCUCAUCUAAUCAUUCAUAUUUACAAGCUUAGGCUUUUGGCAUUUUGCUUGUAGGGAGAUUGUUCAUCGCCCAUGCAAGGAGUGCCACUUGGUCAGAAUCUGAUUCCGGAUUCAGCUUAUUAUGGCAAAGGAAGUUUAUGGGAGCAGAAAUCUCUUUCUGCACUUCUUCAAUCUGCUGCAGAUCCAUUUUACAUGAGGCAUGAUGGGCAAGAAGACGAAGCUGUGGAAAGGGACGUGCAAAAACUGCGACAAAAUGUAGAAGCCGGAUAUAUGAUGAGUUACAAGGCUGAGAAUGGUAUGCCUUCUGCAGGGUCUGGAAACUGCUCUUUGGUUCUGAAGCAGCCACAUCUGAGUGGAAUCCAAGCAGAAGAAAGCUUGAAGAAAGUGGACAGCUUCUCCCGAUGGAUGGCUAAAGAAUUAGGUGAAGUUGAGGAAUUGCCUUUGCAAUCAACCAAUGGAUACUCAUGGAGUGUGAUACAGACUGAGGAUGUGGUUGGUGAUUCCUGUACUCCCACCCAGCUGCAACUGGAUGCAGACACAUUAAAUUUCUCACUCUCCCAAGAUCAACUAUUUAGCAUCACUGAUUUUUCACCAAAUUGGGCUUACUCAAGGUUGGAGACCAAGGUAUAUUUGAAGGGACUAUACCGUAAGAACAUUUUUACAAUCUUGACAAACCAGUUCUCUGGAAUUAAUGUUUCAUUCUUAGUCUAUGCCUUGAAUUUCACUUCGUUUCAAUCUCUCUACUUUUUGUAAUUUUAGCCCCUUAGACACAGAUCAAAAGGAUAUAUGGUUGCAAAGUUCAGUAAUAGAUUGAAAUAACAUGCAUGUCUUUGUAAAUGCACCUUCUGAGCUUUGUGUUCUGUUGAUCUCAUUGAUUAUGCCUAUCCAGCUGCAAAACUAAUGGAUGCACCUGGACAGAGGUUGUCCUGUUACUCCUGUACCUUACUACCAUGGAAACAUUUUUGUAUACUAAUUUACCCUGAGCUGCUGAUCAUGACACUGGCAGUCAAAGCACAUUGAGAUGUAAUAGAUGGGAUUGGUUUAGGUUCCUUUGUCCUGUCAUCUCUCAAAAUGCGUUAUAUUGCAUCUACUGCUCCAAGUGGAAGUGUAAUUUAUCUACAAAUAUUUUUAGCAUAGCUAUUUCAUCUCUUAAUUGCUAAAGACAGUCAAAGUUAUUAUAUGUGGCAUAUGUACACUUUGCUUUUCUGCACUUCAAUAUGUCUUGAAGGUAAGAGCAGUUGCCUUCUACUUGAAACAUAACUUUGUGGCUCUCAGGCGGGAGUAUGCCUCUGUGGCUUCUUGAAACAUAACUUUGCGGCUAGUUGAAAUAUUUUUCCUUUUAAAUUAAUUUGGCAAGUCUCAUUGAGGCAACAGUUAGGUUUCGUGAGUUCCCCUUUUGAGAUGGUUUUUCACUUUGGGAUGUAUUCCACUUUUUUCUUUGUCGAACUCAUCUAAAUUUUUCUGUAUCAGAAUUUUUUUUUGUGCUAAGGAAAAAGAGGCACCUGUGAUUGUGUGUGUGUGUGUGUGUUUUUUUUUCUUGAUAUACUGUGUGGUUCACGAUCAUCUAGGCUCUCAAUGAUUUUAGGAUUUUAUUGUUGUUAUUGUUAUUGUUAUUGCAUAUAUAUUUGUGAACAUGCAGAUAUUUAUUGUGUUUGUAUUGUUAUUCUAUAUUUCACAGAAUAUACAUUCAUUGUCUUAUUUGCUAUAAUUUCACUUUAUUUUUGUGUUAAGCAAUUUACUUAGAUUGCUAUAAUUUCAAAUUAGAGUGACAUUAGUUUUUAUAAUAUGGUGCCUAUCUAGAAGUGUAGUUCCAGUUUUAACACCUGUGCUCAUUGCUUCAAUUUUGGUAACGUGUAGGUUCUAACACGAUUCCCAAGAAGAAGAAGCCAGUCAUUGCUGUGAAGAUGGUUUUUGAUUUGAAGACUACAAGGCCUAUCGUGCUCAUGUUUUGUUCUAGAUGGGAAUCGUGCUCAUAUUUUUGUAUAGAACUUGACUACUCUCUAUUGUGGAUGGGAAAUCACUAGUAUUAUAACUGAAUGGCUUAUUUUGGAUGGUGCAUGCUUUAUGACUCAUUUAUAUAUAUAUAUAUAUAUAUAUAUAUAUAUGUAUGUAUUUGGGUUGAUCUUCUAUUGGAAAUGAAUGUUGGCUUUCUUUUCGUAUGUUGGCUUUUUUUUUUCUCAUUGCUACUCAAUGAACGUUUUGUGAUUGUUGGCAGCUAUGUUGCGUAAUUAACAUUAGAUUAUUGCUUUUUACAAAAAAAAUAAAUGACAAUAAAAAAGUUGUCACUGCCAACAAGUUUCACUAGUGACACCAGAAAGUGGUCACUUUUUAUGGAUGGAAAACAAUGACAAUAAAAGUCGUCACUGAACGGAAGCAUAAUGUGACAACUCCAAGGGUUGAUUAUGACAAGAAUUUAGCCAGCUUAGUGACAAUAAAAGUCGUCACAUAAUGUACAAUAAUGAGUGACGACAAGAGUCAUCACAAAAGCGAAAUCGUUUGUGACGACUUUCAACAGUCGUCACAUGGACCCCCUUUUGUGACAUAGAACUAGUGACAGCAGUAAAAGUCGUCACUGAUUUUUUUUGUGACGACUUCUGAAUUUUUAGUGACGACUUUCGCCUGUCACAGAAACUUAAUUUUCUUGUAGUGAGAGGAUUUGAAGCCGAUUGAUUAGGUAAAGCUAUCAAAUUAAAGAAUCUUUAAUUCAUCUGGUCACCGAAUUUACCUAAAAUAUAGGAAUAAAUGGAUAAGUAGUGAUAGAAAUGAAAAAGUUACUGGCAAAAAGUUAUGUGUAACUUUCAAAAUUAGAUUAUCUGUAGCAUUUUAUUUUCUAUUAUUGGGAAUUCAAAAUCACUAAAUGCCAAAAUUUCUGUAGCAUUUUAUAUAUAUGUACAUGUAAGUGCCAAAAUUUCAAUAGAGGGCAUGUAGCCCAAAACUUUUUCUGGAAUUGUAGCUGAAAAUUGAGGUCGGUCAUAAGUGCAGGAAAUAAAUUGAGGUAUAUUAGCAAAAAGAAUUAGCCAAGUACGAGCAAGCUUUGUCCUCUUUACAGAAUGUCAACCGGUAAUUUAACUGGUAGCUUUGUUUUAUUGAAGCAGAUCUACCUUUCUGUUUAUAUUAAUAUCUAUCAAGUUCACAAAAAAUAUUUCACCCUCAAAUUAUUUUGUUUCUAUAUUCUUGAUUAGGUGAGAAAAGGUGAAGCUACCGAACCAAAGAAUCUUUAAAACAACUCAUCACUGAAAUUCAUUAAGAUGUGGCUUGUCUGUUUAUUCGAGUCAAUCAAGAAACUUGCAAAGAAACCAUGGCUGAUGCACUAAAACCUGAUGAAUUGGCCAUCAAUUCCAAUAGUUUCGCACAAAAACCUACCAUAAAAGGCGUUGAAAGCAUCGAUCAUGCCACCCUUCGACUUUUGGAGAUUCCAGCCAUCAAUAUUGGCCUUCUUAAUUCUUCUCUUUCACCUGAAGUGGGGGUGGAACUAAGGAAACUGCGCUCAGCUCUGAGUUCAUCUGGUUACUUUCAGGUUUGUUCCAGCACCAGUCUAACCCUCUAGAUUAGUUCUAAGCACAUCAUGUUUUCUUAUAAGUUGUAUUCCUAGUUUCCUUUUUUUUUUUUUUGGGUAUGGUAACUCCACAGGAUUGGAGUCAGAACAAUUGUUAGGGUAAUUAUUCAAGGUGGAGAUUCCACCAUUUAAAAGAUGAAGGUGGAGAUUAAAGCUUACAGAGAAUUUGUAAUGUCUAGUAGGUCCUGUGGAUAAACACUACAAACUACCAUUUAUAGUUUUAGUUUCUACAAUCUAUAUCUAUAUCUAUAUGUAUUGCAGAAUGGGUUUUUAGCAGAGACCCGCUCAAUGGCUUCCAAACUUCUCAUUCUUUUUUCUAAAUUUUUGUAUUUAUUUUAAUACAUAAAAAGUAGUGGGUUAUAACCAACCCUAUUACUAAUCAAAUUUAAAAUUUAAAACAUUCCCACUAUCUAUUUCAUAAACCGUUUAUAAUUUGUUAUUUAUACAUUAAAUCUUUUUUACUCCUUAAUUAAAGACAAAUGCUCAUUCGUAUGCUAUUUUAAUAUAAUGUUACAUUUUUAUAAUUAAGAAAUAUUUAUCACCAAACUAACCGUAUAACCACCCCUACAAAUGAGCUUUGCAAAUUACAAUCACGUUUCAAAAAAAUCACAAAUGUGCAACUAAAUGUAAAGUUGAGGGGGUAAAGUGCCGCUAAAUGUAAAGUUAAGGGGCUUACUAUAUUUAACCCUAAAAAAAAUCCCAAAAACGGAACAAGUAGUGGGUUAUAGAUUUUUGUAUUUAUUUUAAUACAUAAAAAGUAAGGGAUUUUUAGCAGAGACCCUCUCAAUGGCUUCCAAACUUCUCAUUCUUUUUUCUAGAUUUUUGUAUUUAUUUUAAUAUAUAAAAAGUAGUGGUUAUAACCAACCCUAUCACUAAUCAAAUUUAAAAUUUAAAACAUUCCCACCAUCUAUUUGAUAAACCGUUUAUAUUUUGAUAUUUAUACUUUAAAUCCUUUUUACUCCUUAAUUAAAGACAAAUGCUCAUUCGUAUGCUAUUUUAAUACGCCCCAGAAGACUUGGAAGAAGAAGGAUGACCACUAUGGUACACAUUCACAUACCAGAGGAAAUUAUUGUUGAGAUACGCUCUAGAUUACCGGUGAAAUCGAUUUUGAAAUUCAAGUUAGUUUGCAAGUUAUGGAACUCUUUGCUAUCCGAUCCUUGAUUCAGUUUGGCAACUAAAGGUAGAGAACACGCGAUCUUCUGGUGUUGUGGCAAAAGAUGUUUUAGUUCUUUAGACGAUCAGUAUGCAAUCCAAGAGAUUCUUAGGCAAUGUUGGUAUCGACCUUAUUUAGAUUUUCUAGGAUCUUGUAACGGUUGGUGCUCUUCAGUACUUAUGGUACUUAUAAUACCAGAUAUGACUACUAUAAUUAUUGUUACUUCUACCUUUUGAACCCAUCAACAAGAUCUUUUAGAGGUUUGAUCAACUUUAGCAGGAGGAUAUUGUAUGGUGAAAACCGUAUAACUGAUUCUCCAGUGGCCUAUGGAUUUUGCUUCGACAAGUUGUCAGAUGAUUACAAAGCAAUAGGAUCAAUUAUUAUACCCAAAAUAGAUCAAUUAUUCAAGAAGAUUCGACAAAGUAAUACUCUGAAAGGCAAAUUUGCAAGUUGUGUACUCUGAAAUAUGCUUGCAUCUCUCAGUACUGUUUUUUCUUUUACUUCUUCUUUUUUUUAACUCGUUUUGGUCGGUUCAUUUCCUUCAGGUAUUACUUUUUUGUGGUGCAAGAUUGAUUGAUUUAAUAACAUAAUUUGCGUGAUUGGAAAACAAUUUGCAAGCAACGGCUAAUGAACUUAAGAUCCUUAUUUAAGCUUUUUGAAAGGGAAAUAACUGAUGGCACAAGGGCUGAGGUCCACGAGCAGAAUUUUAUUCUUCAGGGACCGUUUGCAUAACCAGAGAUGACAAAGCAUGCUAGGACACGACAAGCUUGAUUGUUAGGAAAAUAUUAAAUGCAACUAGGACUGUAAUCCCAAAAUAAUUGUUCGUGAAAACAAUAUCGGCUGGGAAGGAUGUUAAGCAGAAAAGAUGACUCUUCUUGAGGACGUUGAAGGACUCCUCAACAUUUCAACAUUGCCAUCAGCAGCCAUGUCCCGAUUCAGGAAUUUUGACCCGAUAUCUUUCGAAAAUGUUGUCAAGCUGAGGAAGUAACCUUAUUUGCAUAGGAUAUAUAAAGAGUUAUACCAUCCAUGAUGGUCUUUCUACUUUUUCUCACUAUUGUUUGGGCAACUUUAGGUACGAAAAUGAAAUCAAGAAAACAAGAACUUUAAUCAUCAUUGAAGGACUCGUUGAACAAAGAAAAUGUUCCACUAAGAGAAAUAAGAGGACAACAAGAAAUUGUGUGAUUGUGCUGUUGAUCAAUGCAUAAGUACUGUUGGAUUUUUAGGCUCUAUAAUACAAAGGAUUUGGAAGUUUAAAUGUUCUAUUUGCACUUGGAAGCCCCUCAAUGCUGCUCCAUUGGUCACCAAGAAUGCCCCAAAUGCGAUAUCCCUUGCUGAUCAAUUGUUUCCUUACAUCAGAUUUGAAUCCCUGGAUGUCCUUGCAUGCAUCAUCAGCUCCCCUGCAACAAUAGAGCAACUGAUCAAUGAGAAUAAUCUCAAAAGAUAGGCAGGCACCAUUUAGACGAGAUGCGCAGAAUCAUGUUUUAAAAGGAUGCAUAUUGUGCUAGCAAAAGAUAUCUUAUCCAAACCUUAAUAAGAGACUAUUCCAGCCAAAGAAGCCCUCAUUGACAAGGUUGUCGACUGUGGCAGAUCUGAGAUGCUCCAUCCUUGAAGAAACCAAAAUGAUCCGAACUCCUCGUGAUUUAAGCUCAUUGAAAAGCUUCAGAGAGUGCUGAAGAGCUGGUGCUUUGCCCUUGGUCAUCCACUCUUCCAAAGAGGUCAAGUUCAACUUCUUUCCCCUAUUAAAAACAACGAUAGGAAUCAGGCUUGAAGUGAAUGAAUAAUAGAAUCUUAUAGCUGAAAUAACUUACCCAAAACCAUUUUUCUUGUAGUAAGGGACAGUGGACAAAAGAGUAUCAUCAAUGUCAAAGAUCCAAGCAUCUGUGCCAUCUUUCUUGAGAUUGCAGCUGGUGCUGAGAUAGACAAUGGAUUCAUGAAUAGUCCUCUCAGAAUCCACCUUGUAUUGAGUUGAUGUCAUGUAUUUGCCCAUGUAUGAAACACAUUCAUCAGGCACAACAUCAAAAUCCCUGAUGUUAUGGAGCUCAACAUUCAUCCUCCAAGCCUCACAGUAGUUCUUCAAGGUGAUUUGAAGUCCAUCUUUCCCUUUCUCCUUGAGAAUGUUGCAAUCUGCUGCAGCUGAGCCUAGCAGGAAGCAAAAGAUAGCUAACAAAAUGCCAACACUUCUUGCCAUCAAUUUCCUCACAAAGGGUAGUCGGCAAUCUACAACGGGCAUCGAUGGCUGUCUAAUUUGUCCGGUUUAAGUAGCUACUAUAUGUGGAACUGGUCAGCAAUUUACACUAGGAGGUGCAAAGCACAUGGAGCUUCUUGUCCAUUUUCAGCUUCACAUGGCAAACAGGACACCUAAUGUAUUAAAUAAGGGAUUACUCUAUCCCAAUUAAUCCAUAAGAUAAUGCCCAAAAGUUCUCCAAUCUGCAACAAAUAUGCUAAAGAUUGUCAAAUGGUAAAUAACUUAAUUAGAAUCUAUAAAACUGUCACUACGCUAGGAGGCUUAGCAUGUUUCAGAUAUUUGAGUUUACACUAGCAUUGUCAAUGUCAAGUGCGUUGGUCUUCAUUUUUGGAAAGUUCCUCAAGUCUUCCACAUUAGGACCGAGUUAUAAAAGUCUUCCUCAAGUCUUUCUUAAAACGUCAUAAAAGCAUAUCACAUCGACUGACUUUUAUUUAGGAGCCGCUGACUUUAGUUUGUCAACGUAUUGGAUGCCCAUACAAAAAAUGAUCUGUUUGUUUGUCAACGUAUUACUACCAUUUAUUGAUCAGAAUUGUCUGCAGCAGCAGCUGCAUCCUUGCUGGAGGAACAUUAAUAGAUUUUUCUUUAUUAUCCCGAGGAACUUUAAAAUAUUAAAUCGAUUAUUUGGACGUGAUCAAUCUGACCAAUCUCAAUAGUCUAAAUCGACUACUGGUGCAACCACAACCGGCUAAUAAAAUUUCGUUGUUUAACCAGCUAAGAGAAAUUCCUUCAGCAACCAAAUUUUUCUGGGUUGCCAAAAUGUGUUGCAGGGUUAGCCGGCAAGACAGUAGCUAAUGCCAUAUGUGCAAUUAUUUCUAUGUAAAUUGAAUUUUGCGACAGCAUCAAAUUUUCUCACUUUUCCAUCAGCCAUUUCCACAGCUAUGCUUUAAGUUUAACUCAAUCGUGGAUGGAUGAACAGAAAUAGCAAUUGGAAGCGCAUUCAACAACAAAAGUGUAGCACUUGGAUACAUCAAUAUGCAACAUAUAAGUUAUUUCUUCUCUCACUAUAUAAACUUGCUGCCUAGCCUACACUAUUUUUAGGGAUAACAUGCAGACUGUUCUUCUGGACCAAAAAAAACCACUCUCCCCGUUGAAUUACUAUUUUUAAAAGUUUUUAUAGAAAAAAUAUAUAUUGUAAUAAUUUGAUGCACGCGAGGUUAAAAAAAAUAAUAAAAAAAUAUGUUCAUAAAAACGUUAAAAUUUAUUCACAAAAAAUCACAAUCCAAACAAGGAAAAUGCAAUUCUAAUUCUGCCCCCAAAGAAUGAUGGUCAAGAUAAAUGGUACCAUUAUGAGUAAUUCUCAAAGAAUAUUCCGGGUGCAAAUGGCAAAACAGUAAGAGACACUCACUAUUAUUACCAAUUUCAGAUUCAACCCUAUGCUUACUCGCAAGUAAUAACUAGAAGACGAGAAAAGUCAGCUGAACUGCCUGCAGUUCUUUAAGAGAGACAAUUUUACAAGCAAAAUGUGCAUGUCAAACUCUUUAAUGGAAUCAAUACGAUUUCUGAUUAUUAACUCAACAAGCCUGCCUUGUGCAUGGGCAACAGGGAAAAAAAAAAUUUCACCACCACCCAAAAUUUUCUACAUUUGAGCUGAUCCUAAGAUCUUUGUCGUAUGAGAUCUCCAAUUAGUGAAAUGUUGGAAACUUUUCAAAAUUUGUAUGAUGUACAUACAUGUAAUUAAUAUAUAUUCAUUUUUGUUUUUGAUACAUGUAUAGUAUUGUGAAUGUUUCUAAAAUGUACAUUUAUUUAUGAAUGUGUUCAUGUAUAUGAGAAUCCUUGAAUGAAAGGAUAGAUUCAUGUUUUGAUCUUAAGAUCAUGAGAUGCAUGAAUUAAAGUGCAUGAAUUUGUACACAAUACUUUGAAUCUAUUCAUACAAGUAUUUAAUGAGUUCUUUUGUUUCUCAAACAAUCUUUCUAUAUAAAGAGAUCAAGUAGAGAGUGGUCUGCUGCAGAAAAUCACUUUCCUACUACUGUAUACUCUCUCAAAAGCACUCCCUAGUUCACAAAGGGCUUGUUUUGUUUUGUGUAAGAGUUUAAGACAAACAAACUUCAUCUUAUCCUAAAGGAUAUUUAUCCAAGAUUAUUGCACGUUAUACCGGACAAAUAUAGCCUAAAAGGAAAGUGAUAUCUGUCACAAUUGGAAGCCAAUUCUUGUCACAAUAUUUGCCAGUUAUUUGCAAUUUUCCCAACAAUCUUUAGGCUUUAUUUCAUACUCUACAAUAGCUGGUACCCUGAAAGAGUUGGCAUCCAACAUUGUCAAGCUUGAGAGGUUUGACGGAGGAAAUUUCAUUCGUUGGCAAAAACGUGUUCGUUUUCCUUUUCACUGCACUCAAAGUGAUCUAUGUUUUGACCACACCAAAAUCAUUGAUCAAUCCCGAGGAAGAAACUCUUGAAGACAUCAGAAAAUGUCAGAAAUGGGAGAACGACGAUGAAAUAUGCCGUGGUCACAUUCUCAAUACCAUGAGUGACAGCCUGUUUGAUGUCUACCGUUCAAUUACUACCGCCAAGGGACUUUGGGAUCGUUUGGAGUCCAAGUACAUGCAAGAAGAUGCUACAAGUAAGAAGUUUCUUGUCUCAUCUUUUAAUAAUUAUAAAAUGAUAGAUAGUAGGUCUGUUAUGAAGCAAUUUAGUGAGAUUGAAAGGCUUCUUAAUUACUUCACACACCACAAUCUACACAUGGAUGAAGCCAUUAUUGUUUGCUCUAUAAUAAAUAAGUUACCAUCUUCUUGGAAAGAUUUCAGGAGAGACUGUAAACAUAAGAAAGAUGAUAUCUCUCUUAAAAUUCUUGCUAAAUCUCUUCGAGUAAAAGAGAAAAUUCGCAUGCAAGAAAAAAAGGAUACUCAAAUCUUUGAAAAGAACAAAGAUUCUACUUCAAAAGUGCAUGUGAUUGAAGAGAGACAAACUGAAAAGUCUCAAGGAAGCAAGAAGGGCCAACAACCCAAGAACCAAUCCAAGAAAAAGAAGAAGGGACAAUGCUUCUAUUGCAAGAAAGAGGGACAUUACAAAUUCGAGUGCAAGAUUCUUCAAAAUAAGAAAAAGAAGCAAGAGUCUUCUCAAAAUACAAGCAAAAAUCUUGUGGCAAUGAUCUCUGAAAUCAAUAUGAUUAAAAAUGAUUUUGCUUGGUGGGUUGAUUCUGGAACUACGUGACACGUGUGCAACAAUAGAACGUUCUUCAAGUCCAUGAAAUCGGUGGAUGAAAGCACCGUUGUUUAGAUGGAAAAUUCUACUACAAUUCCGGUUCAAGGUGCGAUAGCCCCACCUCCUCUUAAGGCGAACCAAAGGAUUCGGUGGACCGCCUGCCCAACUUUCGCCAGAACUACGAAACCAAAUCACACAAACCCUACAUAACGCGCGAUAGAACCCAAAGAAAACGAACAAUUGGAAACCACCAAACCAAAAUAUAACUUACCAAACCAUACGGUGCAAUGGGACUUCGGUUAAUCACUUCAACGACCACGAACAAUGAAGAACGAAAACGAAAACAAAAAUGAACAGUAGCUGACACGUCACAAUCCGGCAGGAUUCAAGGCAGUAGCGAAACCAAUUUUUUUUCCAAAUCUCCUGUCAAUCCGGCCAUGUAUCCGGCCAAUAACUGGCCAGAUAUACGGACGGAUUCUGUGAACAGUUCCCCGCCAAAAUUUUUCUUUUCUAGAUCAAUUCCCACACUUGCUUGAAUCCCCACAGAUACAAGUAAAGUUCAUAUAAACCCAUAGAGUGUACAUUCACCAACAAAUACAUGAAGAAAACAUGAAUAAACACUUAUAUAUAUAUAUAUAUAUAUAUAUAUAUAUAUAUAUAUAUAUAUAUAUAUAUGUUGAACUUUACAAGUCAAAGUGUGAUACUUGAUCAAAAUACAAUUAAGGUUUUCUAUUACAAAGAAACUUAACAAAGGAACGUUUACACUAGCUUGACUCUUUCUUCCAAAAAUCAUGGUUUCAAAGUUUGCCCCUAUAAGGAAACACAAAGAUAACAGGAAGGGGUGAACUUACGCUCAAUGAGGUACCAAAAAUACAAGUAGUUAUGAAUCAUGGCAUUUCACGUUUGCCCAGUCAAAUACACAUACCAGAUAUAAAGUAAAGCAGUUAAACACAGUGAUUCAAUUAAAAGGAUACAUGUGGCUCUCAGAAGCCAAACUUCGGUUGCAGUGCCAGAACUUGAUCAAAUAGUGGUUGACACUCCGUCAACUUUCAAGUAAAGUAACUAGUUCAGUAGAGCACCGUUUAAUGCCAAAUUCCGUCCACCAAACAUACCUCUUACCGGGCCUGAACACCUCAACGGAAACAGAAAUGGUAAUACUCGAGUAUACCGGAAAUCCAAAGUCUCCAAUACCCAUAGAUUCCCCACGAACAGGCACCCAUGGAUUGUCAAUUUCCUCGACCAAACCCUUGCUGGCUUGAUUCCAUUAAUUCUCCAUGAGAUUGAGUUCAGGUUUAACAGGAAGGUCGUUGGAUACAUUUCCAAACGACAUCCGAUCAGGCGCAGUAAUAGAUUCAAGCUUAUAACAGGUACAAGUAACAGGUUCAAGCAUAUACAGUAAACCAGUUACACAGGCCAGAGAACGAGUGUGAUAAAGUACACUCUCGUCUCAUUCAGGAUAAACAGAUAGUACAGUCAUUCAAAUCACAGAUUCCAAGUACAAAUAAAUCAAGUUGAGCAACAAAUGAGGUGAGUGAUACACUCACCAGCUCAAGCAAAGAUAACUUCAAAAUCAGUGGCAUAGAACUCUACUUACUCCAGAUGCCAUUGUCGUCAAUGUUGGUGAUCAAGUUGAGGUGACUAAAUCCUUUUUGUCGUCAAUGUUGUUUGUGUACUUUUUAAUUAAACAAAGGCUAACAAAAAAAAAAACCGCCCAAAAAAAGAAAAAAAUAAAAUAAAACUUGAAUAGUGUCAUUAGCUACACGUAAGUUGACAAACUAAAGAAGCACACAAGUUUCAUAAGAAGUCGCAAUCAUCAUGUUUUAAGGGGUAAAUUGCAUCAGGCCCUGAAAAUUUAAUUUAACUUCAAGCUUGUUCUAAGCAAUCAAUUUAACUAGUAGAAAUAUUAGUUAGAUGACCGUGAAAUCUUAGGUUCAACUUUUAAAUUCUCUCGUUUCUUCCUCGUGUAUAAGGCUUGAGGUCUCAGUUAGAAUCCCCCUGUCCUUCCCCCCCUCCCCAAAAAAAAGAGAGGCAUAUUUCGCUGCAGCAACUAAAACAUAAAUGAUCUCAUCAAUACGUGAAGUGGGAGGUCAAGGGUUCAAACCUUGCCUCCCAUCAAUAUGCCUCUAUAUGAGGCUUGUCAUCGCAGUGUGGUGCACCUGUCUGGUCUGAUGGUGAUUUAGUUUCCAUCAGAUUCCUUCCGUCUCAGUUGGGCCACCCCUUAAAAUAGGCUUUCCCCCAGUAGGAGUAGGUUAGGUUAGGUUAGGUGUGCUGUAACGUAAAAAAAAAUAAAAAAUAAAACGUAAAUGACCUCAUUUGUUAAGCUCUGUAGUUAUGCUUCAUCUUCAUUCAUGUAAUUUCAAAGAUCUCUUCUAUCUUAGAAAAAAGAAGCAAAUUGUGAAGUUGAUCAUGUCCCUUCAUACAAAGCAUGAUGAGGAAUAUGUUUAAUUACUUGAUAGGCAUUGAGAUUAUUGUACUUAUGAAAAAUGUCAUUGGUAGUUAGAAUAAUUUGCUUUUUUCCCAAUUAAAAUCAACAGUUUUAUAUAUUUUCUAGGUGACUCUUAUUUUUAACUUCGAUUUUAUUUGAUUUGCAGAUAAUGAGUAACGGCAUAUUCAAAAGUCCAAUACAUAGAGUUCCCACAAACAACAAAAAGGAGAGAAUAUCGCUAGCUUUUUUCUUUUGUCCUGAACCUUCGUCCGGUGAAAUCAAACCCGCGGAGGGUCUCAUUGACGACAAAAAUCCGAGAUUGUACAAAAGGAUCACAAGGCCUUUAGAUGCUUUGAAAAUUUGACACUGUUGAGAUGAAGAUUAUGUGACAGGAAAAUGAGGCUUGCAUGUGGAUUAUUUCAUGCAGGAUUGUGUUGUUUUCUGGCAUUGAAUUCCUUUGGUUUAGGUAAAGGAAAAUUAUCAUGCAAUAAUUAAACUCUUUUAUACCAUUUUAUAUUACGCCAUUAUGUCUUUAAUUAGCUAAUAUUAUCUCUCCUUAUUUUUUUUCUUUCAAAAUUAUACAUUAAUAACUUGAUUUUGUUUUGAUUAAAGAACAUAAAAGAAAAGAUAACGUUAAUUGCAUCCUUUAAUAAUUGUAAGUUACCAAAUUGCCUAAAGGUCGAUAUUUGUCAAAAGUAUAAAACUAAGUUGAGUUGCAAAUAAUAGAUGAGAAAUGAUAUGAUUAAUUCUUGAGAAAUAAAUACUUCAGAUUUUGCAAAUUAACUUUAGUUCUUAUGAGUAUGUGUAAAUAUAAUUUUCCUUUUCGAAAUGAAUGUGGAUUCUGAAAAUAGGAAGUAGUCCAACUUAUGGACAAUCAAACACACAGGCAGAAAAAUGCUCAGAUAUUCACAGACGUACAUAUGCAUAGAAAUCUAUUUUCUUUUUAUCUUCAAAAGCUCAUGUCACAUAAAUGGAGUCAAACUCUUUGGUGUUGUUCAAUUCUCAUUGAGUUAUAAAAAAAAUAUUUGUUAUGCAGAUUUUCAAACGGAGUUUGUUAACGUCAAUCUUCACUAUUUCAAAAUAAUGAUUCUGCAAAUGUAAUUUGUAUUCGAGUCACAAGUUUCUUUUUUUUUUUUUUUUUUUUUUGAGGAUUGCUUAUACAAGAAUUCGAAAGCCUUAGCUUUUUCUUUUUAUUAUUUUUUUAACAGGAGAGGGAUGAGGGUUUAGAAGCAGGGAGAGGGAUGAGUUGCUCUUAAUUGUAGAUAUACCAUGUCUUUGAUCGUGCUGGAGUUCAUAGGAUAAAGCUUCCAACCGUAGGGGUGAGGACCUCUGGGAUGGUUUUGGUCGAUAUGGUUGACAAGAAUGGGCUCUACUUUUCUGAUGACUUCGCCCUGAUAUUCCAUAUGAACAAUUACAAGUUUCUGAGCUACUUUUGAUAUCGGAUAAUAUAUAGUAGACAAUUUUGCUAAUACAGCCGGACACAGACUUUUGAAAUGUGAUAUUUAUCCCAAGCUCUUUUUUUUUUUUUUUUUUUUUAGAAAAUCAAUACACUUCGUUAUUAUUAUUAUUAUUAUUAUUUUUUUUUAAUCAAAAGUCACAACUCUUAUUCAUCUAAACCAACAGAAAUACAAAGAUUUCAGUCGCGAGCGACUGUAACCCGAAUAGCGGGAGUUUGAGACCUAUCUAAGCCCAAAGCCCCCCUUGCCCGUCUAGGAAAGUCUAUGUGUGAAGAAUACAAAACCAAACCCGCUGCCCGUGCCCCAACCUUGGCCAACACAUCCGCCACCUGAUUUGCUUGCCGGAAACAAUGCCCCACAGACCAGUCCAUCCCCUGAAUCGCUUCUAAGGCAGCUAACUCCGGCUUAAUUCUCCAAGGGCAUCUCGACUUCUUAAGCAAAAUGUUGACUAACACAAGAGAAUCCACCUCCACCUGAAUCCGCAAGAAACCCCUAAGAAGACACUGCUGCACUCCAACCAACAAAGCACUAAUCUCCGCAUGCAGGGAAGAUAACUCCCCAAGCGGGGUCGAGAAUCCAAACACCACUACACCAGAUGAAUCUCGGAGCACACCACCCCCACCACUAACACCCGGGUUGCCUAACGAGCAUCCAUCCGUAUUUAAUUUGAAAGCCCCCUGGGAUGGAAACACCCAAUGAACCAGCCUAUGGCAAUAUCGAGGCCUCCAGCCCCCAAUUCUGGAAUAAAAUGACAUCCAAGAACCAUGCCCCAGAUUCUCCCCUGCAAAUUUUCCGCCAAAAAGCCCCACAACAUUCGAAAGGACGCGAGCACACAUGAUUUCCCUACACAGACUCUUCCCUUCAAACAGCGCAAGAUUUCGUGCUAACCAAAGAUGCCAGCAAAUUAUGCUAGGCACCAGCACGUGCAAGGAUGCCAAACGCGAACUACCUGUCGGUUUACACCACCAGCCAGCCAGACGUGAACGCACCCCACCCCCUCGGUACGUCACGCCCGCACCGUUCCCAAAAAAUGUCCACAAGAACUGAGCAACAUCACCAUCCCCAAAUACAUGAUCCAAAGAUUCGGAGUGCGGGAGCGAACAACAAAAACACUUGGAAGGACCAUACACAUGCAAUCGCCCCAACGCAGACGCCAAUGGCAAACGAUCCCGCAACAACCGCACCAUGAAAAAAGACACCUUUAGUGGAAUCAAAGAAUUCCAUACCUUGCUAAACAUGAAGGAAGAAGGACUCUGCCUGCCCAAAAGCACAUAGGUAGACGCAAUCGUAAAAUCCCCUGACUCCGUCAAUGCCCACACCGCAGAAUCAUCCGCAGCCCCCACAGGAGGCGCUUUGAUAACAAUCUCUGACACUAUAUCAGCCGGAACCCAGCGCCGCAACAAUUGUUGAUUCCAUCGCCCAUUCACCACAAAAUCACCUACUUGAUGAUCAGAAACACUUUGUACUCGCUGACAAAGAGGACCAGAUCCCAGCCAAUUAUCAAACCAAAAAUUACACUGACCAGACCGGACCAACCACCGAAGGUUUUGCUCCGCCACCUCCCGCACUUGAAGCAUACGGCGCCACACAUAUGAACUCCCUUGCACCGCCCCCACCAUACAUGGAUGGCUUCGCCGACAAUACUUGGCCUGCAUAAAUGUCGACCAUAAACACUCACUUGUACGGAACCGCCACCACAGCUUGAUUGAGAAUGCUGAUUGGACCUCCAGAUGUAAUAUCCCAAGCUCACCACAGAUGUAAUAUCAUGGAGCCGAGACCAUAUCAGUAUGUUAGGGAGGUCACCUGAACCAUGCCUGAAAUACAUCUCACUGUAGAAAAGCAGGAUGAGGGUUUUGAAGCUUAUCUCCAAAUGUUAAUUCCCCUUUUGAUACUCAGUUAGGAACAGGAAUUACUGGGAAAUUGAAUACUCAUUCAAAAUAGACACACACGCACACGUAUGUUGAAGAUACUCACUCUCUACAUAGAUAACCUUAUCUUCUCAAUUGGUUCCUAAAUCAUUUCUUUAAACUUUGUAAAGCCUUUUAACUAGUGUUCAGUCAAUAUUCGUUGAUACAUCUAAACUAAACCCUACUAAUUAUGUGAAUUCUGAUAAUCACAUCCACCAGAAAAAUCCAUGAUUUAUAUAACCCUCAAAUGCCUAACACUUAGAUACUAGUUAUAGAAGUAGAAAGUCACCAAAAAUAAAAGGUCGUGCUCAUUAUUAAAAUUCUAAAAUUAUUAUUUACUCCAUGAAUUUUCACAAAAUAGAUUUUUCUUAGAGAUUCUAGAUUCUAAUUCUCCUGUCCCCUUUCAGUUUAUGGAUUCUAAUCUGCCUGUCCCCUUUCAAUUUAUUAAAUUCCAUCUCUCUCUCCGACUAAAAAAUUUUCAACAAAAAUUCUCCUUUAAACCGGACGCCCUCAUGUGGCUUUUUUUUAUUACACUCCACAAUGCUGACAGAAGUUACAAACACAUUGAUUCUGAAGCCCUGUGAAAUACAGCAACGGAUCUUCUGUCCCACAUCCUGUGCCACUCUCUGUUCCACUUUUUAUUAUAUUGCUAUUUCUCAUUCAUAAACAUCAUGUUUUAAUUCUUUUUUGCUUCCUUAAGAUCCAAUAACUAUUAAUUGAGUAAUACACAAAAUUUAACAAACUCAAAAAAUCAAAAUGCAUAAAAAAUGAGAUUUUUUAUGAAUUUUUUGCUGUAUUUUUUAAUUUUCUAUUAUAUAUUGCUUUUUUGAAGCUGUUAUGUUUAUUUUUUACUCAAUUAAUAGUUAUUAGAUUUUAAGGAAGUAAAAAAGAAUUAAAACAUGAUGUUUAUGAAUGAGAAAUAGCAAUAUAAUAAAAAGUGAGACAGAGAAUGGCACAGAGUGUGGGACAGAAGAUCCGUUGCGGUGAAAUACCUCAAAAAUCGUCAGUUGCUAAUUAGCUCUAGUUAAUGGGCUUGAGUUUGGUAUUAAUAUAAUUUAUGUGUAAAAUCAGUGGCGGAGCAACAUAGAAGUGAGGGUGGACAAUUACCGCCUCCCCCCACCUCCCUUUCGUUAAAUUCGAUAAAAUUAUGUAAUAGCCUUAAAUUUUUUUGAAAAAAAUUUUAAGUUUGUAUUAUAUUUGCACCCCCUAAAUUUUAUAAAGUUCUCUUCUUCAGUUACAUACUUGCAUUGUCCCCCUUAAAUCUAAGAAAAUUCCUUUCUAUACAUAGAUUAUCCUCUUAAUAUCUAUAUAUUCCCUCCUUAUUCUACAUUGACUGCUUAAAAAAAAUAAGAUCUUUUAUUAAUUACCUCCUCGAACAAAAAUUUUGGACCUAUUCUAAAAUAAACAUUAACGACACUAAUGGGGAAAAUGGAUUUGGCCUUUCAAAUCAAAGUACAUAUUAUAUUUUAUAUAAAUCUAAGAAUAUGAUUUGUCUUGAAAUUGACCGUUGUAAUUCCAGGUCGUGACUCCACCACUGUGUAAAAUCAUAGUAGAAACAUUGAUAAUUUGUGAAGUAGAUAGAACGUUUUGGGGAAAUUCUUCCUUUUUGUAAUUUAAGAGAAACUCCGAACUGUGUAAGGAGAAAACAAAAAACGAAGGAUUCAAGAGUUAAACCAAUCCCAUAGUGUCCUCUCUAAUGUUUCUAUUUACAAUUCAGCUGCUGACUUUUUUGGUCUGAAAAUCAAAAGUAAGAGACGCGGUCUUUUACUAGCUUUCGCAUCCGCAAGUUGUUAGGCAUAGUAAAUUUGGGCUCAAAAGUAAAAACCCAAACUUGUCUGGCAACGGGACAAACUGAUAUGGGUUAUGUCCAACUUGAUCCUACGGAGUCAAAGUAUACAACUCACCAGUAUCGAUCAGCUUUGAGGCCCAAUACUUUUGGAUUGUUUGAUCAUGGAUGAUCUCAAAUUGAUCUAACCGUCCCUGACGUUUCGCAAUUACAAUCAGAAUUCAGAAGGCCUCAAGUUUUCAAAAUUCCAACUUGCAUCCCUUGGCAGUUCAAAAUUGCUACGGUAACCCUUACAAAAUUCUUACAUAGGCCUUUUAAAAAGGAAAAAUUAAAAAUAGGGAAAUGAAUAAUUUGAGUUAUCUAGACAAGUUUAUGGGCCAAUAAAUAAAGAAUUUUUAUCUUUGAAACCCAUUUUGUAUCCACCGAUCUAAAAGAACAGAAUAGGUCGAUGUCUCUAGUAAAUCAAGAGGCGUAGAAAAUUGAAGAAGCAAGCAUUGACAAUACUAAAAGAAUCUUUUUUACACAGGGAAACUAUUGAGGAGGCGUAGAAAAUUGGAGAAGUGAACAUUGACAACCAAAUUAAUUAUAUUGGAUUCUGUAUGAGGUUAAACAUUUUAUUAUUUUCUUCAAGUUAUUGUGCGUCGAUUGCUAGAAUGAUCGUUUGCGAUUAAAUUGCAUAAUAUAAUUGAAACAAAACAUUUUCACCUUGGCCAGCAAUUGAACCCCAAAUAUUUUUAGGCCCAUUCCUACGAGCGAGAAAAUUUAUGGAACAAAAUUUUGUUUGGCAAAGAUGAUAGAGUUCCCAAAUUACCAAUUUUUUUGAGGUCUGAUGAGUAAAUUUUUUUGGAAUGGAAGCUUGAAAUGCUCAGAUAUUCAGAAGCAUCGCUUAAUUUGUAGUAUUUCGGUGAGUUGUCUGUUGAUUUUCUAGCCUUAAUACGUUAAUUUCUUGGUAAUUAAUUUAUCCUCGUACCAUUAUUUCAUCAACUUGCAGAGAUCAGUCUCUACUAUUGUAGUACUCGUGAGUUUGUUGACCCGAACGCGCGAGUCCAAAGCAUUAUUCAGUAGUUAUACAAAUAUCUACAGAAAUGAUCGAAUCAGAUUGUCCAAAUCGUGGAACCCGCCUUCAAUAAUUUCAUGCAGGAUUGAAUUUCAGUUGCAAAGUAGAUGUUCUCUUUCAUGCGUCUAGAACCAUUACAAUACUUAUGCAGUUUGUCUCCUUCCAAAAUCUGUCUUCUGAUUUCUAGCAUUUGUGCAAGAGCAGGUUCAAGCUUUUCUUCAAGAGGAGCUGUGUUUGCAUGCAGAUGACUGUUUUCUUCCUUGUUUUACAAGAUUUAAGGAUCCUACCUUGUUUUUGAAUUGGAUUCAGAAUUAUAUACCCGACCAAUGCCAAAGAAAUUGAAAAAGAACAUUGGUAGAAAUCUUUUGGUACUAUUAUCUUGAUUCUUGAUUUCUAUGAGAUGAGUCAAUCUAGACGAUUUUUGGAAAGAAACUUUGCGGUUGAAAAGGCUCAGCCUUUUCCCAUUCCAUAAAUUUUAGAAUUGGGAUGGUAAAAUUUUCUAAAGCAAUUCUUAAGUGCAAAGAUAAACUUUUAACACAGAAUUAAACAAUCUAAGCAUAUAGAGAUCGCAUAAUUCUCAUCUUAUGAAGGUACCUGACUUCUGUACCACCACAUUCAAGUCCAAGUUCGAAAUUUAGGGUGAGAAUACUUAAAAAGUAACUAUUCAGUUUUAUUGCAUUUAAGUUUUGAGAGAAUGCGCCUAAAAACUAAUUUAAUUAGCUUUCCAUAAAACGUAUUUUAAAAGUUGAUAAAUGUCAUUCAGUUCUUCACCAGUUUCUUAAGAUCCUGUUGGUGGGACUGGGCUGGAUAAAAUCGGCUCAGAAAUUUGAUAUUUCCUUCUUCAUUUUUCCUUACCAGCUGCACCAGCAAUGGAGCUUCAGGAUUAUAUAGUCGGAUUGCACCAGCAUACAUGUAAAGUGGCAUAAAUAGGAGGUACAAAAACAAAAAAGAAGAAAAACUUAGUCUUUUGAGUAUACAAUAAUAAUAUGUUUGGCAAAUCCCAUGGUCUGGUCUAAUAAUCAAACAUUCUGAUUAGUUGAUAAUAUUAGUGUUAGCAGGGAUUUUUUUGAAAAGCUUCAUUAAUAGUUAAUUCGUGUCGAGUAGAUUUUCUUGUUACGAGACUCUUAAUUCAUGAGUUGUAAAGAGGAAUUUAUAUCACCAUAAAUAGAGACUAAAGCAAGUGUUGGAUUCAAAAAUCGUGUUAAAAGGGCAUAAAUUGACUUAUUAUACUCCUGAAUAGGAAACAAAAGAUACAGAUAUCUUUAUCUUGACAGCAUUUCGACAUCUGAAGAAGCAGAGGCUGCAAAAACUGCCGAACCUUGUACUGGUACAUGGACAAUUGUGUGGACGAGCAUAAAUUGUUAGUCAAGAGCUCAAAUCAUUUGCAGCCGUAUUUCCAGUCAAAUGAAUUGUAUGCAAUUUUCCAUCUUGCUUUGACUUUUAUUCACACGUCUGAUAGAAAGAAGAAAUCACAAAAGUAAUAGCAUGCUAGCUUAAAAGUCCUAGAACUUUUCUUGAGAAAUCUUUUUGAAUAGGUUAUAUCACCCUUGAAUUUUGGGUUACAUAGCACAUGUACAUAUUAUUCAACUUUUGAAUUCGAUAUUGUAGUUUUAGCUGUAAUUGGCAAACAAAUCAGGAAUUAUUUCUCUAAAGAGUUAUGUAUUUUUUUUUUAGAAAAUUUUAUAUUCUUUUUAGUUUUAAUUUCACCAACAUUUUCUCUCCUCUUUAAUUGUGGUUUUACAACCACUAUGUAACUUUGAUCUAAAAUUUUAACAACUUCUACAUGAUAUCAAAAGCCAUCAUAUUCCAAAAUAACAGUUCCUACUUUCAAGAGUAAAAUCAAAAGUCAUUUAUUUAGUCACUAUUAUCAACAAGAUCCGUUGCUUAAAUAGCAGCCUAAAAGCUCUGAACGAACCUCAUCAACUCUUCACUGUAUAUAUGUCGGGUGAGUCUACGAGAAAAAACGUCCCUGGCCCAACUGAAUAAAAUCACUACUUGAUUGAUGAGAAUCGUUGCUUUUAUGAGGUUAAUGAUUAUCCCUUUUUUUUUUUCUCAAGCAAAAAAUGUGAUGCAAAAAACAAAUAAUUAAAGUAGAGCUAUGAAGCAUAAAGUUUGAUGUCAAUGAACAAAAGAGAGCAUGCCUGUCCCCUGUGGAGCUAUCAAUUAUCCUUUCCCUUACCUGCCUUUUAAGCAACUUUUUCCUGUCCACAGCUAUAAAACUUUCCGACUAUUCCAUUGUAUGUGGUGGAUUUUCUUUUAGACUUAAAAUCAAGUGAAUACCUAUCAUAAACAUUUGUGAAAGGUACUGGAAAUCCAGAAAAUGCAACCACCAGUGCAAAAAGGAAAAAAAAAAAAAAAAAAGAGCUAACCCCACCCUCACCCACCAAAAGAAAAAAAAAGGGCAAAUUACACUUUACCCUCUUGUGGUAUAGCUAUUUUCACAUAACCCUCAUAUAGUUUUAAAAGCUAUAUAUAACCCCCUCAUAAUUUGCAUUAAAGUGUCAAAAUAACAGAAAUGAUCAUUCGUAACGGAACCUAUAAAAAUAUCGAAAUUACCCUUGUUUUAAAACUAAAAUAGCUGAAAUGACUAAAAUAUAUAAAUAUAAUAUGCAUGACACUCUAACCCUGUAUGAUUUUAUAUUUUACUAUAUAAUUCUUUUAUGAGUUAGUGUUUUACCAUAUAAUCUGCUUAUGAUUUUUAAUAUAUAUCCAUAACUCCCCUAUGGUUAAUAAAUAAUUUUCAACUGUACAUAGGAGCAUUUUUUAUAUUUUAGUUGCCUCCGUUUUGAAUUGCAAAUUCCGUCACUUAGAUACUUUACUUCAAAUGAUGAGGGGAUUAUGUAUAGAUUUUAAAAUUAUAGGGGGUUAUGUAAAAAAUACUAAACCAUAGAGGAGUAAAGUGUAAUUUGCCCAAAAUAAUCUUAGGGAAGGUACCCUAUAGACAGUACAUGUCCCAAAAAAAAAAAAGAAGGCACAAGGGUCCGGAUCGUCUGUGGUGGUUUGCACCAGCAAUCGAAGACAAUUUUUACAGCAUUUAACAGUCGAGAUCAGCCUGAAAGAAAACAUUUGUCUAGCUAAUUAAUUGAUUCAAAGCCAGAUGUUCAGAUGACAUAUACUAUUUUUAGUACAACGAAUUUCGAUCAUAAUUUUAGAAGAGAAAGGAGAAGUAGAGAAAUUAAAGACAAACCUGAUCAUAAUUUUGGAUACUAAUGUACAGUUAAGAAGACAAACCUGGUUUUUGUCUGUUCCGAUUUCAACUGACCGGAGAAAAAGUCCACUAAUAGUUUAAGAGUGCUGCUUCUUUGUCCCAUUCACCUAGUGAAUUUGAGGAUUAAGCUUUGUCUGCUUUUGCCAUCUGAAUAAAGGGUAAAUAGUCAAAGAAAACGUUAAAGCAAAUAUGCAAAAAAACAUUAAGCUUUAGAAAUUUUGACAGCUUGAACAACUAUCGUCAUUUUUUUUUUAGCUUGAACCAUUAUUAAUAUCAAGCACAAUUGAUUUCGUAUACAUGCAAGAAUAUGUUAGUGCUGGCCUAAAUACGCUUACAAUGUACAAAUCAUAGAAAAUUGAAGUACUAGGUUGGCAUGUCUAUGGGGAGUAGACAAAAUGCUUUCCAGCGUACCAAACUUGUCCACUAAGAUGAUGAAUGCACUCUGGACAUUCCAUACUUUCAUUUCUGAAUCCGCCCAUCAUGUAUUCUAAUAUACGAUGCAGUCAAAUUGCAGCAGUAAAAGUGUCUUGAUAUUACUAGUCAAACCGAUCAAAGUUAAUUGAGAAUUCGGCAGACAGGUAAAGUAAGCAACACGAAAAUUACCACUUAUAGUCAUUCUAAAAUUGAAAAAAUAACCAAGGAUGUUAUAAAUUUGUGUGAAGGGAUAGAAAAGUUCUAAGAGUAUGGAGAGAGCAUCAAGCGAUUGUCCCUACCCUGCACUUCCAACUUUGCACACUGACGAGUGAAUGGGAUGCAUUGUGACACUUUGGACACCGAACUUUUAAUUGCAUAUAAAGUUAGAGAACUCAAAGUUUGUUGCCUAUAUUUUUCAAAAACAAAAAAAGGUUUGUUGCCUAUUUAGUACUGUAGUGUUUAACAUCCAUUCCAAGAUUGAAAUUGCACAUAUUAAAAUAGACUUGUAGUAAUUGAUACAUGCACAUUGAUUGCAGGUGUAGACUAAAAACAUUCAUUUGAAGUACAAAAUUAUGAAAUACAUACAAAAGUUGAAGGAUAAGAACAAAGAAAAAAAAGAGUUGUAAUCAGUAGUGCUGAAUUUAAUAAUUAAUAGCACAUGAGAUCAUGAAAAAUAAACUAUCAUGGGCAAAUUACAUUUUACCCCCCCUGUGGUUUAGCAUUUUUUUUUUACAUAAUCCCCCUAUAGUUUCAAAAGUUAUACAUAACCUUCUCAUGAUUUGGAUUAAAGUGUCAAAGUGAUGGAAAUAGUCAUUUGAAACGGAACUUCUUAAAAUGUCUAAAUUAUCCUUAUAAAUAUAUGACACACUAACCCCGUAUGAUUUUUAUAUUUUAUCAUAUAACUCCCUUAUGGUUUAAUACUUUACCAUAUAACCCCCUUAUGGUUUUCUAAAUAUACACAUAACUCUCCUUGGUUAAUAAAUAAUUUUCAACUUUAUAUAAGGGUAUUUUUGACAUUUUAGAUAACUCCGCUACGAAUGAUCAUUUCCGUCACUUUGACACUUUAAUUUAAAUCAUGAGGGGAUUAUGUAUAGUUUUUGAAACUAUAGGAAAGUUAUGUAAAAAAAUGUUAAACCACGGGGGAUAAAGUGAAAUUUGCCCAACUACCAUCGGGGUAAUGAUUGUUUUCGAACCUACGUAUCCGAUGCCAUUUAUCCCUCAAAGUUUAAAGCCUACAAGAAUUGAAUACGAUCAUGACUAUUUCAACAAAGAUCAUGAACAUCAUCUGAGUUGAAGAGGAUCAAUUAGCACGUUGCUAGAUACAUAAAUAAGUUAAAUUAGAUAGAGGAAUCAAGUGGUAGAAAAUAGAGCGUUAUAUAACUGCAUAGUGUAUACUAACUUGUUAUAUUAGAGAUUAAAAAUAUUAGGAAAAGGCAAAAGGAACUCCACAGUUGGCAUGUCGUGGGGUCUGCAAACAUAAAGCUUCCCAGGUUAGCAAGCAUGUCUCUUCAUCUCAUUUUACAGCCAUAUCUCCGUGUCUCUCAAACAUAGUAUAACCUUUGACACAUAUCUGCAUACGAUCUUCAUCAUUUUCAUUGCAAACAAACAUUAAUACAUUAUCCAUAAUCGUAUACCGACUAAGUUUGUCUACUGAUCUGAUACAGAUAAACAUGAUUCCCCACCCAAAAAGUGAAAAGAAAAAAUGAUAGUUCCUUUUACUCAAUUGAGAUUAUGCUUAUGGACAAAUUCAUGUCCCCACUCCUCACACACACAGGUCACAAUGGCCUUCUGCUAUCACUAUGUACCUUCAUCCCAUUUGUGGCUAGAAAUGUUGCAUAUUCAAAUUUGCCUGUCAAGGAAAUGACUUUAAUGUUUAUAAUGGCCGAAAAACAAGUGUAAAAUCGUGUGCAUGCUAAAGGUAUGGGUAAAUUGUUACAUAGCCCUCUAUUAUUUCAUCUAUUACCACAUGAUACCCUAACAUUUUAAAAUAUUCACAUGAUCCAUUGUAAUUUUAUACAAAGUGGAAUUUUAAAGAAAGAAAUAUUCGUAAUGUCAUUAUUUAAAAUAUAAUGUCACUAUAUCUCUUAUUUAAUAUUGAAUUUAACGGGGAUUAAUUACUUUGCAUAAAAUCAAAAGAAAAAUUAUAUAAAAUAUAUGAAAAUAAUGUGAGAGUUAAGUCAAUAUUAUAAUUUCAGUGUACAUUUCUUGAGCACGUCUAGGUCAAGGAAAGUUAUGUAAAUAUUUUGAAAUAUCGGGUAGUUAUGUGAUUAUAUGCUAAACCACAAGGGGUUAAGUAGUUAUUCAUCCAUUAAAUGCUACAGAUACAAAAAAUAUUAUAUAUCAUGCAAAUAUCUUUUCUUCUUUUCUCUUUUGCCUUUGUUAAUUAAAAGCAGAAUAGAAAAAACUCAGCACUCAAAUCCAACUCUGCUUGCCGUUAACAAUCCCUCACGCACAGUCUAUAUCUUCAAAGCCAUUAGAAAAAAACGUCCCAACCCCAAACCCAAUUCUUCUUCAUCAGCUCUUAUCGCCAUUUUAGUACUCCACAAGAUCAUUAAUCCAGGACAAAGAAACAGGCCUGCUUUUUUGGUUAUAAUCAUCAAUCCAUCAUUCUAUCCACUUCAACUACCUUCUUGUAUAACUUCAUCUCCACACAACCCAUGCACCCAAUAAUUUACCAUAAUUUGUAGGCCUUUCUACCGAACAUAAUUUGCAACAAAUACUGGCGCAGUGAUCGCUUGAUUAAUACUUGCUUUUGCAGAAGAAAUGGACGAGUCAUGGAGAAUGAGAAUGGGAAUGCCAACAACAACAAAAACAGGGCUGAAGCACAAUCCCCCUCCCCGGCGAUCCACCGAGGACACUUCCUACAGGCAAACCUCUGAAAGCCCUCUUCUAGACCCUGAAGACUUCAACGACGUGUUUGGUGGGCCGCCUCGGACAGUCAUGUCACGGCAAUUUCCCAGCAAUGAGUAUUUUCUCAGGUCAUCCUCGACUUCUUCUUUCUACGAAGAGAUUUUCAGGCCACCCGAGAAUGUGGUUCCGGCACCAGCACCGGUGAGGAGUGGCCGGAACUUGCCGGAAUUCAGGAUUCCAGCUGAAAAGGGUGCAAGGAGGAGUAAUCAGUUUGAGGGCUUUUACGGCGAUAUUUUUGGGUGGAAUGAAGAGGAUUUGAAGAGGUCGAGGUCACGGACGAGGUCAAGGUCUAAGUCCAAGACCAGCACAUCGUCGGUGUUGAGUUCGGAGGAGUUGAGCCCUUUACGGCCGGCCAUUGGAGGUGGUGAAUUGGGUGAUGAGGAUGUUUCAUUUUUUGCUUCCAGGCUGAGGUUAGAUACUGUGCUACAUUAACUAAUUAACUCAGUAUUUUUUUUUUUUUUGGUUCUUUUGCAACUGUUUUUGCUUGAUUGACAAUUCUGCCCCGGACAUCAUAUAAAAAUUUCAAUAUUUACAUGGGCUAGUUUUUGAACAAAUAGUGGAGAUUUUCAACUUGUUUAAAUUGUGUUUCACAAACAUUGAAUAAUUAUUCUUUCAUAUGUUGAAAGCUCUUAACUUCACUGACCUCGAUCGAUUAUCAUUGUUAUGGUUAGUAUCACAAUUGUAAUUGUUAUUGUUAUUAUUUGUCGUAAAAGGAGGAACUAAAGGGGAGGGAUUUAGCCACUGAACUGUCUUAAUUAAUGUGACAGAAGCAAAGUUGGAAACUAAGUAAAUUGUAGAUAGAAUGGUUCUUCUCUAGUACUAAAAAUUACUAACCAAAAUGCUAGCUAAUGUAUUAAUUUGUGGCAAUCAAAAGCUUGCUUCAAAACUUUUUUGGUGAAACUAAAUGAGCAAUGGAUUUUUCAGGCCAUUAAAUGUCCCAAGAAGAUGGACUUCAAACACAGCCAUCCAUGAGGAGCUUCAAGAGCAGCAGUCCAUGUCUGCAUUUGUGUCCAGCGGCCCUUCUUAUGAUGCUGAGUUUGAUUACAAUGAGAACUUCAGAGGCUCUAAUUUCAGAUUCUGUCGAAGGAAUCCAUCCCCUGAAACAAUUAGUCUUGAACCGAACUCAUACCGUAGUCUAAAAGUGUCAGCAGAUGAUUUAGAGCACCACAACUCACCAUCGUCAGUUAUUUCUUCCCUCUGUCAAGACCAGGAGGCAGUUGAUGUAGUAGCCAACAGAACUGAGGAUCAGAUGUCGCGAGAGCAAGCCAUGGAGCAAGAUGAAGAUGAAGUUGUGAGCUCUUAUGUCAUUGAAAUUAAUGCUGGAAACAGGGAAUGGGCUGAGGAAGCAGUUGGUGUUGAUGAUGCUAUUGCUUGGGCAAAAGAGAAGUUUCAAACAUGUUGUUCAGAAGACAUGCUUGGUGCAGAUCAAAUUUCAGAUGGACAUAAAGAUGUCAAUGAAUCAACGCAUGUUGCAGGGGUAAACUCUGCUCCCCUGUGCUGUCAUGAUUGAGUAAUAGCAUCUUAUACUCUUAUUCUGGAUUUUAUGAGGACACUCAUAUUUAGAUUAUCCACUCCUAAUGAUUGUUUGACUAGGACUUCUUUAAGCCCUGAUUGCAUACGUAGGAUUAACAUAGUUUUUUAUUUGAAUUAUUUGUUUACAGGAUGAAGAACAAGAUACAUGGACAAAUGCAGAACAGAAACGAGAAUUAGGGACAGAUGUAAGCUUCCAAUAUACAGUUAUUUUAUCACUGACUUGGGAGCAGAAAAUAACAGUAUGAUUCAAUGUUGGUUUUCAAUUUUGCAUUGAUAGAAACAAAUGUUGCAAAUUAGACAUCAGGAUAUUGAUAUUACCCUCGCUCUUGCACAUGGUUAGAAUUGCAUGCAGACCAAUAUCCUACAGAGAACUGUGUGUCUUAAGUUUUCCUAAGAUGCUUUGCUAAUUAUAAUAUGACAGUUGUCAUCAUAGUCAUGGGAGAAAACUGCUCCUUUCAGUUUCUUACCAUCAAAUUAGAAGCUUUAAGCAAUUUAUGUUACAGUUGCACUUCUCUACCAACAAUUUAUGGACUUAACUAUUUGCUCAAGCAAACCACUUGAUUACUGAAUCUCAAAGCCCAUUUUAGUUAUCCAAGUCACUAAUAGUAUGAGAGCCAGACAAUUUGCAUUGUUCUUUGACAUAUUUUCUACCUACACAGGACUCCUUUUAAUAGCAAAAGGACUGCUAUAGUCACCACGAAAGUGGGAAGUCUUACACUUGAGUCUUGCAAUGUGAGGUGCAAUCUAUACAUGUGUUUGUGUUCCAAGAUGCAUUCUUAACUAUGCUAUUGACAUUCAUCAUCACAGUCAUAGGAGAAACACCCCUAUUAGUUUAUCACAAGGAAAUUAGCAGCCUUAAGAAAUUUAUGUUGCAGUAACAGUUCUUCACAAACAAUUUAUGGACUCUUAACUAUUUACUCAAGCAAACCACUUGAUUACUGAAUGUCAAAGCCCACUUUCCUUUGCCAAGUCACUAUGAUAAUAUCUAUGUGAGAACCGGGCUUCUUGCACUAUCCUUUGAUUUUAUUUUUAACUACACAGGACUCCUUUUCAUGGCAAAAGGACUGCAAUAGUCACCCCAAAAUUGAAAAGUCUCACCUUUGAUUCUUUUAGUCUCAGCUGUAAUCUGUACAUAUGUUUGUGUCAUAAGGUACAUGCUUCUAUGGUUGUCAGAUUAAAAAAAAAAAACUAUCAACUUGAAUAUUCUGGAACUUUAGAUUCACCCUCUCUCAAUCUAUAAGUAGAUUACUGUAUAAUAUAUUGUGUAUGAUGGAAUCUUUAUUAAAGGGCAGGUUGCAUCCUUAAGUUUUUUUCCAAGUAUGCUAAUAACUACUUACUUUCCAUGUUGAUGGCAGAUGGAAAUGGAGCUACUAAAUGAAAAGAUAAGGUUGUGGUCUACUGGAAAAGAAGCAGAUAUUCGAUUGCUGCUCUCAACUCUGCAUCAUGUAAGAGAGAAUUAGUAGAAUUGGCAUAUAUUCUGUAUGUGCUGAAGUGUAUGGAAUUUAUUUGAUUGAACUGCCAUUUCUUGAUGAGUUCAGAUAUUGUGGCCUGACAGUGGCUGGUUAGCAGUACCAUUAACAAAUCUGAUAGAAAGUUCACAUGUCAAGAAGGCUUAUCAGAAAGCUAGACUUAUUCUGCACCCUGACAAAUUGCAACAAAGAGGAGCAUCAUUCCCCCAAAAAUAUGUUGCAGAAAAGGCAUUUCCCAUCCUCCAGGUAUGUUAUGCUCUUGGUUCUUUAUUUGAAGCUCCAAGUCCAUCAUAUGCUUAGGAAAGUUCAUACCUGAGCCACCAAUGGGCUUCUUGAUGUGACAUCGGCACCAAUCUGCAUUCAACUUAAUAAAAACUUUUUCUUAGGUAACCACAGAGUUUUUAUAUCUCAAUUAAUACUAAAACUUCCAAAUAUAUAUAACUGUUGGACUUAAGUGUAAUGGUGAAAAAACAAUGAGAAUAGGAAAGAUGAAGCAGAACUGUCAUUUUGGUUGUGAUUAUUGCAUUAUUCUCUUAUAUGAAGUCAAUCUUACUGAGAAUAUGGAAGUUAAGGAAUAUAUUAUUGCAGUACAUUUUCCAGGUUUAGUAAAUUGUGAAAUCUUUAGUAACCAAUUUAGCUGAUGAUUAUUAUGCUUACUUGUCUGUUGCAGGAUGCAUGGGCUGCAUUUGUAUCUCAAGAUGUCUUUUGCACUUGAUGCUUCAGUGUCUACUCAAAGCCGAUAAUACUCCAGGGAUGGCUAGCAGAUUGGACUAAAGAAAAUGUGGCUGGUCUUGUAAUGAUUUGUGGUGUUGGUCUUGUAAUGAUUUGUGGUGUUGUGACUUGCAUGUUGUGAGAAGGGUAAAAGUACUACCACUUUACAUUUUGGGGUACAUAGUUAAUGUCUGAAUGAGAUUUUCAAUUAUGGUAAAUAUCGAUAUUUGUGUAUACUCUAGAGAAAUGUAUGAUUAUGAUUACCUCACUACAGCUCAAUUGUUUCGUAGUAUCAAUCCAAUAUCCAAUUUGCAAAAUUCCAGAGAUGACCUGCUUUAACAGAAGAGCCUAAAAGAUACACCGUUUGAUAUGUCAUAACAUUUCAUCCUUGAAAUAUUUUCUUCAGUUACAUUGCAUUCUGUAUACAAUUUCCUUGUGUUGUGCUUAGAGGACAGUUUCUUAACAUCAAAGGCAGCAAUAUUUUCUUGUUCUGUAACUGAUCAAAGAAGCUAGAAUGGAGGUUCUUUUGUCCUCAUCUUCAUCUAUAUAAAGAAAACAAAAAGUUUUUUUUUUGAAGGAAUUCUAUCAGACAAGUCCCAACUACAAGGCCAGGAAGGUUUAUUUCCUGACCAAUUUCAUAUGUAGACAAAUCUGAUAUAAAGAAAAGGGAAAGAAAGAUGAAAUUAGCUGCUUAAGCCAUUGUUAAUAGGAAUACAUGUUUUAGGUGGCAGAUCUUUUUAAUAAUAGAGCAGCAAGCUUACACAAGCAGAGAACUACAUCCAUAUUAUCUGUAAUAGACAAAACGUCAACUAAUUACGCAAUAAAUUAGAAUUUUUUGUAGUUUUCUGCUGAAAAAUCUCGGCUAAAGCUUGCUCAGCACUCAUCUGAUGACCAUGGUUAACCAUCUCGGCCGAGUCUGAUAUAACUGGAAUAGAGGAGACCGGUACGAUACCGAUCCCCGAAUCCUCAAUAAUUUCAUAUCUAUGAUGACUUGUUUUGGCUUGGCCGAUAUUAACUGAUUCGAAUCCGUGAUGCAUAGAAUCAACCAAAAUAUCCGAGUCAACCCUGAGUGGACUUGGAUAUUUUUUUCAAAUUAUACCUUUUUAUGGUAUUUUCUAUUUUUAGUAAAUUUUUAUAUGCUAUAAUAUGUGUAUCACUUGAUAUCCAACCGAUAUGCCACGAUGGAUGUGGAACAACUGUGACUGUGAACCAUACUGAUGACUUCAAGUUCAAAAGUGCUUCAGGAAGGCUAAAAUUCUGCUGAUAGGUUUUCCACUCUAAACUGAGUUCUCAAAUCCUCUUCCUCAGUACAUUCAUCCAUCCAUUUAUCAUAAUCUGAACUUUAUCCACAAUCAAGUCUGCUAAUGAUUGUGUAUUCCAGGCCUGCCUAAGUAUUUAAUUUCUUUCGAGUAAACUCGUAAAAUCCUUUAGUGAGUGUACAUAUCUUUUAUUAUUUUAAUUGCAUCUAUUGAAUAUCUAAUAAUUUGAUAAUUGUGUCUAUUCAGCACCUCAUUUCUGGCGCGAAGCUGUAUGUGGAAUUAGUCACAUCACCACCACAUGUGGUCAACACAGGGGAAGUUUUGGAACAAAGAAGUCACCACUUCAAGCUAACAAAAAUAAGGAAAAAUCAAACAAGAUCAGCAGCAAGGACCCGGGAAAGAUUUAUUUGCCAGUUUAUUAUUUAUUAUGUGGGGUUUCAAGAAUUUAUGAUUUGUGUACAACCUAAUUAACUAUUGCAAUUGAGAGAAAAAUGAAUACCACCAGCUAUGAGAAUUUCAACUUUCACUAAAUGUAGUGGCAAAUGUACGUUUCUUUGGAAUCAGCAUCAGGUGUUCAAUUUUCUUACUCAAACACAUCAUCGGAUCAUGUUGCCAAAGAUAAACAAACUUCAAUGGACUACUACACAUUUCUUGUCAAUUCCUUCGUCUACUGAAACUACUUUUAAGAAGUAAUAUAACAAUCUUUCUAAAAUGGCAUCGUAUAUCAUUUAUCAUCCACCGCAAUGACAUUAGAUGCAUUUGUAUGAACUUUCUUGAAUAGCAAACUAAUUUAGGUUGAGACUCGAUAUCUAUAAGAGUUGAAUCGAUAAGUUCGUAAAGUGAAUAGAAAAAAACUCUAAAACACAAAAUGUGGUCAUAAAUGGCAAGUAUAUUAUUCCGGGUUUUAAUUUUUUUGGUUCGUAUAGUUCUUUCAAGAUCUAUGUAUCUUUUCGUGUAAUUGUUAAUCGUCUUCUUUUACAUCAACUCACUAAGAGAUGCAUCAAAUCCUGAAAGAAAUACAAAAAAUAUAAGUUAUUACUUGAUUGGAAUUAGUAGAUUCAAGCCGAAAGUUUUUUUUUUUUUCUUUUUAACUCUCCCUCCCCUUUCUAUAACCCUUUCCGCUCACAAUUAUCAGUCUCAAAAUUCGAAUUCUAAACAUGAUAGUAGGGGAGAUCUUAGUCACUUACCAACCCGGCCUAGUGGUAUGAAGCCAAAGGUUUGAAUGAUGAUAAAACAAUAACAAAAAAAAAAAACAGGCUUUGCUAUAGUAAUUAGGUGAUGUUGGUGUAUAUUUUCACACUGACCUUAUCACGGACGUGUAAAAACAUGUUCCAUGCUGGUGGGCCAAGAUUUUGGUGAUUAGGUCCGACAUUACCACAAAUUAAUUUAUGGGAUGCAUUACCACAUUUUUAGGCCUAUAAAUACAAGGAGUCUGGAUCUCAACUAUACCAAGUUUUCGACAGUAACCAGUUACAAAUAUCGAUUUUCAUCCUUAUUAAUUAGCUAGCUAGCUCUUUAAGGAAAAAAUGGCCGCAGCCAAAUCUGCUAUUGGCACUGGAAAGGUGAAUAGUGAUUGUAUGCCUGGCUAGACAUAGAUUUCUUUUUUUUUGUUUCUUCAAGUUUGUGUGUGGUUUUGAGAAGCAACUCAUAAACAACUUGUACAGAAACGUUUGGAAGAGUAUAAGGAAUUGCAAAUUACAGUAACAUUAACAUUCUUGAAUUUUCUUAAGCAAUAUUUUAUGUUUUCUAGUUGUCUACAUGCAUUAAUUGGUCUCUUGAAUUGUCUGAAUAAGCUUCUUCUGAGUGAUACAGUUUCUUAUUAAUUGGUCGGAUUUAGUUUUCUGGUUGUUUGUUUAUUUGAAAGGAUUCUAAUUGAUUUUGGGAACUCAAUUGUUUGGUGUUUACAGAACGACAUCAGUUCACUAGAACCGGUGAAGCCGGCUGACCCUCAUGUGAUCCAGAUCGGACAAUUUGUAGUGGAACAAUGUCACCACGGCCAGCUGCUUUUCGUCGCCGUGGUUGGAGGAUUCACGUGGAGCGGUGAUGGAGGUUAUUACUACGCACUUAUCAUUGAAAAUCAGGAUAGCGACGGUGCCACAUAUCUCCAUAAAGCACUUGUUCUUGAGACCCCAAGUGAAACCAAACUCAUCUGGCACAUGAAAUAAUCAAGCACUGCUGUUGAUCAACUGAGGAUCAACGACUUUAAGUACUCUAAUUAUAUAGUGUCUUUGGUGUGGUUUUCAGUUUCUGCAUGGAUGAUGUACUGCUGGCAUGCAUACAUCUCCCUGAUGUUGUACUAGUAUGUAAGGUGCUGUUCUACCAACAAAAAUGCACCGUCAAAUAAAAAAUCCGCUGUGUGUUUGAGUUUGUGUCAUUGUACUAGUAUGUCAAAGGUGCACUUAUACGAACAAAAAUGCACCAUUAAAUGAAUAAAAACAGCCUUCUGUGUUUUUCUCGAUUGCUUGGAAGCAGGUCCCAAUCACUGAGUUUUGUAUGUCAAUUAGGUGCUAUAUUCAUGACUAGUUAUAAAAUCUUAUUAGUUAAGCAUUACUUAAAAUGAAUCCAAAUCUGGAAAGGAAAUGAAAGAUGAGUUGAUAUAUUGAGAGAGACAUGUAACUCAAAAGUUAGAGUUCAAAGAUGAGAGUUUCUGCUUUCUACAACCAUUCAUUUGGACAUCUCUAAACAACGUGUAUCAUACCGUGUCAAAUAAGUUUAAAAUGCAUAGAUAUGAGCAAAGAAUCAUCUGCUCUUUAAAAUGUGACAACAAAAUUAAUAGAUCUACAUGCUGUUGGAUUUUAAUACUUAUCCCCAUAUUUUGUUUAACAUUCAAUGAAUUAGAGAUUGUGAAAUUCAACAGAAAAUCAUUCAAGAAAUUAUGGCAGUUAUGAAUAUAAUGGACUUAAGUGAGUUUAAUUAUACUCAUGGCACUAGCCCAAGUGACAUAUGCACAAGUCCAAGAGAGUUUUGGGGGCUCGCACCCUAGUCUGAGAGGAGUUUUGGUUUGGCAUCAAACCAAAAGAGUAAGCCAUGUGCCCUUGGGCCCUUAAGUAUUUAGUGCUAUUUAGACACUUUUGUGUUUUCAGUUUUAGGUGCCUUUUGAACCUAAAAAUUAUUUUUUAGGGUUUUAUACUCUCUCUUUUGUACUCUCUUUUUAUUAUAAUAAAUCUGCUACCCCUUCGUUCGUAAAUGUAGGUCAAUUGGACCGAAACACAUAAAUUCUUGUGUUUCUCUGUUUAAUUUAUUUGCUUUAUUAUUGUCAUUAUCGAGUUUGUAAGAACUCUAUUAUUCUCGUUGGUCAAUUUCCUGGGACCAGACCUAAUAGUUUUAGUGAGUUUUUUCCUUUAUUAUUUCUAUUAAUGGUGGAAUGUAAAAUGAUCCAUAGUGCUAUUGCAAUUAUUAAAAAAAAAAAAUCAAUGCUUUUAUGGUAAUGACAGGUGUUAUAGCUAUAUACUAAUUUGAAGAGCUGUAGCUUUGUAGUCUUGGUACAACUGUACGUUUUGUUUAAAUACGGGGAUUGAAGAUUGAGUAUAUGAAUAUUUAAUUUAUAGGCCAAGCUAAUUAAUAUUUAAUUUAAGGAUUGACCUAAUCACCAAUGUGUAAAAACGUGUUCCACAUUGGUCUUUGUCUUCACACGUAUUAAAAUAAUUAUAAGAUGGCGCAAAAUUCAAGUUCAUCAUAGUAGCAGCUCCGACCAUGACACUGGAUAACACCAUAUGCACCGUAUGAUUUAAUACUUAGAUUUCUGAAUUACUUCUAUAAGAUUACCUGAUCUUCCAUGUAUUUAUGACUAUACUAAACUGCAACCAUGACCAUGUCACAAUAGUCUUGCCUCUUCCGUAACUUUUUGAGUAUCAAUAAAAGUGAUAUUUGCAUGAAAUAUUGGAUUAAAAACAGAAUAGCUAUUAUGCAAUUAGAAUUUUUACAUUUUUUAUAAAAUAUAUCUAGUAAAGCGGAGAUAAUUAUGCCUAAAUUUUGCAUGUUUGAUGAAAUUUCUUCUUUUAAUUGAUUUUAUAUAGUUAAGUGAUUAAUAUGGUCAAUAACUGUGAUACUCUUCUCAUGAUUAUUCUUUUGAGGGAAUAAUUUUUAUCUUUCCUUUGGUAUCUUUUCUUUACAAAAAGGGGAAAAAGUAGAAAAAAAAAGAAAAAAGAAAAAAAAGAGAAGAGAAUAAGAGUUGUUCUACUCAAAUGGUUCUUGUACUUAGUAACCAAAAGUCUUCAUCUACAAAUGUCAACUUUCGUAGAAAAUAGUAUUUGAAUUAAGAGUAUGCAAAGCAACUUCAGAAUGUGAAAUGUUGAGUAACUGGCGAAUUUUAUCUAAAAUUGUCGAUUUUCGCGUCAAAAGUCACUUUCACAACUUGAGUAAACAUUUAGAUAUAUUGUAUGAAUAAAUCCCUCUUUGAACUUAGAAAAGAAGAUGAUCAUAGACUUAGGAAGUUUUUUUUUAUUGACCAUAGGAGUAACUUGCUUUUGAAAUUGAAAAAAGAUGAGGAAUUGACUUGAACUAGUUACAAUUAUCUCAUAAUUGGCUCUCCUUUACUUGAUAUUAUGAUUACUUGAGCUUAAUUGAAUGAUCGCAUAAUAGUUAUUUACCUUGUUUUGAGGAGGUGAAUUUGAAGUGUUCACAUAUGUUUACUUUCAAAGUUUUGGAUCAUUGUUGGUUUAUAAUUCUUAAUUGAUUAAGGACAAGCAAUGGUUCAAGUAUAUGGGAUUUUGAUAAGUUUGUAUUUU